This 109760-nucleotide long non-coding RNA is filed under the name Citrus sinensis (sweet orange). RNAcentral's name for it is "long non-coding RNA (CSIN_LNC002323)". The record is from RNAcentral. Lineage: Eukaryota; Viridiplantae; Streptophyta; Magnoliopsida; Sapindales; Rutaceae.
GGAUGAUGAGUAGUCAGCUUGUGCUUGGAUGGCAGGAGAAACCAAUGCAGGACCCUGACUUGGAUUGGCUGAACCCAAAAAAAAAAAAAAUUUAAUUAAUUAAAAAUAAUAAUAAUACACAUAUAUACAUACAUAUUUUCAUGAUUUCUAAAGUUCAAACUUCUCUUUUCCGUUCUUGGAAUUUGUUAAUAACUAAAGCAUCACUUAUAAACUGUUCUGUAAGGAAGACCUAGAAUAUUUGCACUCAAACAGUAGAUGGAAAGUACUUCAUCCAGGAUUUAGGAUAUGGGCUCCGAUUAAACCAAAUAUUCAAAUGGUACAUCAGAUGCUUCAGUACUUUGGACCGUCUUUCUCUAUUUAAAAAAUUAAUUCUUCAUUAACCUUAAUUAAAGUAGUCAUCUUUUUCCUCACAUAAAUCAUGAAAAUUCUGUUUAAAGUACAAGAUUUUUCCUCACUUAGUAGACAUAAUAUACAUUGACCAGCCAACAGCCCUUAGCAACUUUAACUUACAAUAUGCAGGCCACUUUGUUAUGAGCUCCAAGCUAGAUUCAUAUUCAGUUAAGAUGUGCUUCUUCAAUUAUAUGACGAAACAAGCUGUGCUCCUAGAAUUACAUGAAGAAACAAAUUAAAAUACAAUGCUUCAAUAUUUUGCCUUUAUAAGACUAAUGUCUUCACAUACUCAGGAAAAGGUACGUGACCGCAUUAAAAUUACUGAAAACAAAUUGUAGCAAAAAACAUUCAUCAUGAAAAGUUUAGGGAACUUCAACACGAGUACAAAAAUGAGAAGCCAAAAAAAAAAAAUUAAAUAAUGCUGUACCUAUGUGAGUAGGUUUUUUAAGUCUAAAGCACGUAGAAACCGUAAGUCCUAAAUAAAUUCAUUGAAAUUGAAAGGCUUACUAUUAUAUAAUUAUCAUAAAUAAAUAAGCCAGAUGGUAUUUCAGAAAAUAUACCAUUACUAGUUCAAUUGUGCACAUUUAAAAAUUGGGUCCAUAAUCACUCACAAAUAUGAGAAUUGAUGACUUUAACAAUUGACCAUCAGGGAACGUAAUCCUAUGUGCUCUCUGUAAAGUAACUAUUUAUCAAAAAUACAUUGAAAAUCCAAAUUAUUCCAGCGAUAAUUAGUAUACUUAAAAAAUGUGCAGCUAAAACCUACUAAGUCAAAAGUAAGGUAGCUCAGUAUGGGGUCAAUGUAGAGCGAAAAACAAAAUUCAUCAAAGAGUGAAUAUGGUGAUAAUAGGACACUACUUUCUUUUACUCAAGGAGUGAAGCAUACGUGAACGAUUUUAUGCAGGUGGCAUAUUUCUUUGUCUUCCAUGAAGGUUAAUUUAUAAUGCAUGUACAUACUUCAAAUAGAAGGAUAAAUUAGAAAAGAAUAAUUUCUAGAGUUGAGAUAAAGCACUUUAGAUGUAAUUGAGGGAAAGAUGAAAAAGGAAUCAUAUAUAGCACAUACGUUCUUUUAGCCUCAUGUAAGCAACUUUUGCUGCACUCAUCUCCGCUUGCUUCUUGGACUUUGCUUCUUGUCCAGAAAAAACUUGUCCUCCUACCUCAACAGUUGACACAAAAGUUGGUGCAUGAGAUUCACCAGAUUGCUUAGUAUUAUAAACUGGCAAAGCAUACGCUUCUUUCUGAGCCAAUUCUUGCAAAAGGUUCUUGUAAAGAACAGAAUCAUCCUGGAAAAAUAUGUUUAUUAACAAAAUAUGCGAAUAUGAAAGAAGAUAGAUCACUACUAAUACGAAAUUCAUAAGUUAUUCAUUAACAGUUAAUUAGAAGACUGGCCUGUUGAAAUUUAUCAAGUGACAAUGACAUUAAUGCAACUUUCGCCGCUUCAUGCUCGGCAUCUUUUAAAGUAGGAAAAAACUGAUGACUCUCAUAAGUUUGUCCAUCAAUUGUGACCUUACACUUGAAACGACUAGCAUGAGGAGGACCUUCCCUCUCACAUGAAUACAUAGGAAGAGGGAGAUUUUUCUUUUGAGUAUAGCUCUGCAGCUGGUUUUUGUAUAGGUGUUGCAUAUCUAUAAUUCAGAAAGAAAUUAUGAGUCACAUGACUUCUCAUCAUAAACAAUAGAAAUUCUUUCAUUUCCUUAUUUAUUGCCUAGAUAAAAACCAGAAGUCAAAUGUUCAGAAUGCAAGGAAAUAGGAUGUCAAUUCAAUGAAACAUCAGUAAACAUAGCAGUGAUGGCUGAAUCGCCUUGAGGAUAGAAAUACCCCGACCUUACCCUCCCCCGCUCCUUAAAAGAGUACCCUUCAUCCAUACCCCACUCUCACAUCAGGACUGCCAUCUUUAAUAGUUCUUACCACAGUAGGACUGGAACGCACACCCAUGAUCUGUGUCCCGCCAGUACAAUAUUUUAACUAAGUAGCAGCAGAACGCCAAAAAGCAUCAAUGUAAUUGAAUGGAUAAAAUAAGUACCAUCUAAGCUAAAUUCAUACCUUCAAACAAGAAACCAUCGAUGCGAUCAUCAAGCUAAAUGCCCAAGCAAUGUACUAAAGCAAUCAAAUCUAAGAAAUUGAACGUACAAAAUAAGUUCCAAUUAAGCUAAAUUCAUACCUUCAAGUCAGAUACCUCUUACUUGAAAUAAAUCAAGGUUACAGGAGAUGAGAGCACAAUCAGCUUAAUUGGUAGAGUUUAAAAAAUAUUAGGUCCUCUCUGGGGCAUACACAAUGAUGAAGAUGAAAAAGAUGAAGACUCAAAAAGUGAGAGAGAGAAAGGAGAAAGCUGAGAUUAGCUGCUUAGAGAAGGAGGCAGCAGAGAGGAAACCAAAUGGGAACAAAACCCUAACCUUGGGAAAGGAAAUAAUAUAAACAUAUACUAAGGUAUUUAUACGAGAAAAAAUACCUGGGAAAGGGCUGAAAAGAAAGAAGUUGUAUCUAUACCCCAACUGCACCCUAUUAGUUAUUUGAUUGACACAUUGCUUGACCCAAUUGGCUAGGUGUUUCCUCGUACGGGCACUGAAUAUGAAGCAGUGUGAACACUGAAAUUUCAAGUUUCCUUAUAUAUACUUUUUGAUUUCACUAUUUUACUUCUUUUCACUCACCUGAGGCUCAAUGUAAGAUCGUCAAAUAGACGGAAUACCUGAGGCUCAAUGUAAGAUCUUCAAAUAGAUGGAAUUGGAUUGAAAGAUUGAGUUCUCUCACUUGAUAUCAAAUUCAGAGUUAACUUAGAGAUCUAUUUCAUUAUAUGUUAUUAGUGCGUCUCAAAAAUGACAUGUAAUGGUCCACUCAAAUGUUUUAUUUAAAUAUCCGUCCAUAUAUUAUCCAAUAUUCCCUUUCAACAUUACCGUACCUAGCAUUAAUAAAUUUUAGGCACAUCACAGCAUAUCCAAAUUUACGUAUGUCCAGCAAUUUUCUAAUUGAAAAUGAUUUUGUACAUAAAAAUACAGAUAUGUGGACAAGAACAACAAUCAAGAUCAUCAAAUUUAGUAUGGAAGAAAAGAAUACAAAUGAAAAUAUGUGACAAUCCAACUUCAAUUGAAGUUGUUAAUUAGAACUUCACCAAGGCCAACAGAAGUAUGAGAAACAUGAAUCAUAAUUAUAAAAAAUAAUAAUAACAUAAAUCACUUAGAAGUUCUCUGAUGCGGUAAAUUGAAAUAGAGCUACAUUCAAGAAAUCAUGACUAUAGGCUUUGUCUUUAAUAGCCUCUUUAAUCCUCAAUCUUUUGACAUCACCAUAGCAGAAAAGUAAGUACACAAAAUUCAACAAUAUAUGCAUGAUCAAUCAAUAAAACCAAUAAACCAAAUAUCUAAAUCAAGAAAUUACAGAAAGGAAAAGAAAUUAUUACUAAAAUAAUUAUCUGACCUCUUGAUUUGUGAACAUCAUUGACAGUUGAGAUCGUUGCAUUGACCUGAGUAGUUCGAUCUGUUUCUCGAGCAUUUACUUGCACUGCACUUUCACUCGAAGAACCUACAAAAAUUAUUUAUAACCCAGUGUAAAGAAGAAGUAAAGUUUUCCGCACGAACAUGGUAAAGUAAAGUUUUCUGUAGGAAAAUGGUAACUUCAAAAUCCGUUUCAAACCUAUCAUACAUCCCCCACCCUCAUUUAAGACUAGUGCUUGCAAAAACUAGAAGUAAUUUAUCCAGAACAUAAAAGCAGAGAAAAUCCAGUCCAGUAUAAAUAUAAAAUUAGAUAAUACCUACCAUUUACCAUUUCAUUCAAGAACACCACACAGUUAACGAAACCAACAUAGGUAUGUUUCCAACUGUUGUACUUUCAAGUUAAUUUUGAAAGCGCGGAAGCUAAAGCCUAAACUGUUGUUUGAUAAAAGCCCAUCCACUGACUGAUACUUGGCGGGUAGCAAUUCCAUUCAAUAGCAGUCAUAGAAUAAAAGUACAAAACAAACCCCUGUUUAAAAAAUGCAAUGAAGCAGCCAUGAUUUCAAUUAUUUGCAUGUCUGGGAUUGCAGUUGAUUCCAAAUUGAGAAUAUACUUCGAGAAUAUGUUUGAUAAGCCCUUAUGUGAUGAUCGCUGGUUUAUUGAGUCUUAAAAGAACAACUCAAUCAACUAAUGUUUGAUUUGAAAAAAAAAAAUGGCAAAUCAAAAAAGUUUUGGAGUAGAUUCUCAAAAGAGUGAUUAUUUGAUAAUCCACCAUAAUCCCACAUAGUUAUCAGAAUGAAAUUAAAAUCCGAGGAAUGUUAUUUAAGGCAAACAGCACUUUUUUUAUUUUAACCAACACUUGCAAAUUGCAAUUCUUAAACUAAAAGCAUGCAAAAUAAAUGCAAAUUAAGAACGCACCUAACAGAAAAUAAUAAUAAUAAUAAUCUGAAUUGGCAAUAUUAAAAUUACCGUUAGAAGAGGAAGCGGCAGGAGUAGAGGAUGGUGGAGGAGGAGACGAGAAAUGUUGGAAAGCGAUUCUAGCGGCGUCGUUUUGGGCCUCUUUGGACGACUUGUAAAGAUCCGGAGUGGUGAAAGAUUGGUCGUUAACGGUAACGGUUGCUUGAAAGCGAGGGUUGUGGUCAAGGCCUUGUUUGGCUGUUGUGUAUACUGGCAAGUUCCACACUCUCUGGUGGCAUAGCUCCUGCAGCUUCGUUUUGUACAUCUUUUUUGCUUACAAUAUUUUCACUGAUUUUAAUUUUUUUUUUGGAAUGGGAAACUCAAGAGAAGAGAGAAAUGGAAUUUAGUUGCAAAAUUUGAAGUUUAAUUAUCAAAUAUUACGCCAAGAGAGUACGCUUCAGUUCCACGAACAGGUUCAGAAUAAAUGACGCUUGGGAAUGCUGAAAUGGAAUAAGGCCUUUUUAUAAACAAAUAAUAAUAGUAAACCGACGCCACGGUGUUUUAAAAAUAAGUUUUUUUUUUUUUAACCUUGAAAUUCCUUAUCACAGUGACGUUUUAAAAUAAUAUUUUUUUAAAAUGCAAAAAAAAAAUUUCUUUCUACCAUUUAUAAAAAAGAAAACUUAAAUAAUUUACUGUAUUAAACGUUAAAAUAAACUAAUAAAAAAUUAUCGAUAUUCUAAAAACCAAAUAAAUAAUACCUUUCCUUUAUCUUCUUCUCAAGGAAGGUGGCUAAAAACUUUCUUCUCCAAAGAGAUCUUGUUCUAUAAGGAGACAUGACAUGAAAGUUGAAGGAGAGGGUGAUCGAAGGGGGGAAUAAAAAAUCUUUUAUGGUUGGCUCGUGGACAUGGACUUCUUAUGAAAGGUGGUAACGCUGUCUCAACGUCAUAAUUAUACCGAAGCUAAGUCCAUUUCAAUCAAUAUAAAAUAUGAAUGCGGUAACGACUAACGAGAAGUUAAUAGUUUUGGAUCAAACGAAUAUACAACGUCGUUCGUGUGUUUAUCAAAUAAGAAUUCAAUUUAAACAAUGUAAAUGUGUUAACAAGAAAUUGAGAGUUAUUGAUAAGACGAGCAUAAAAUUAAAACGUCAUUCAUAUGUUCAUCAAACAAGAGUCCAUUUAUGUAUAUGUAUUAACAAGGAGUAGGGAGUUUUAGGUAAGACAAGCAUGUUGAGUUGUAAUCGGAAUAGACAGAAAUCAGAAUAGGAAAUGGAGAUCAGAAUAAAUUAUUUAUUUGAACUGUAGGAAUCGAAAUCGGAAUGAAUUGAAUUGUCAUAAAUGUGUUUACUUUGUCUUGGAAUCGGAAUCGAAAUGAAUUAAAUUAUAACAAAUUAUUAAAAAGUACUUAAUAAAUUAUUGUUAUAAUUAUUAUUUUAUAUUUUAAUUAUAGUGAUUAUUUAUUCAAAAAUUAUUAUUAUUAAUUAUUGUCAAUAAUAUAUUGAUAUAUUAAUUAAUUAUAAUUAUUAUUAUAAAUAUAUUAAUUACUAAUAUUAAUAUAUUUAUCUGCUGUACCGUACAUCCNNNNNNNNNNNNNNNNNNNNNNNNNNNNNNNNNNNNNNNNNNNNNNNNNNNNNNNNNNNNNNNNNNNNNNNNNNNNNNNNNNNNNNNNNNNNNNNNNNNNNNNNNNNNNNNNNNNNNNNNNNNNNNNNNNNNNNNNNNNNNNNNNNNNNNNNNNNNNNNNNNNNNNNNNNNNNNNNNNNNNNNNNNNNNNNNNNNNNNNNNNNNNNNNNNNNNNNNNNNNNNNNNNNNNNNNNNNNNNNNNNNNCAUCUGCUGUACGGCCAAGGCGGAUGUACGGUACAGCAGAUUUGACUUUUUAUUUUUUAUAUUUAUAUCUUUUAUUUAAAGAAGGGGCAUUUUAAGAAAUUUUGAAUGUCAACGGAAGCAAAAGAACUCUAGGUAAUGGGAGAUUGAUUCUCACCUCUCCCAAGGAAUCAAUCUCUCAUUCCUCAUUCUCAAAUAGUGGUGGGUUCCAUGAUUUCAAUUCUGAUUCUUACUCCAUUUUUUGGAAGUAAAUGCCGUUAAUCAUUUUGAUUCUCCAAUUUGGAAAAUAAAUGUACCAUAAUAUUUAAUCAAUUAUUAUGAUUAUUGGAUUUUUCAGAUACUUUUAUCUAUUUUGGUUGGAGGGACGAAGUUCACUUUCUAUUAAAAGAAACAUUAGAGGAGCUUUCAAAGUCUAGGCUAAGGUUGUUUCCCAUGGCCUUGAAGCAAUACCCAAAAAGAGCUUUCCGGCUGGCAAAAUAGGCUUGUGUUUCUGCGUCGCAAAAUGAUGUGAAUGAGCUUUCGGAGUGUUUCCUCUGAAAUUUUAGAUGCUGCAAAAUCAACAUUGUCCCGCUCGAAGUAACCCGGACAAUUUCAUUUCCUAAUUUCUUCUUAUUUAUUAUGGCAUUGAUUUUCAUUGCAAGCUCAUUGCUCUGCUAAGAAAAAGAAUAAAUGGGGGCCAAAAAAGGAAGAAAGAAAUAGAGGCAAAGGCAACAACAUUAAUGCACAAACCAGUAAAGGUAUUCCAUCGAUUUACGGCCACUGAUAGCAAGCCGGGGCCUUUAAAAACGGAAAAUACAAGCAAAGAAAAAUAGAAGCCAAUUGCUCAAUAGUGCAUAAUAUGCAUACGGAAAAUUUUCAUCACAUCACGACCCACAGUUAUUCGAAUAGGUAAUAAGACAGGAAUUUUCUUUCUUUGUUUAAAGUGAAAAAAAAAAAAAUCAAUGGCUCAGGAAGUAUCCCUCCAAUCUCCAGAACCACUCACUUGGCACUGGCAAGCUGGGUGCGGAGUAGCUUGGCAGCAGCGACCAUGUUUGAGAGGGCUGGCUUCACCUCAGUGUACUUGCGAGUCUUAAGACCACAGUCAGGGUUAACCCACAAAAUGUUGGUUUCUAGCACAGCAAGCAUCUUGUUGAUUCUGUCAGCAAUUUCUUCAGUUGAUGGUAUUCUUGGAGAGUGGAUGUCAUACACACCAGGGCCAAUUCCAGCACCAUACUUGACUCCCUCACGGAAGACAGACAGGAGCUUCUCAUCAGAACGAGAGUUCUCAAUGGUGAUCACAUCAGCAUCCAUGUCGAUAAUUGAGUGGAUAAUGUCGUUGAAGUUGGAGUAGCACAUGUGGGUGUGGAUCUGUCAAUCAAUAUACAAUAAGAUGAGACACAACAUCAACAGCUAAAUUAGAGAGAUGAGAUUGGAGAUUGAAAGGGCAACUGACCUGGGUAGUGUCCUGGACGCCACAGUUGGUGAUUCUGAAGGAGUGGACUGCCCAGUCCAAGUAGAAAGCAUGCUCAGAUUUCCUAAGAGGCAAUCCUUCCCUCAAGGCAGCCUCAUCAAUUUGAAUAACGUUAAUGCCUGCCUUCUCAAGAUCCUCGACUUCGUCCUUGAUGGCCAAAGCAAUCUGGUAGCAGGUUUCAUGUCUGCAAAAUUGGCAGCGAUUUAUGUUAAACAAUGUUUCCAUUUCAAAAGGUUAACCAAUAGUGAACCAGUUCUCAUUUAUAUACCUGGGCUGGUCAUUUCUAACAAAGGACCAGUUGAGAAUGGUGACAGGGCCAGUAAGCAUUCCUUUCAUUGGGCGAGCUGUCAUGCUCUGAGCCAAGGAGGACCAGAAGACGGUCAUAGCCUUGGGACGGCUCACAUCACCAUAGAUGAUGGGUGGCUUCACACAGCGAGAUCCAUAGGAUUGCACCCACCCAUUGGCAGUGAAGGCGAAACCUGAUAAUUGCUCUCCAAAGUACUCAACCAUGUCGUUCCUCUACAAAAACAAAUGUCCCAAUUCAAUAUGAGAUACAGCAUACUUCGUAUGCAAUUAGAAAUGCAGAAACAAAAAUGUAUAAAAUUUUAUCUAAUUCAAAACCAGGAGACAUUGCUUUGCUUCCAUUGGGCAUUGUGAAACUCACCUCAGGCUCUCCAUGGACAAGGACAUCAAUAUCAAGCUCUUCUUGGAGUUUGACAACCUUGUUGAUUUCCUCCUUGAUGGAAGCAACAUAUUCUUCCUCAGAAAUCCUAAAAAGGACAAAUAGUCACGGCACAGUUAAUACAGUAGUCGAAGUAAUUUCACACAUGGCAUUGAAUGAAGGAAAACCUCAGAUUGACUCACUUCUUAGCCUUGUAUUCACGGCGGACUCUCCUAAGUUCAAUGGUUUGUGGGAAGGAUCCAAUUGUGGUGGUUGGGAGGAUUGGAAGAUUGAGCUUCUUCUGUUGAGCAUCCAAUCUAGCACUAACGUUUGUAGCACGUCUGUGGUCUGAUCCCUUCAAAGCAGCAGCCUAAUUUACCAAGAGGAAGGAAUCACCGUUAGCAAAAAAAGGAAACUCUAAGGGGCAGCCACAUCAUAAAAAUGGAAAACAAAUCAAUCAUGCCACUUACAGCCUUUUGAACUCUCUCAUUGGUCACUCUCGGGGAGGACUUUCUUGAAGCCUGAGCUGCAGCAUUGGCAGAGAAGAAUCCCUGGAAACAAAUGAAAAGGAGAAACAAAGUUAGUCUCAUUCAUAUCAUUUCAAAAGGAAUAUACAUAUGCAAUUAGUGGGCUGAUUGUGAGAGAAAAUGUCCACAAAACUUUAACCAAACACCAAAUGCCCAAGUUGCCAAAUGAUGUUUAAUUCGGAAAAAUAUAUUUAGAAACAUUCAAAUAAAUAAUUUCCCCUUCUAAAUUUUCAUUUUCAACAACAUAUUUUACAAGCCAAGCUCAACUUCAGGCCAAGAUUUUCUGCUCCUAUAAUUAUAUUUUACCAUAAAACUAGGUCCUUGAAAGGCUAAGAUUUUCUGACUCUUGUGACUAGUCAAAGCCUAAGAUUCUUUCAAUUCAUCCGUAGCUAACAUUUUAGACUAAAAGUAUACCUCAUCCUUUUGGCCAGCCAAAGCCUUGGCCAAUGCAUUCACUUCAACAACUUUCUGGGCAGCAAAUGCCAGCCAUGACUUGAUUUCAUCGUCGAGUUUGUUCUCAUUAACAAGAUCAACAGCAGUGUGAAGAAGUGAGCAGGAGGUGGAGACCACAAGCUUGUCUGCAAAGAAAAAUAAUAAAUUAUACAACAAAUCCCAUAAAAGAAUAAGAAAUAUUUAUCACAAAGAAAAAUGCAGGCAAAGGAUGUAUACCUUUGCCAACAACACCCUCAAGCCCCCGGAGAACACUAAGAGAAGCAGCAAGAUCAUUGGCCCAAAUGUUCCUUCCAUCAACCACUCCAGCAAAGAGGUACUUGCCAGCAGGGAAUCCACUCUUGAUCAAUUCAAGGGUCUUCGUUCCACGAACCAAAUCAAAUCCAUAAGCGGUGACACCCUUCAAAGAAGUGAGGGUCUGGAAUGCCUCAGCUGGAACAUCAGCAAAGUAGGUCUCAACAAGAACAUUCAAGCCAGACAGAGUUGACUCUAGCUCGGCAUAAGCCUCACUGAAUGCAUGCAAUUUGUGUGAGUCAAGAUCCAUAACAAGCAAUGGCUCAUCAAACUGAAUCCAGGAAGCACCAGCAGCCUUAAGCUCAGAAAUAACUUCCCUGCAGAAGUGUUAAUUGGUACAACACAGAUUAAUGAUGUCACUCGAUAUAUACACACAGAGUUAUUUAGCACAUACACAUUUAUAAAUCAGUAAUAGGUGAUAAUUUCUUACUUGUAGAUUGGAAGGAUUUUCGGAAGAAGAGAAAGAAGAGAAAAGGUCUUCGCAACACCCUUGGCAGGCUUAGACAGCAACAAGUAUGACACAGGGCCAAUAAGCACUGGGACAGUUUCAACUCCAAGCUGCAGCAUUAGACAAGUGAUCGAUAUUAGCAUCUCACAAACUUGAUCUGAUUGAUAGAAAGUUACAAGCAAGUUCAGAAUUCGUUUAAUGAAAUCUCUAUGAAAAAUCUUCAGGGUCCACAAUGUGUUGAAAGUACCCUUUUCAAGUAAUUUAUCUUAAGACUAUUUUGCAAACAGUAUUGCUUUCCUUACAGAUCAAAUAAAUCAAACAACAUAUGAACACAUUUACUGAACCAAGUCUAAGUUCAAAGCUCUAUAAAUAAAUGUCAAUGAAUCUAUAGUAAAUUCUAUUGCAUCCUAAGCUAAAGAUGAGCAUAUCAUAUAAGAAUUUCAAGGUGAACGUAACCCAAUUUCAAUAUAUUGUAGAUUCAGAUAUCAAACGAAAUAAAAUUUGUAAAUAUAGACAGAACUGAGAAUAAACACUCACCCCCUUAGCCUCCUUGUACUCAGUCACAGCCUUGUGGGAAGCGUAGGAGAACUUAACAUCGGGUCCCAAUUCAGGAACAAUGAAAUGACUGCAUCAACACGAAGCCAAACACGCGUCAGCAUUCAGUACAAAACCAUUACACCAUAAAUAACUUGAAAUGCCGCUCUUCCAAGUAGUGAAUACUUACUAGUUGGUGUCGAACCACUUGGUCAUUUCCAUAGCGGGAACAGAGGCGUUUCCUCUGGCCAUGGAGAAGUAAACAUCAAAUCCAAUCUCGCCGCCGUUCCAGUUAUACCUCGGGGGCACGGCACCGAGCAUUGCGGUGGUGUCGAGCACUUGGUCGUAGUAGGAGAAAGUGUUGCUGGGAAUGUAUUUGAUCCCGGCCUGGGACAUCUGUUUCCAGAUGGAGGAUCUGAGAUCAGCGGACACCUUUUGCAAAUCCUCAGCGCUGCUCUUGCCAUCCCAGAAGGAUUCCAACGCGAACUUGAGCUCCCUCUUGGGGCCCAUGCGUGGGUAUCCAACGAUGUGAGAUGCCAUUUUACUGUCAUAAUCACGUCAUCAAUGAAUCGAAAAUCAGUCACUUUCAUUAAAUCAAGAAAAUAUUCAUUCAAAUGGAUGGGUCAUUGCUAUUACUGCUCAAAUCAAAUGAAAUCAAGAACACUUAUCAGAGCAUAAAAUCUUAAAUUAAUUUUUUUAUAAAAAAAUAAAAAACCAGUUGAAACAAGCUGAUAAUAAUCCAAGAGUUUGAGAUGAUUUUUUUCUUUCUGUAAUCACAUGAACAAUUAUGUACUUUCAGUCAUUUUUGAAGGAUUAAAACAAAAAAUUCUACAAAUAGAUUCUGAAAAGAAGAAUCUAAAAAUAGAUUCAAAAACAGUAACACAAGUAGAGUUCAAAUUGUUUUUCGGAAAAGAUUAAUUACAGAUCUGAUUGAUUCACGUUCAGAUCUAGCAAAAUCACGGCAGCCAAACACUAGAUCUAACACUAACAGUCACUCACCAGUCCAUUAGAAAAUGAAAUCAAGUUCAAAAUUCUUUUAAAGUUAAUUCUUUUUUAGAAAAUGACCAGAUUUUAGUUGAGUAUUAGUGAGUUUUUUACAAAAUAAUUUAUUUUUGUUUUUUAGAUCCAAAAGUUCGGAAAUCAAAACCAUGUUCAAUGCUUAUUCAUGAUUAACGGCGUAAAAACGCUACUGCAGAGAAGACAUAACGAAAAUGGGAACCGUACCAAACAGAGAAAGAAGAGCAGAGAAAUUGAGAGUCGAGAGGAGAGAGAGAAGAGAGCGGCGAGUUUGGGGGAGUGCCCUCUCCGUUAUUUAUAGCCAAAAAUCAAAUCUGGUUUGGUGGUUGCCUUUGGCGUGCCAACCUGUAGAUCUGAGAUUUUUCAUCUUAAUUUCUUUCUCUUAUUUAUUUAUUUAUUUAUUAUGAUUUUCAGUGCAGUUCAUAAAAUAUAGAGCUGACGCGCGCUUUUCUGAUGUGGCGCGUGAAUUGGAAAUGCGGUAGGUCUUUGUGGGCCCCACGGCACGGUCAGGACUGAAGGAAAAAUGUGAGAAGUUAUCAUAAUUUCAACAGUGCCAUAAUUAGCAAUUACACCACCAAAUAUUUCUUGAGUUUUUUUUUUUUGAUUGCUUUAAAUGCAGAGUUGUUAUGAAUUGUGUUAAUUGUAGAGUUGUUAUGAUUAGAUUACAUUAUAAUUCGUCACAAUUAUGAUAGGUAUGUACGUAUAUAAUAAUUUAUGAGUAAUGAUAUAACCACAAACUCUUAUACAAACUUAUUUUGUACAAAUUGAUGUGGCAUGAUAAAAUUAGUUGAAUUAAAUAUUACUUGAUCCACAUGAUUUGUUAUUAUUAUUUUAUAUUUUCAUUCAACCAAUGAAUUAAUGACACGUCAGUUUGUACAAGAUAAGUUUGUACAAGAGUUUAUGGUUGUAUCAUCACUCAUAAUUUAUAUAAGAUCUCGAAUAUUUAAAAAAUUUAUAAAUCAUUAUUUUCAUGUACAUUUACCUGGUAGCAAUGACAAUAACAUAAAAUAAACUCCAAACAAGAAUGGAUUAUAUUAUUUAUGUUAUUUUAUAGCUUUUUAAUUGAUUUUUAAAAGGAUUAAUUGUUAAUCAUUACUCUCCAACCGUAAUCACCAUUAAAUAUUUAUUUAAUUUAAUAGUCGGUAGAUCAUAAAUAAGAUUAGAAUAUUUAAUGGACAAUCUAAUUGCUACUACAAUUGUUAUCAUUUUUUUAAGGUAAGGGAUUAGACAAUACUCAAAUUUAUUUUUUAACCCCUUACUCCCUAAAGAUUCGAAUUUAACUAACUAAUUAAAUAAGACUGCUUAAAAACCACUCAACCACAUCUUUUGGGGACCAAUUAAUAUCGAUGUUUAAACUGAGGUUUAUUAUUAAAUUUUUUAAGUUUCAAGUUUCAACCGCUAACAACAUUAUCAUCGAUUAAUGAUAAAUAUAAUAAUAUUUCAUCAAAAAACCAUUUAACACAUCCAUCCAUAUUAAACAUAAGUAAAAAAUUUAUCAUGCAUUUCAAAUAUAUUUUUCAUCCUAAAAGUUAUGGAGAAAAUCUUGAUAUCAAAACUUACAAUGUAAUUAUGGGAUGUAAUUUUGCAUUUGAGGUCAGCACAACUUAAAAAUUACUAUGAAUGAAAAUUUAUAAUAAGCAGACACCACAAAAAAAAAUUAUUUAUAAGUAUUACAAUCAUGCAGUUUUAUUUAAGUAUUUAACCAAGUCAUUCAAUUUCUAAUUAAGACGGUAUAAAUUAGAUUUGGGCUGCCUAAGACCAAAAGUCAAAAAAAAAAAAAGAAUAUUCCUAAUAAGCAGCCUACCGCGGUCACGCGCCUUAAGAAACGCUUGGACUUAGCACACGAUUUUAAUCCAAAAUGUAUAAAAAAGGAAAAAUUUAUGAGGUGUAUAAUUAUCUUGAGUUGUUAUAUUUUGAAGAAACAAUGAAGAAAGUUGGUGGCCGAAGUUGAUCCGGGGCGAAUGGUGGUGGGCCCACGUUGUUGCAUUAUAAUUGGAGUUAUUGUAAUUUUUCUUAUAAUUAAUAAACUCCAUUUUUCAAAGAAAAUAAAUAAAUAAAUACACUCCCGAUUACGAAAAUAUCAUUUCAUGAGUGUCAAAGUUAGAGCUGGCAAAAUUUGACACGACCCGAUUACCUGACACGAACACGACAUAAAUAAAUAAGUAUGGAUCGUCAAAUUUAACACGAUUAUUAAAUGGGUCGGGUCUGGGUCAACACAAUUUUUUUCCGUGUCGGGUUUGGGUUAAAAUUCUUGACCCAUUUACCCGAUCAAUGACCCGAUUAUAUUUUCUAUUUUAAAAUAAUUUACAUAUUCUUAUAAUUAAAACUCAAAUAUUAGAGAUAUUUUUUUUAUUCUUUAAAAUGGUGAAUAUAAACACAGUGUUUUAUUUAUAAAAUUUUACAUACAUUUAGAGCUUCAAUAGUGUAAAUGUGUAAAAAUUGAUAGACAUGUAUAUUUUAUAAUAUUGAUAUAUAAUAUUAUAUAUAUAUAUAUAUAAUUAAAACCUCAAUAGUGUACAUGUGUAAUAUAUUGGUAGAUAUGUAUAUUUUAUAAUAUCGAUAAAUUAUGUAUGUAUGUAUUUAUGUACAUACGUAUGUAUGUAUUUAUGUAUAUACGUAUGUAUGUAUUUAUGUACAUACGUAUGUAUGAUAGUGUGUAAAUAUUUUAUGUAACUUUUGUUCAAUAUAUAGAUAUUAAACGGGUUAUUGGGUAACCCGAUUGUUUUUCCGUGUCGGGUUUGGGUCUCAAUAUUUUGACACGAUUAUUAAAUGGGUCGGGUUUGGGUCGACCUAAAUUUGACACGACACGACACGAACACGACCCGAUGACCCGUUUUGCCAGCUCUAGUCAAAGUGACCGUCACCUACGCAUCGCGUUUGUUGGGCGGGGUGGGUAAGGUGGGGCGAGGAGUUUGUUUGAUCGUCUGAUUACUUUGAUUUUGAUGAAACGUAUGGACGACGGCGAUGGCUUGCCAGCAAGUGGGUUUAUCAUGAUUUUGAUUGUAUUCGGGGAGAUGCUUAUGUAUAUCCUCAAAACUUCUUGGAAAUGAAAACCGCUGGGGUGGCAAAUCUUGACCAAUAAAGUGUGCGUGAUGUUGCGUUUAUAAAUUUCAAUAAUACUAUUGGCCGAUUGAGAUUAUUUUUAAAAAGUUUAAAAAUAAUUUUUAAAGGUUAAAUGUUAAUUUUAAUAUUGAAUAAAUUUUUAAAAAUUAUUUUUGAUAAAAUCAUUUUAUCCUCCAAUAAAUUUUAAAAAAUAGCGAUACAGUAAUUUUUUAAAAUCUAAUUUUAAUAAUCAAAACUAUUUUUUUAUAUAAUUUUAUAGAUAUCCGCAUAUAUAUAUUAUAAAAAUUCGAAAUCAUUAUUAUUAAUUAGGAAAUAAAAUCAUUAACUUUUAAGAAAUUAUUAUUAUUACCAAUUAUACUGACAUAACAAAAUAAAAAAUUAAUUAAUAUUAUAAAUAUUUAUUUCAGUUAUCAACUAUUAUAUAUACACAAUAAAAAAUAUUUUAUAUACAUAUUUAUAAAUGUAUAAAUAAUUUUUAUUCAAUAUUAUAUCGAAUUAAUCAUUUACAUUCUUGCAACAAGUUAACAAUAAAAUUUACCAAACACAUACGAUUGUUUUUAAAACUCAUAUUAUUUUUUUAAAAAAAAAUUACUAAACCUUUAACUGAUUCUCUUACAACUGAUUAUUUCUACAGUACAAUUAACAACAAUUAUUUUAAAAACUAUAACAUUUUCAAACUAGCCCCAUGACAAUAUUGUUAUUGUUGUUUUUCUUACUCUUAUCAAUAAAACUACGUUGCACAUAAGUGCAUAAAAAUUCACACAAAAUAAACUAUUUAACUUUAGGGUAUUAAUUGAAAAAAAAAAUCAGAUUAAGGUGAAUAAAUAUCAGAAAAUAACAAAUAGAUAAACUCUCACACUCUUUAAAAAAAUUAAUUUUAUAAUUUUAUUUAAAACCAACAGAUAUUACCAAACUUAACGGAUCAAUGUUCCAAUGUUUUCUUUUUAAUUUCAAAACCAACAGAUAUUCUUUGUUCAUUAUAUGACCUCCAAACAAAUAAUUUCAUUAAUAAAAUAAUAAUGAAAAGUAUCGUGGUGAGUACAGAGUAAUUCGGUGGCUAAUAAAAGUCUCUAUUUUUCGUCUCUGUUUUUCAUUUUAACUCUUGGGGUUGGUGCCACUUCGGCCUUGGUCGGAGUGGUGGGCUGCUGCCCUCACAAGUAUUGUGAGGACAGUGGUUCAAGCCCCCACAAAUAUUUUUGUGGGGGCUAACGUACUUAUUUAUUUAAUAUUUCAAAAAUUUCUUCUCCCUCGUGCAAUACGAGUGGAGUAUGGACAUCCCUCCUCUAUAAGGGAUUAUUUGUCUGGGCAUGUACUUCACAGAAUUCAAUGUAAUAAUAUAAGUCUCAAUCAUAUAUUUUUGAUUGUAAAUAUCAAUAUAAUAUAUCUGCUAUAAUAGCAGUUGUAAAUAUCUGUGUAAUGCAAUAAUAUGAUAAUUAAUCAUUAUUCAAAAAAAAAACUCUUGGGGUUGGUAGGCUCGUGAAUGGUCCACGUAACCUCUGGACGUAACACUCAAACAAAGACAGCACAAGGCACAUGAAAAAUGCCUAAAAACCGUAAAACCGUGACGUGUUCAACAUAUUAAUAAAUUUAUACUGUGUUUUCUUUUUUUUUUUAAUACUGUGUUGAUAAAGCACUUACGAUGGAACGACCAAUUCUAUUACUUGCAAAACUAAUUAAUAUUUCACUCUAUCAUCUAACUAAUGGAAGGCCAUCUUAAUUGAGGUUGCAAUAGUUAGAAAGUAGCGGGAAGGGUGGCCAAUGCUCCAUAUUAAUUUGCAUCAAUCCCUUUCUGGUGAAGAAGUACGGGUGAAGUAGAGGUCAAAGUUAGAAGAUGAAGGGUGUGUUUGGGAAUUGAGAGUGAGGUGCUGUAGUUUUUUAGCUGCAGUUGCUGUGAAAUAAAAGUUAUAACUGUGGAAUAGAAGUUGAGAAAAAAAAUUUGUUAAGCUGCCAAAGCCCAGUUACAAAUGUUACCAAACACCUUAGUAGCUAGGCUUUGGCAGCCCAUCUACCCCAUCACACUCCCAAACGGAUUAGAAGGGGACCGGGAUUGCUUUGUCAUAUUUGAAAAUGAUUUUGAAAAAAUAAAAAUUAAGUUCAGAAUUUGGUAAAUUCCUUUAAAAUUUCUUUUAGCAAAAUCACUCUCUCCUUUAGAUUUUGAAAAGUAUGGAAUGAGUAGUUUUUUAAAAUUUAAUUUUGAAAUUCGGAUUCAUAUUUAAUAUAAUACCAUAUAUCAUAACAUGUAUUAUAAAAAUCUAAAAUUAUCCUUAUUCAAUCAAUUAAGAAGUAAAAUCUUACAUUUAAAGAUAUUAUCAUUAUCAAUUAUAUUUAGAUAAUAAAAAAUACAAUUAAUAAAAUAAAAAUAUUUAUUUUAGUUAUCAAUUAUUAUAUAUAUACAUAAAAUGUAAUUAUAUAAACAUAUUUAUAAAUGUAUGUGUAAAUUAAAUUUGUAGAUUUAUGUUUAUAUAGAUCAUUUGCAUUCUUAUCACAUUUUAAAAGUGAGAUUUAUUAAAUAUAUAUAUGAUUAUUUUUAAAAUUUACAGCACUUUUUAAAACAAAAGUAUCAAAAGUUUAAUUGAUUCCUUAUUUUUACUGUACAACUAACAGUAAGAUGUGUUUGGUUCAAGUAUAAAAUGAUGGGAUUGGACAAUUUUAAGAUUAAAUAAUCCUAAUGCAAUGUUUGGUACCAAAAAUAAUUGUGGGAUAAAAAUAGUGGACCCCACCAUUUAAUCCAACACAAUGUCAAAAUUUUAUCACAAAGGGGGGUGUGGGAUAAGCUAAAACUUAAACGUAGGAUAACAAAAAAAAAGCCCAAAAUUUUAUACAACACAGUGAUUUUUUUUUUUUUUUGAGUAUGUCAUCAUCCAAUGAUAGUAUAUAUGCCAGAACACUCUUUUGACGUUAAUGAUAUGUAAUAUUUUCAUAUAUACAGCUAGUGACAUUGUUAUGUAAUUUCUUUUUCAUUUAUAGAUUUAUAUUAUUAUUAUAUUUGUUGAUGAUAUUCUUGUUAUGUUUAUAAUUAUAUUAUUUAGUAAUUUAUAAGUUUAAAAACUAUAACAUGUUAAAUAUAAGAAAAACUUUAAGCGAAGAUUUUGUAUUUUUUAACAAAUUUACCAAUAAUUUUUUAUUUAAGUUAGAUUAUAUUCCAUGUCAUUUUAAAAUAAAUCUAAGAUAAUUUUGAUAAAUUAAUAAAUAAGACAUAUUAUUAGUUACUAACCAAUUUCAUGGCAUACCAAACAUGAGAUAUGAUUAUUUACAGUCUAAUCCAACAUUGCACCAAACGUAAUAGAGUAUUAUAUAUAAUCCAAUGUUAUCAAAUCCAAUCAUAUCUUAUCCAAUCCGAUCCGAUCCAGUCUAAUCCAAUUUGACAUACCAAACAAGCCCUAAUUAUGUUAAAAACUACAUCAUUACCAAACUGACCCUUAAUACAAUCUCAUACAUACAUACAUAUAUAUAUAUAUAUUAAAAAUUAAAAAUUAUCUUUAUUUAGUUAGGAAAUAAAACCAUUAUAUUUAAAUAGAUUAAUAUUAUUACUAAUUAUAUUCAGAUAACAAAAUUAAUAAAAUAAAAAUAUUUGUUUGAUUUAUCAAUUAUUAUACACACAUAUUUAUAAAUGCAUGCGUAAAUAAAAUUUUAUAGAUUUAGGCCAAGGCGGAUGUACGGUACAGCAGUAUCUUUAUUUAGUUAGGAAAUAAAACCAUUAUAUUUAAAUAGAUUAAUAUUAUUACUAAUUAUAUUCAGAUAACAAAAUUAAUAAAAUAAAAAUAUUUGUUUGAUUUAUCAAUUAUUAUACACACAUAUUUAUAAAUGCAUGCGUAAAUAAAAUUUUAUAGAUUUAUGUCUAUUUAAAUCAUUUGCAUUCUUAUAACAUUUUAAAAAAAGAAAAGAAAAGUGAUUUACCAAAUACAUGUAAUUGUUCUUCAAACUUACAACACUUUUAAAAUAGAAUUUAAUAAAUGUUUAAUUAAUUUUUUCACAGCUGAUUAUUUUUAUGGUAUAACUAACAAUAAUCUAUAAACUUAUGGUAAAUAUUUGUGUGAAUGUUGGUCCAUGUAAAGAAGUAAAAACAACGCAUAUAUCAAGCAAUAAGAUAUCAAAACUCUUAGUAAAAUACAUAUACUAAUGAAAGAAUGACAGCAAUGCAAUAAAUAAGAUUAUAAUAUAAAUUAUUAAAAUUGUAUAUUAAAAAUUGAUGUAUGAAAUUCUUUUUAUUUUAGUGAUAGAUAAUGUGAUAUAUUUGAAUAAUUUGAUUAAAUGAAAAGAAAAAUAACAAGUAUGGUUGUGGAGGAAAUAAACCAUUGAACUGUGGAAUGUUAUUAAUUAUUGCUAUUUCAUUAUGUAACGUCCUGAUAAUAAGUACAGUGUUAUAGUAUAUUGAUGGGUGGUGAUAUUGUCACCCCUUAAAUUGUGUAAAGUCAACCUCAUUUACAAAUUUUUUGAUAUAAAUUAAAAAGUACAUUAGUUUUAAUAAAUUAUAUAUUUAUUGAAUAAACUAGAACCGUUAGGGAGCUGUAAUGUUAGCACUGUUUUAACUUAUUAUAAAAAAAAAAGUUAUGAUUUGAUCAUAACUCUAAUUUAGAAAAGAAAAAAGAGUUGAAUUGCUAACAUACUUAAAAAUAAAAUAAAAACAUUAUUAUUAGAUGAAAAAUUGUAAAACUUAAGGGGGCAUUUGCAAGUCCGCCACUACUCAAUAGAGCAUUAUUCAGUACUCGUUAAUAUAUCUCGAACUUUUAGGUUUUUUUAAUAUAUUUUUAAUACAUUUUCUAGAACAUUUAGAUAAAAAGAGUCAGUACUCCAAUUGAGUUGUGAAUAAACAUUUAGAUAAAAAGAGUCAAUACUCCAAUUGAGUUGUGAAUAAACUCAUGUUAAAAAAAAAAAAACUCAUUUUCACACUUGAAACGAUUAGUAAAUGGGUGAUACGAAUUUAACUUGGUCAAUAAUAUAUACCAUCUUAAGUUAACUUCAACUCAUUGAUCUUCUAUAGGGUUGAUCAGCCUGCCACAAGGCCCACAAAUUAUCACCUCUAAUGCUUUUGCAACAGUCGUUAUAAAUGCUGACAAAAUGAAACUUCUAUAUAUUUUGGUUUUUUUUUAUUUCUAUGAAAUAUAAGGCCCUUAUGGCAAAUUUCCAUCCAGCGUGAAAUUUGCUAGUUUGGCCUUGGUACUGUGGCACAUGCGUCAUGCAUGCGUGGCUGAGAUGCUUCUAAAACUAAUAAAUUAUGAAGAAUUCCAAAUUCGUACCAAAAAUAAGAGAAUAGGAGCUUGUCAUAGGUGUCCGCGGAUCGGAUUUUAUGGGUUAAACAUUAAUUCAUAUUUGAUUCGUGAUUUUGUAGAUUAUAAAUUUUUAAUUUAAUUCAAUUUAUGGAUUAGUGAAACUCAAUACAAAUUCAAUCCAUAUAUAUGCAAAUUAGAUGCGGAUUUAACCCAAUGCAUAUUCAAUCCAUCAUUUGGCGGAUUGAUUUGCAAAUUAAAAGUUUUUAAUUUUGUCCAAUCUAAAAAGUAAUUAAAUUAAAAAAAUCUAAUAUAUAAAUAAUUGAUUAAAUAAAAAAAUCUAAUGUAAAAAUAAUUUUACUACCAAUUAAAUUCAAAAUUGAACAAGAUUUAAAUAAAUUUAGAAUAAUACAUUCAAAAUUUUAAAAUAUAACACACCGAAAAAAAAAUUCAUUUAUUUAGAUCAAUACAUGAAAAUUAACUAAAAUUAUGAAUUUAAAUGUUGAAACUUGAAAGCUUGGAUGUAACAGGAAGAAUUUAAGAAACUUGAAGAGCUUGAAAAGAAAGUAAGAAAUUAAGUUUAAUUACCUCAAGUGGUGAAGUGAAACAGUGAUUGGCUUGUGCGUGCGGUGGGAUAGAGAUUUGGUGUUAUAUGUCAAAAUAUUUUGUUUGGCUUGGGGUUUUUGUUUUGCUUUAGAAAUUUUAAUGUUUAGGAAACUAUAUUUGCUUAUUUAAUUAUUUCUUAUUUUAUAUUGUUAUCGAAUAAAAUAUAAUAUUUUGUUAAUUUAGCUAUAAUUUUAUGCUGAAUAUAUUUAUUUAAAACGAUUUUAUUAAAUAAAUGUGCAUAUUUAACGAAGGUCUCUGAAAUUUCAACCUGCCUGCUAAUGAUAGCCAAUACGGCACGACCCACCAAAUGUCGGCCCACGCGGGCUUGUGGGCCAUGACGACUUUUUUUGUAAGGGCCCGGCACGGCCCACGGCACGAGUCCGUGCCCAAAAAAAGCCCACCUACCUUUUUUUUUUUUGUCCACAUGUUCAGCGUGCCUAAAAAAACCCACGUGCCUGACGUGCUUUUUUAAGCCCACCAGCCUAAUAGUAACAACAACAACAACAAUAAUAAUAAUUUCAUAGAAAUAAUUAAUGAAAAAUAAAAUAACAAUUCUAGAAUAACAAUUACAUCUAAUUUUAUUUGAACAACUAAUAUUAUAAUUGCACAUAAACUCUAUUGAAUGAAAAUGUAAUUUUUAAUUUAUUAUAAAAAUAUUUUGUUCAUAAUUUUAUUUUUUUGUGCGUAAAUAUGAAAAAUAUUUCAUUCACAAAUGAAACAUAUCUCCAUUAACUAUUAACUAAGUUAUGAUUUCAUAAAUGAAAUAUUAAUGUCGUAAAAUUUUUUAUUUAUCAUUUAUAAAAUCAUGAUAUUUAUUUAUCCAUUUAAUAAAUUAUAAACAUAAAAAAAUUAGAAUACUUAUUUAAACUAGGACUUAAAUUAAUUUUAAAAAGCCUAUACUAAAAAAAUAUAUUAAAAUUUUUAAUUUCAAGGUAUUUAUAAAAUCAUGAUAUUUUAUAUUUAUUUUUCAUUAAAAAAUUUUAUUUUGAUAUACUUUGGCCCACGUGCUAUUGGUGGCCCACGGGCCGCGUGCUUAGCCCACCAAUAAAGUGUGCUUAUUACAUGCCUUUUCGCGUGCCGUGUUUUGCCCCAUCUCUAAUCAUACCGUGCUUUUAAGGCCUGCGUGCCUAAAAUUCUAGGCCCGCCAGCCGUGCCGUGCCGUGCCGUGCCUCGUGCCGCCUGGCCCAUUGGCCAUCCCUACUGCCCGCCAACCACAUUUGUCCAAGAUCAAUUUGUAGGAAAAAAAUUUGAAAAUCAAUAAUUUAUUUAAUUAAUUGUUAAUGUAGGCAUUUGAAUCCCCACAAAAUCUGGGUGUCAGUUCUAGACUUCUGGUGAUAUAUUUUUCUAAUUAAGGAAUAAAAUAUUUUUGUCAUUUUUUUAAUAUUUUAAUUUACCAGGCAUAUCAACUAAUUAAUUUUUCUACUUAGACUAUUAAUUCAUUACGUGCGCAAUCUGUAGCCCGGCGCUCCAAUCCCAUGCAUGUUACACACAACUCAAUCAUUAUUUAUUUAUUUAUUUAUUUUGACCAACAACUCAAUGUUUUUUAUAGAGCUGUCAAAAUUUGACACGACCCGAUUACCCGACACGAACACGACAUAAAUAAAUGGGUAUGGGUCGUCAAAUUUAACACGAUUAUUAAAUGGGUCGGGUCCGGGUCAACACGAUUUUUUUCCGUGUCGGGUUUUGGGUUAAAAUUCUUGACCCAUUUACCCGAUCAAUGACCCGAUUAUAUUUUCUAUUUUAAAAUAAUUUACAUAUUCUUAUAAUUAAAACUCAAAUAUUAGAGAUGAUUUUCUUUUUUUUUAUUCUUUAAAAGGGUGAUAUAUUUUAUAAUAUCGAUAAAUUAUGUAUGUAUGUAUUUAUGUACAUACGUAUGUAUGAUAGUGUGGAAAUAUUUUAUGUAACUUUUGUUCAAUAUAUAGAUAUUAAACGGGUUAUUGGGUAACCCGAUUAUUUUUCCGUGUCGGGUUUGGGUCUCAAUAUUUUGACACGAUUAUUAAAUGGGUCGGGUUUGGGUCGACCUAAAUUUGACACGACACGAAACUGACACGACAUGAACACGACCCGAUGACCCGUUUUGCCAGCUCUAGUUUUUUAAUAUGAAAAGGUAUUGGUUAGCUUUGUCUUUAGUUUUUUCAACUUAUAAUAAGUUUGUAUUAAGGCUCCCUUUGGUACAGAUUUUCAAGUAAAACUUAUUUAGGGUUAUUUUUAGGGACCUCCCCUGAGGUUUGGUGUAUUAACAAUCUGAUAGAAAGUAUUCACGUAAUUACAAAGACCUCCCCUGACAUUUGUAUUAUGUUAAGUGGACUGUUAUUGACUAUUGAAAAUCCAAAAAUACCCUUCCUGCCAAAAUAUUUCUUUAUUCACUGAUGAACUGAUGGGUAAUUCGUGCCAAAAUCACAAAUUACUUAAGAAGAUGAAAAUAUCCAUUGGAUAAAAAAAAUGAAAUUGCUUAAUAAAAAAAUUGACAUUGCAUAAUAAUAAAAAAAAUUGAAAUAAUGUGCGGCGGCAUAGCUGCAUCUUGCAUGCAUAUUAUUAUUGUGAUUUUUUUAUUACAAACUCCAUCCUGCAUGCUUAUUAUUAUUGUGAUUUUUUUUAUUACAAACUACUUCAUAACUAAUACAUGCCACAAGAGCAGAGCUAUUAAAAGAAAUGAUUUUCAUAUUGUAAACUUGAUAGUACAGGUGUUGGCACCGACCAUAAAACCCUUAUGAUACCAAUCUUUGCUCCAUCCAUAUUUAAAUCCAGAUCAAGUAAAUAUUAAAUUGGAUUUCAGGUCCUGAAAAUCCCACUCUAUAAUUGAUAUCUUCGAGUUUUGUUGGUGCCUCAAACCUGGAUCUAGAGCAUCAUCUCUGUCAUACUCGGAACACCUAAACUAAUGGACUUGCUGCAGCUGCUUAUUCUUCUUCUGAAAUGAUGCACGCAGAUAGAUUACAGACUUUGAAAUAAGAAAUACAAUAAACAACAUGUAAUCGAACUUAAGAUUUCGGCAAACUUGUUUGAAAAUUAGAAUCAAACAAGGAAAAUGGCAAGUCAAUAUUUUUUAAUCUAGAAAAAGGGCAAUUUCAAAGUUUAUCACAUGCCAAAUUCAUAGUCUUGCAUCCACUAUUUUCUAGUUUGAAUAACAAACAAAAGCCUUAGACAAAAACACAGAGAACAUCUCACAUGGGAGCAAAAAUUGUGUGUAGAACAAUAUACUUAAGUUACAUGUGAUUACAAUCACAUUAUUUAGCAAAUACAAAAUUACCUUCUCAAAAAAAAAAAAAAAAAAAAAAACACCACCAAAUUAUUGAAGGUAUUACAACAAUAAGGCAAAAGAACACCAAAGGCAUGCACAAACCGAAACUAACACACAACUCAAUUAGUGUCAUGACCCCAAACUGAACAAUCAUAUAAACCAUUGUGGGCUCUCUAAAAGAUUAUCACAUUAUAAGCAAACAGAAACCUAUAUUUGAUGAACUACAUCUAGUACUUACACAACUCUUAAAUCAUUAGGAAAUUGCUCUUAUCAGUCAUUACCCAAUAGUUUUUUUCAACUCAACACUAACAACCCCAAAGAGAAACAACAUCCAGCACCAUUUUCAUUAAUUAAAACAGACCCAUUGUUAUUUUUAAUCAAUAAAAUAACAACAAUAUCGUGUAAGCCACUGAUUCAAGCAUUCAAGCUGUGUUUUCGAAGACUGACCUCUUCUUGCUAUCUAAUUCCAGUCACGAUAGACGCUAGAUGCCGGCAAUACUCGCUUCUUGGAAGCUCUGGACCACCGCACGACGUCAUCUUGUGCAGUAGAUGAAAAUAAAUCAAUGAUUUCAGAAAUUAUUUGUGAGUUGCAGACGCUUCUUCUCCAUGGAUGAAAAUGAUGGUGGGUUUUGUUCAAGUGUAAGCUGUGUUUACGAGGAGAAGUACACUUUGUGAAAAAAUCAUUUUCUUUCAUCUACUGGAUAAUGACUUUGGACUGGGUAAUGGUGUGUUUAAGUCUCUAUUUCACGGACAUUGAAGCAUAUUUUGCUUGAAUUUUGAUUUUGUUUAAAUUUCAAGUUUACUUUUACUUGUUUACCCUUUUAUACUGACGCUUAUGUAUUUUUAUACUAACGUUAAGGGAGGUCUUUGUAAUUAUAUGAAUACUUUCUAUCAGACUGUUAAUACAACAAACCUCAGGGGAGGUCCCUAAAAAUAACCCAACUUAUUUAAAUAGAACUUUUACAAAAAAAAAUUUAGUUAUUUGGUUGUCAAUAAACUUUUCAAGUAUACUUUGUUUGGUACAGCUUUUCAAGUAAAACUUAUUUAAGUAGAGCUUUUACAAAAAAAAAAAAAUUAGUUGUUUGGUUGUCAAUAAAAAUUUUUAUUAAAAAAAAUAUGAAAUUACUUUAUUAGUCAAGUUUUUUUAAAGUUAUGCUAUGAAAAGAAUAAAAUAAGAUUGUCAAAUAAAUAGAAAAUAUUUUAAAUAUUUUAACAUUUAAAAAAACUUUUUAACCUUUAUUUUCAAAAAUCUAAAAUUUAAACUUUUACUAGUAAAGGCAAAAUAAUUUAUUUAAACUUCAAAAGCUUUAUUAGAAAAAUAAUCAAACAAUAACAAAAAUUAUUAUAAAAGCUUAUCGAAUUAAAUAAGUACUUAUAGUUAUUAAAGAAGUUAUAUCUAACAGACACUAAUGCCGAAAGCCCCUUCUAAUUGUGGGUGUAAAAGUUUGAAUUAUGCAUACGGUUAAGGAGUUAAGGUGUGUUUGGCAACUGCAUUAAGUGGAAAUUUUUAUUUUGUUUCGAAUAAAAAUACAGCAAGCUCGUGUUCGGCUCAAAAUAAUGGAACGUUUAAUUUGCAACCGUCGGCGGACGAAGCACACCGUUCACGGCCCUUCGUAUAAAAUUGCAUAUGUAAACGUAAAUAGGUCCGGAUUCAGAUUCGUUGCUGUAGAGAGUGGCACGCACGAUCGGGCUGCUGUCGGUGGUAGGUUGGCAUUGGAAUUCUCAUCACGCGCUUCCCCAGGCGCCUACUUAUGGCAAAUUGACACGUGACGCGUGUGGAUUGAAUGGACAGAGUCCCGGGCAGUGUGUCCAAAGCUGCCAACCGUGCUCUGAUUUUUGUCAUCCAUAAUGGCUAACGACUAACGAGGGAGAUUUCCGGGCAGAAAGAAAUUGUUGUCGUUUCUGAAGGGGAAAAAAAAGUUAUUUAAUUUGUUGUUGAAGACAAAAUGAAGAUCUAAAUAAAUAAUGGCUAAUUUUGAGUGUAAAGCAACGGUAAAUGCAUUAUUAAAUUAGAUUUAGGGUCUGAUUGAGAUUAUUUUUAGAUUUAAAAUUAAUUUUGAAAAGUUAAAAUUAAUUUUGAUGUUUAUUAAUUUUUAUUAAAAAUUAUUUUUGUCAAAAUCUCUCAUCCUCCAGCAUAUUAUAAAAAAUAAGGAAGAAAUAAUUUUUUAAAAUUUAAUUUUAAGAAUCAGUUUUAUACUUAAUAUAAUCCACAUAUAUCCUCGUAAAUAUUAUAAAAAUUUAAAAUUAUUCUUAUUUAUUUAGGAUAUAAAAUUAUUAAAUUCAAACAUAUUAUUAUUAUUAUUAUUAUUGUUAUUAUUAUUAUUAUUAUUAUAAAUUCACACACGCACACACAUACUUAUAAAUUUAUAAAUAAACUUUAUUUAACAUUUUGUUCACUUAAAUCAUUUAUAUUCUUAUAGCAGUUUAACAUUAUGAUUUACCAAACACAGAUAAUUAUUUUUAAAAUCCAUAAUAUUUUUUAAAAUAAAUUUUAAUAAAUGUUUAACUUAUUAUUCUGACAACUGAUUUUUUUUGUAAGGUAUAACCAUUAAUAAUAAAUAUUUUAAAAGUUACAGUAUCCCCAAAUUGGCCCUUACUAAUACUCUGCGUUGCCAACUAAAUACUAAUUGUAACAUUAAACAUCUGGAAUAUUUUUCUCUAACGAAACAACACAAUUAAUUUCCCUCUAAAAAAGAAAAAGAAAAAGAAAAAAUAAACUACCAACCCCACCCCUUUAGACAGCAGAGUUUUAGCUGAGGCGGCUUGCUUGCAUAAGCAUUAAGGCUGCUCUUCACCAACCAUUGAACAUUCUUUCCAUUUGAUUGUUACACUUUACUUCGCCAUCUCAUGUCCAUGUACAUUGUUUUGAAAUGAAGACUUUGCGUACAACUAAUCUUUUUCAAUUCAUAAUAAAAACUCUUUUAAUUAGUUAAUAGCUAUAGCUUCCAAUUGAGACUAUAUAUAAAAAUCCAUAUUGACUGACCAAACCAAUAAUUUUUAAUUGGCUUGAGCAUUGUCUUACUUACUUCAAAAUCGUCACUCUCUUUGAAAAGAACAUGAGAGAGUUCACCUCCAUCUCAACCCUUAACCCUAUAUCUCAGUCAAGAGAUUAUUCAUGGAAAAUUCAGAAAAAAGAAAUGUUGCAAUAUUUACGAAACUCACGUCACGUGAGGUAAGAUAAAUUAUUCCUUUCUGCUUUAAUUCAUGUACAUAAUCAUGAGAAUAACUUUAAUUAUAGUUUAUUUCUCCGUUUUAAGAUUUUUCCUUUUUUUUUUUUAAUUAAUUAAUUAUAGUUCAUUCAUUAAUCCCAUAAGAAAUUAACACCUUUGCCGGUAAAGUCACACAUACAACAAUAUUUUAGAACAAAAGGGAAGAUCAUGCACGAUCAUGAUGUUUUAUUAUAUCUCUAGCAAUAUAAUUAUCUUAUAAUUAAUUAAAAACAAAACAGGUAAUUAAGCCAAAGUGGAUGGCAUGCAUCAAUCAUCAUGCAGAACACCUCCCCUUGUUUUAAAUAUAAAUAAAAGAAAUUUGUGCCCAGAAGACUUAAUUAAUACUUCUCGUUUCUGAAGUGCUCACAUGAUAUAUAGUCGGACGCAUUAUAUUUAAUUUCAUGAAUUAAUCGUACGGUUGUAUUUUGAGAGAGAGAGAGAGAGAGAGAGUGACUGAGUAAGAUAUGGCUUAAUUUAACCAAAUCUACGUAUAAAAUUUUAAAAUGAAUUUUUGAGUUUUAACUUAGGAAUUGUCUAUGAAUAAAAGUGUUAAUCAAAUAUUUCGUGUAAAAACAGUCAGCUGUAACAUUUUCGGUUGCUUUAACAAAACUGUAUAUUUCUGUAAUUUCCUAUAUGGGCCAAAAGGAACAUUUUUCUCAGAAAUUAAAAACUUAUGGUGAAAAAGAUAAGAAAACCAACAGGUUCAAAGGUGCGAGUAAACUGGGCUCUGGUGCGCCCAACUCCCUCUUUUGAUUUUGAGACUCUAUUGACCAUUGAGUUUGAGGCCCCAACGGCCCAGUUUAAAACUGUUAUGAAAAGAAAAAAAAUAUAACUAUAAAAUUAAAAUUAAUAAUGUUUGAUAAAUAUAAUUUUUAAAUAAUAAUUUGACAAAAAUAAUAUAGGGUCUUGUGUAUAUUUUUAUUUGGCAUUUCAAUUAAUCUGCUUAUAUAUAUAUAUAUAUAAGUUAAUCUAUAUUUCUUGCAAGAAGAUAGUAUUUCUUUAAUUAAAGUCAUAACUAAUAUAUAAAUUAUCAACUAACCAUCAAACAUUUAUCUCAUUUUAUCUCCACCACGAUCAUCACCAUUCAUCCUGUCACGAUCUUUAUGUAACUACAAUUAUUUUUUCUUUAAUAAUGUCAACCCACCAACCCCAUAACAAUAUCUCCAAACAUCUCAUCUCAAAAUUCCUAAUAACAUAAGUGUUUAUGUAUGAAAGAAAAUGUGAAAUAUAUAAUCAAAAAGUAGUUUAAUAAUAUAAUGUUUAAAAAUUAUGGUAAAAAUAAGUGAGAGUUUGGCAUGGCAAGUUAAUAAAAAGAUAAAAGCUCGGACACUUGAUGCAUCAAAGUAGCAAUGUCUGUCCAUCAUUAUCAUCAUGCGGGUUUAGGUGCUUCUCAUGAUAGCAUUAGCUGGUAAGACCAUCAUGCAUCGUACUUUCAUUGUUAUACAUUUUGAAGGUAAGAAUGGUUAUGUUACGUCCCUCCGAUUAGGUGUAUUUUUCUUCUUCUUCUUCUUCUUUUUCUUCUUCUUGUACGUAAUAAUUUCUCUUUCUUCCAUGAAGAUUUCUUUCUCUCUUUCUUUUUUUUUUUUUUAUUAUAAAUAAAAUGAUAAGAACUAAUUUCCUUACUAAUUGGUAGGGUCGUUUAAUGGUUCAGAUCCAUUAGAUUUUGUCAAAUUCAAGUCCAAUCCAUCAUAUAUUCCAUUUUAUAUUCCGGAUCCGAUCACUAAUAGAAAUCCAUUAUAAUUUAAAACAAUAAAACGUCGAAUCCAAUUUAAUUCGAUAUGAUCAAUCCAAUUAAAAUAAAAAUUUACAAAUAAAAAUCAUUAGUUGCUCUCUCCAGUUAUAAUUCUUAACAAUUAAAAAAAAUACAAAAUAUCAACUCCUUUAAUAUUUCAUGAUUCAUGUACUUUAUUAUCAUAUGGUUGGAAAAAAAAGUUGAAAUUUGAAUAUUAAAAGCAAAUGUUGGUUGCGACCUGCUGUUUGUAUUCUAUAUUGUUAUAGUAUAUUUAUAGUUAUUUUUUUAGCAAGUUAAAUAUAAAAGUGACAUAUAGUUUUUUUUUAUAAAAAAAAAUAAAUAAAGAAAAUAAAAAAUUAAUUGGUUGGAUUGGUUUAUAUUGGAUUUGAACAUAUAGAUCCAUAGACCAAUCUAAUAACAUUAUAUUUUUUAUUUUGCAAUCUUAUCCAAUCCAAUCAAAAUGUCAAUAUGACAAAAGUUGGAUUGGUUUUGAUCAGAUCGAUUGGUUUGAUUGGAUUGAAUUGAAUUAGAUCUUGAACAUCCUACCAAUUAGACUUUCCGUGAUUUUUUUUUUUCCAAAUUUAAUAAAGAGACUUCCCAUGAAUGUUAAAUGCAGUUUUAUUGAUGAAUUCUGCAAUUUUAAGAAAUGUUUGAUACACGAAUAAUGCAUCUCAUCAACCAAGUAACUGCGUCCCCUGCAGCAGCCGCGGCUUCAACUGGAAUACUGCAGCCACACCGGUCUUGAGACUCAACAUUCGGCCGAAACUCAAGCAAAAGUUGAACAAUAUCAGGCCUGCUUUGAGCUAUAGCAAUAUGAAGCAAUGUUUGUCCCUGCGCACCAGCAGAAUCAGCUGGGUGGGUUCCAAGCAGGGUCACUCUGUUCAAGAACCUCUCUUAUCUCAUCCAUUUCACCAUCCUUAACUAGCUGAACCACAACAUGGGACCCAACAAACAUGAUCUUGAUUCCUAUUGAUGAACGCUGGCUUCUUCCUUCUUGUGAACCAGUCACCAGGAACCGAAUCAAGCAUCAAUGUUGCAUCUUUAAUUGCAGCUGCAGGAACGACAACGCUAUGCAAGAGGAAGGAAUCAUCACAGUGAGGGAAAGUAUGAAGGAGAACUGAUCCUGGAGGAAGAUGAUACGCAAUCUCUAUGCUUACUGUUCCGAGUGGUUGCAUUGACCUGAAUAGUUCGAUCUAUUUCUCGUGUAUCUACUUGCGCUGCACUUUCACUCGAAGAACCUACAAAAUUAUUCAUAACCCGGCAUAAAAAAGACGUAAAGUUUUCAGCGCGAGCAUGGUAACUUCAAAACCCGUUUCAUACCUAUCAUAUUUCAUUCGUCCCGCACCCUCAUUUAAAAGACUAGAGCUUAUAAAAACUAGAAGUACCUUACCCAGAACAUAAAAGCAGACAAAACCCAGUCGAGUAUAAAUAUAACGUUGAAUAACACCUACCAUUUACCAUUUCAUUCAAGAACACCACACAAUUAACGAAACCAACAUCGGUAUGUUUUCAGCCGUUGUACUUUCAACUUAAUUUUGAAAGCGCGGCAGCUAAAGCCUAAACUGUUGUUUGAUAAAAGUCCACCCACUGACUGCUACCUGGCGGCUACCGAUUCCAUUCAAUAGCAGUCAUAAAAUAAAAAGUACAAAACAAACCUAUGUACAAAAAAGGCAAUGAAGCAGCCAUGGAUUCAGUUAUUUGCAUGUUUGGGAUUGUGGUUGAUUCCAAAUUGAGAAUAUACUGCGAAAUUAUGUUUGAUAAGCAUUUAUCUGAUGAUUGCUACUUUAUUGAGUGCCUGUUUGGUAUGGCUUAUUUAAAAGCCAUAAGUGCUUAUUUAAUCGUAUAAGCACUUUUUUAAAAUUUUUAUGGUGUUUGGUUAUUUUUUUAGUAGAGUUUUUUUAGCUUAAAUAAGCUAAUUUACCUCUACUAGCAAAAGCCCAAAAUUUGAGCUUUUGGGAGUAGAGGUUAAAGAGCUUAUCUAAAAAAUAUAUAAUAAAAAAAAUAUCAUACAGUUUAAUGAUUCAAAAGUGUUUUUUUUAUUGACAACCAAACACCCAAUGACUUUUUGUCCAAAAACUCUAUUGGUAUAAGCUCUACUGCUAUAAGCUCUAUUGUUAUAAGCUCUAUUUAAUAAGCUGUACCAAACGGAGCCUAAAGCAUUCAUUUUUUUUUUUCGCGUUUGGCCUCUUCACUUUUUAAAAAAUUUUAUGGUGUUUGGUUAUUUUUUUAGUAGAGUUUUUUUAGCUUAAAUAAGCUAAUUUACCUCUACUAGCAAAAGCCCAAAAUUUGAGCUUUUGGGAGUAGAGGUUAAAGAGCUUAUCUAAAAAAUAUAUAAUAAAAAAAAUAUCAUACAGUUUAAUGAUUCAAAAGUGUUUUUUUUAUUGACAACCAAACACCCAAUGACUUUUUGUCCAAAAACUCUAUUGGUAUAAGCUCUAUUGUUAUAAGCUCUAUUUAAUAAGCUGUACCAAACGGAGCCUGAGUCUUCAAAGAAAAACUCAAUCAACUAAUGCUCGAUUUUUUUUUUUAAAUGACAAAUCAAAAAGUAUUUUGGAGUAGAUUCUCAAAAGAGUGAUUAUUUGAUAAUCCACCAUAAUCCCACUUAGUUAUCAGAAAUAAAUUAAAAUCCGACGAAUGUUACUUAAGCCAAACAGCAUUAUUUUAUUUUGACCACAAGGACCACAACCCUCAAGCUGUCAAGCAACCGUUACCGUUAACGACCAAUCUUUCACCUCUCCGAAUCUUUGCAAGUCACUAUCAAGCAACCGUUACUAAUAUUUAAUCAAUUAUUAGGAUUAUUGGAUUUCUCAAAUACCUUAUGUACUUUGGUUCACUUUCUACUAAAAUAAAUAUUACAGGAGCUUUCAAAGUCUAGGCUAAGGUUGUUGUAAACAUAGAGAGAUUCAGAGAUAUAACAGCUUGUAAUUACAUACCACAAAGCAUAACUUUGUUCGAAUGAUAAUGAUCAUAAUCCAGAUUAUAGACGUAGAGAGAGGAGAAGUCGUACUUGAGGGGCAAAACGCGGCGUUUUGGCUCGUGGAUGAGGUGCUGCUCCUGAUCGUCGUAGAUUGAAGGGAGGAGAGGUCGGUCGAGGAAGUUUAGGAGACGGUGGAGGCUGAAUUGGUGAAUUUCGAUGAAGACUGACGAAUCCAAUGGGGCUUGAGGGUUUGAUUUGCAAAGAUGAAAGAUAAGAGCAUUGUUUUGGUUUCUGUGCAAAAAAAAAAAAAAAAAACAUGACAAGCGUUGUUUUGGUUUUGGUUCUAAAAAGAUGAAAAUUUGACUGCAAUGGAUCCAUACGCAGUCGGUGUCAAAUAAGAGGAGAAACAAAUAUGUUAAUCACUCGCUCAAUCACUCAUGCGAAGUGCCUUUUUUUUCGUUGCUUUGGCUUCUGAGAAAUAUAUGCAUCAGAUAUUACAACUCUCGAGGAUAAUGCAUUUUGUUCCGGUUUUGACUGAUAUUUAGUGGCAUUUGAUAAACUGAUACCUCAGAACCUGGUAGAGAGUUUAUUAAAUACAAAGAGAACAAAAAUAUAUGACUAUAUAAGCUUUUACACGGUUGAAGAUCCGGUCAAAUUGGCUUUAGUUAGCAAGAUCAUUUAAAACUUUCAAAAAACGAAUGGUAUCAAAAAGCUCUGAGAAAAAGCGGAAAAAAGGCACCACAAAGAUCUUGCAAUUAUUAUCACAGCUUGAUAAGACAUGGAAAUGUAUCUUACAAAUUGGCCUUCCAAGCAUCAAAGAAUUGGGUGGCGACAACUCCCAUUCCUAGCUGCUACCGUGGCCAGUCCCUUCUAACUAAAAUGGGACAGGACCAAAAGCAAGGUCUCUCCCACUCUCCUUAUGUAUAUAAAAUUCCCUACAUUCGAAUAAAACUACAGAAAAAGAUUUGCACAUCAUCUUCUUUCACCUUAUUUUGCAAUCUUCAAGAGUUUGGAAGAUUUCAAAGCACUUGUUAGAAUGUAGCACUCCAUUAAGCAUUCUCACCUUCCCCACACCCCAAUGGACCUCCUUAAUCCUAUCGGCAGACCUACAAAUUCUGCUGCAACUCCAAUCAAAUAAAGCAACACAAUUGUUGCCUGCCUAAGCCUUCCACUCACAGCCUGCAAUGACAAGUUCAUGAUACAAAAUCAGAAACAUUAAUAAACAAAAAGAUAUUACCAUUACUUGCAGAGGGGGAUUUGUUGCAAUUAGUAAAUGCCAUACUUAUCACUUUCAUUGCAGAUAUCAUCAUCAUCAUAAUACUAGCAAUCCAGCACUAAUAGUCAGAAUAAUAAUAAUAGUAGCAUGAAUAAAGAAUUUCUGCAGAGUAAGCUCUAAAGAUGCCGAAAGUGUCAUCUAUUAUGUUAAUAAUAAAAAAGUCUAUCAAGAAUUCAAGGAAAGAAAACUCAUUAACAAAGAACUAAACUUUUUAAUAAUGUUUAAUAAACUACGUACCUAUGAUUUUCUAUUAUUAACAUAAAUGACACUACGUACAACUGAUUUUCGCUUUCUAAUGUUUCAAAUCAUACCGAGAAAUAUAACAAUUACCAAGUCAGUAAGUAGCACAAUUACUUAAUAAGACUUUGACUUGUCUAACCCAAAAUUGUACCCAAUUCUAUACUCUACCAUGAAAAGCUUAUGAAGCCGAACUUACUUUGACCAAACAGUACUAUUAGCUCAGUUAAAGGAAACCACAAUUGAACAAAGUUCAGCUGAAAUAACUGAACUAAAAAAACUUGAUAAAAUUAAAAGUAACUUAUAACAGUUUAGUAAAGAAGCAUACAAAACAUGAAGAUAAAUAAACAUAGGUCUAUUUUCUUGACACUACCAGGUCCUUUCCUUUUUUUUUUUUCAGAUAAGAUCUCGAUACUACCAAGUUUUGGAUUCAAAAUCACCAUAUUACAAUAAUAGUUGUGAUUCAUGGGAUACAAUAUGUAGCAGCUUAUAUGUCGGCAAUUAUAGUCAAAGAUGGUUGUCAAACAUCAUCGCAAAUCAAGAAGCUAAUAAAGACCAUGUCACACUACAUUAACAUAUAUCAGUUCUUUGAUACAAAGAUAUUGAAUGUUAUACAUUUCUAAUCCCAAGUCCUGAAAUACAAAACAAAAGUUCACUUCACACAGUCAUAAAGCUAGACUGCUAGAUAAAUGGACAAUAGGCAUUGGAUAUGGGUCAAUAAACUAUUAAGCUAAUUAAUGCACACGAAGGAAUCCGUUAGAGCUAGUAAAAUAGCCCUUACCAGAGAACUCGCAGAAGCAUUCAAUUUCCUCAAAGGAGAUAACUUACAACAUAAACAUUUUGAUAAGCAGCAACACACAUAAAAUAGCUUCACUCACUAGCAACAGAGCAACUUCUUCAACACAUUAAUAAAUCCAUUUUCAUUUUUAAACAACAAAAUAAUGCCCAGUUUCUCCAGCACAAAUAGGGUAAGCAGUAAUAGAAAAACAUGAUACAUAGGAAUUACCGGCCUCAAGAAAUCUCCAAGCUUUCUGUCCUCUGCUUCAAUUGCUCAAUCAAGAAUGCCCCAGACGUUGCGCUAGCGUGGUGGUGGAGCGUCGCGAAGCGUGUGGCGGCGGUGUCGGCGAAGGCAGGUCAUGAAGAUAGUUGGUGUCGCGCAGCGAAGGCAGUGCAGCUGGUGUCAUGCGGCGAAGGCAAAUCGCGUGGUGGUGGAGUUGGGGUCGCGCGGCAGUGGCGGUGCGGUGCUGAGGCAUAAUAGUGGCGGUGGCGUUGUGCGACAGUGGCAGUGUGGAGGCAGAUUGCGUGGAGCUGGCGGUGUUGAGGCAGAUCGCGUGGAGGCAGAUGCCGCGGUGGUGGAGUUGCUGUCGCGAUCAACGCCUGUGAAAGGGAAUGAAAGUGAAGGAGAUACCUACAAAAGAAAGAACGAGUGAAAUUUUUUUUUUUGUUCAAGGGUUUCAAACCCACAUAAACCCGACUCUCACACGGGUUCAGUAAGUUUAUGCGGGUUUGACUGCAUUACAAAUUGGUAUGACCACAACAACAGUACAAUGAUUGGUAAUUACCAAACAUGCUAUUUAUGUUGGUAUUAAAUUAAUUUAAUACAAUGAGGAGUGGUAAUAUCAUACAAUGAGGACUGUUAAAUAUGGUGUGUUUAAUAUGUUGUAUUGUAUUAUAUUAUUUUAAUACAAAUAUAUUAUAUUAUCUUGUAUUAUAAUAUAAAAUAAUGAAAAAUAUCGAAUUUCAAUAUAUAAAAAAAAAAUAAAUAUAUUUUGUUAUAUUCGAUCUGCUGUACGGCCAAGGCGGAUGUACGGUACAGCAGAUAAGAAUUUAAAUACAUACACUUAUAAUACAACUUAGUUUUUCCACAUUGUCGAGGGAUCAAAACAACCCAUCAUUGGAGUCCAAUAAGUUAUGUGGCGACACAAAAAAGUAAUUCUAUAUUUUUUACGUCAUAAAUAUGUAAAAAAAAUUGUAUUAUAUCUUAUUAUUAUUAGUUUUUUUUCUUCAGUUUUGACAAGUAUAGUUUUCUUGUUGAGUGGCUCAACAAGGCUGGUUACAAUUUCGAAAUAAUGUUCCAUCUGUAUCUGUUUUCCUUUUGUUUUUGAUUUUGUAGUAUAGUUAAUUUGUACGAAUUUGUUGCCUGGUUGGUUUUUAUGCUGAAAAGUCAGUUCAUUGGAAAUGACAGAAAAUUGUUUUUCUUUUUCAUUUUUACAGAAAGAGAUUUGCAACGUUAUAAAAGUAAGAGAUCCUAAGAGAUCCCUGAAUCAUAUUAAAUAUUAAACUUAAGAUACAGUCAAGGCUUUUAUUAUGUUACUAAUCAUGUAACGAAUAUAAUUAUGUAGCAGUCGUUAAAUACAAAUUUAACAGUUAUAAAAAUAACAUGAUUUUAUUAUCUUAUAUUUCUAUAAUCGUUGAAUUUUUAUCUGCUGUACCGUACAUCCGCCUUGGCCGUACAGCAGUAUUGAAUUUUAAAAAUUUAAUAUUAUUUUUUUAAUAUAAAUAUUAAAAAAUAUCAUAAUUCUUCAUAGAAAUCGAAGUUCAUGGCAUUAAAUUUUUAACGCCGCAUACAUAAUAAAAAAUUUGAUUCUCUAGUGCCAAUAUAAUAGAAUACAUAAAAACGAGACUGAGAAACUACGAAUAAAGCUCAUCAUCAAGGACUCCACAACAUUAUAAGAAGUACUAUGUAACAUUUGCCAAAUUACAACACCACAUCAAGACAUAUCACAAUGUAAAAUUUUUCCUAGAGAUUUGGUAAUUGAAAAACACAAUUCAAGUUGAAAACUGAUAGUCGACUUGAAAAGUUUUAACAUAUCCCAUAAAAGAAAUGUGCCAUGCCAAAAAUCCUAACCCUUGGCUCUUUGACGAUAAGAAAAUAUUGAAAAUUCCAAAGUACAGUGCAAUGGGAGAAAGAAUGCCUAUAAAGCUAGUAAAGAUAUUCUUAAACUACUAUUGGGAUGUUGGGCUGGUUGGUAGCAAAACCCAAACCCUGCUGCUGAUUUCCGAUACCACCAUCUUGGAUAAGCCGCUCUCCCUCCUCUUCCUAACUCCUAAGCCCAAUAUCUUUCCAAAACCUUCACAACCCACUCAUAAAUCUCAUUGUUGUCGUGGAUAUGCAAAUUCUCAAUCUUUUCUACUCCAUCACACUCAUCAAUCAUUUGGGUAUAAACAUUAACCCAAUUAUCCAUUCCUAUUUCCUUGUUAACCUCACCCACCUUGAAAAUGUUCUCAAGACCCUAUAGACAAACUGUGACGAUCCUUUGGUCCAGACAAACCAGAAGAUCACAGAGCGGUUUGAUGCAACCUUGGCUCACCAGGAAUCUGCAGGACCAUGGUACCAUAAGUGAUUCUAUCACAUGAACAUCAUUAGAUUAAAAAAAGAAAAAAAAAAGAAACAUCUAUCGUAUGAACAUUGCUGAGUGAAUAAAAGAAACAUACUGAAUAUGUUCAUGAGAUCCUCCAUAUGUGGCAUUUAAGACAGGCCAUGCAGCCUCCUUGAUUUCAAGUUCUGCAUGUUGAAGAAGAGGUGCACAAAAGGAAGGAUAAGGAAGGAUGAUAUUGGCCUCCAUAACAGCCUGUUGAACAAAAAUUCGACAAAUUAUAAUUAUGAGUAUAUUUAAGUAGCAAUUUUGUCAGAAUUAACUAGACUUGACUAUUGAGGAAGUCACAUUCAAAAAUAGAAAAGACGAGCAAGCAAUUGUAUUCAUGCUAUCGGGACCAAAAUACUAUGAUGCAAGCAAGAAAGAAAAACAUACAUACAUAUAAAACACUAUCUUUGAGUUGGGUAUUUUCUUUCAAUUUUGAUAAUGGCAACUUUGGAUUCUUCUGCUGAAUUACCACCACCACCACACCAUUGUAGUUUCACAUACUAAGAAAAGGCAGGUUCAGCUCCCGUGCAUGCCCAUAAGAAUAUGAUGUAUUAAUUAGAAGUAAAAUUAAUCUGUUCAAUUAAGUUCUCUCAUAUAUUUGUGUGCGUGUGUGUGUUAAUUAGUUUGCUUUCAAAUCUUUUCUCCCUUCUUAAUGAUAUAUAUUUUAAGCAUGAUAUCAACCACGAUGAAUUUAUUAGCCGAUUUUUAAUUAUACAUUCAGCAUGAUAUCACAAACCAAGAGCUUAAGUUAGCCUAAUUCUUCAUAAAUCUAAUAAUUGCAAUCAAUAAUAAUGCUGAAAAUACGAGUUUGAAUUAAGCUAGCAACUGGUUCUUAAAUUAUGCAAUAUGUAAUCAUAGGUUUACUUAAAGAUUAAAGCAUUUCUGCAAUCCAUUGUGCAAAAAGAUUAAAAAAAAAAAAAAUAGUUGCCAAAUUUUAUCUAAAUAAAAAUUCCUUUAGUGGUUAGUACUUGUGAAUUAUAGAAAUUAUUAUUAGUACUUGCUCAGCGCUUUUUAGAUUUGUACAGGUAGAUUACGCCAUUUCAAACCCGACCAUCCAUUUAGACAUACAAAUCCCCCCAAUUCCCUGUCCUCCGCCUUUACGCGACUCUCCACUGUAUGUGCCAACUAAUUAAUUUUUUAAUUACUUGUUUAACUAAUUAAUUCAUUUUCUCAAAAGCAAGAUUAAUCUAUUUGUUCAAAUCUGAAGGAGAUUAAGUUAAUUGAUUUUAUUGUAUGUAAAAAUAUACAAAGAACUCAUGAAGCCAACUAGAAAAAAAAAAAAAGACAAAAAAAAAAUCAAACCCAGAAAUAAAAAGACAUGCUUCGACAGAAAAUUAAUGAAAAUUAUACUGAUUGUGGUUCAAUUUGAUCAAACCCAAAUAAUAACCGGUUUGAUUGAUGACUCAGCGGCAAAGUGCAGGCGCAUCAGUGGUUGCACAGAUGAGUGUUCUCGUGCGGCACGACAAAGCAAUUGUCGGCGAUUGUGAUUGGUGAUGACAUCGAGCGAUGGGGGUAAUGGCAUCGGUCGUGACUUUGUGAUGGAGAAACGAAUGUUAGAUUCGUUCGAAGAUUCGUGUUUUGAUUGAAUAACAAAGAGAGAUUUUAUGAGUUUUAAUUAUCUAAUACGAUACCGCAUAAACCCGACUCGUACGUGGGUUUAUUUUAUGCGGGUUUCGGUGUACUAAAGCAGUAAAUUUAUGUGGUGCAAUUCAAACUGAUUUCACCGCCAAAAGAUCGUGUAAAUUUAAUAUUAUACAGGGUUUUAAUACUAUGUAAUCCAAUACACCAAACAUGCCCUUAAAAACGGAUAGCAAUCCGGGGCCUUUAAAAACGGAAAAUACAAGCAGAGAAAAAGAAAAGCCAAUUGUUCAAAAGUGCCUAAUAUGCCCACGGAAAAUUUUCGUCACGACCCACAGUUACUCGAAUAGGUAAUAAGACAGGAAUGCCUUUGUUUGUUCGAAUAUAGAAGCACAAUGGCUCAGAAAGGAUCCCUCCAAUCUCCUUGGCACUGUCAGCUGGGUGCGGAGUAGCUUGGUGGCAGCAACCAUGUUUGAGAGGGCUGGCUUCACCUCAGUGUACUUGCGAGUCUUGAGACCACAGUCAGGGUUAACCCACAAAAUGUUGGUUUCUAGCACAGUACGCAUCUCGUAGAUUCUGUCAACAAUUUCUUCGGUUGAUGGUAUUCUUGGAGAGUGGAUGUCAUAGACGCCAGGGCCAAUUGCAGCAUCAUACUGGACUCCCUCACGGAAGACUGACAGGAGAUUCUCAUUAGAACGAGAGUUCUCAAUGGUGAUCACAUCAGCAUCCAUGUCGAUAAUUGAGUGGAUAAUGUCGUUGAAGUUGGAGUAGCACAUGUGGGUGUGGAUCUGUCAAUCAAUAAACAAUAGAAUGAGAUACAAAAUCAACAGCUAAAUUAAAGAGAUGAGAUUGGAGAUUAAAAGGGUAACUGACCUGGGUAGUGUCCUGGAUGCCACAGUUGGUGAUUCUGAAGGAGUGGACUGCCCAGUCCAAGUAGAAAGCAUGCUCAGAUUUCCUGAGAGGCAAUCCUUCCCUCAAGGCAGCCUCAUCAAUUUGAAUAACGUUAAUGCCUGCCUUCUCAAGAUCCUCGACUUCGUCCUUGAUGGCCAAAGCAAUCUGGUAGCAGGUUUCAUGUCUGCAAAAUUGGCAGCGAUUGAUGUUAAACAAUGUUUCCAUUCCAAAAGGUUAACCAAUAGUGAACCAGUUCUCAUUUAUAUACCUGGGCUGGUCAUUUCUGACAAAGGACCAGUUGAGAAUGGUGACAGGGCCAGUAAGCAUUCCCUUCAUUGGGCGAGCAGUCAUGCUCUGAGCCCAGGAGGACCAGAAGACGGUCAUAGCCUUGGGACGGCUCACAUCACCAUAGAUGAUGGGUGGCUUCACACAGCGAGAUCCAUAGGAUUGCACCCACCCAUUGGCAGUGAAGGCGAAACCUGAUAACUGCUCUCCAAAGUACUCAACCAUGUCGUUUCUCUACAAAAACAAAUGUCCGAAUUCAAUUUGAGAUCCAGCAUACUUCGUAUGCAAUUAGAAAUGCAGAAACAAAAAUGUAUAAAAUUUUAUGUAAUUCAAAACCAGGAGACAUUGCUUUGCUUCCAUUGGGCAUUGCGAGACUCACCUCAGGCUCUCCAUGGACAAGGACAUCAAUAUCAAGCUCUUCUUGGAGUUUGACAACCUUGUUGAUUUCCUCCUUGAUGGAAGCAACAUAUUCUUCCUCAGAAAUCCUAAAAAGGACAAAUAGUCACGGCACAGUUAAUACAGUAGUUGCAGUAAUUUCACACAUGGCAUUGAAUGAAGAAACACCUCAGAUUGACUCACUUCUUAGCCUUGUAUUCACGGCGGACUCUCCUAAGUUCAAUGGUUUGUGGGAAGGAUCCAAUUGUGGUGGUUGGGAGGAUUGGAAGAUUGAGCUUCUUCUGUUGAGCAUCUAAUCUAGCACUAACGUUUGUAGCACGUCUGUGGUCUGAUCCCCUCAAAGCAGCAGCCUAAUAGACCAAGAGGAAGGAAUCACUGUUAGCAAAAAAGGAAAUUCUAAGGGACAGCCACAUCAUAAAAAUGGAAAACAAAUCAAUCAUGCCACUUACAGCCUUUUGAACUGCCUCAUUGGUCACUCUCGGGGAGGACUUUCUUGAAGCCUGAGCUGCAGCAUUGGCAGAGAAGAAUCCCUGGAAACAAAUGAUAAGGAGAACCAAAGUUAGUCUCAUUCAUAUCAUUUUAAAAAGAAGAUACAUAUGCAAUUAGUGGGCUGAUUGUGAGAGAAAAAGUCCCCAAAACUUUAAUCAAACACCAAAUGCCCAAGUUGCCAAAUGAUGUUUAAUUCGGAAAAAUAUAUUUAAAAACAUUCAAAUAUAAUUUCCCCUUCUAAAUUUUCAUUUUCAACAACAUAUUUUACAAGCCAAGCUCAACGUCAGGCCAAGAUUUUGUGCUCCUAUAAUUAUAUUUUACCAUAAAACUAGGUCCUUGAAAGGCUAAGAUUUUCUGACUCUUGUGACUAGUCAAAGCCUAAGAUUCUUUCAAUUCAUCCGUAGUAAAAGUAUACCUCAUCCUUUUGGCCAGCCAAAGCCUUGGCCAAUGCAUUGACUUCAACAACUUUCUGGGCAGCAAAUGCCAGCCAUGACUUGAUUUCGUCGUCGAGUUUGUUCUCAUUAACAAGAUCAACAGCAGUGUGAAGAAGUGAGCAGGAGGUGGAGACCACAAGCUUGUCUGCAAAGAAAAGUAAUAAAUUAUACAACAAAUCCCAUAAUAGAAUAAGAAAUAUUUAUCACAAAGAAAAAUGCAAGCAAAGGAUGUAUACCUUUGCCAACAACACCCUCAAGCCCCCGGAGAACACUAAGAGAAGCAGCAAGAUCAUUGGCCCAAAUGUUCCUUCCAUCAACCACUCCAGCAAAGAGGUACUUGCCAGCAGGGAAUCCACUCUUGAUCAAUUCAAGGGUCUUGGUUCCACGAACCAAAUCAAAUCCAUAAGCGGUGACACCCUUCAAAGAAGUGAGGGUCUGGAAUGCCUCAGCUGGAACAUCAGCAAAGUAGGUCUCAACAAGAACAUUCAAGCCAGACAGAGUUGACUCUAGUUCCGCGUAAGCCUCACUGAAUGCUUGCAAUUUGUGUGAGUCAAGAUCCGUAACAAGCAAUGGCUCAUCAAACUGAAUCCAGGAAGCACCAGCAGCCUUAAGCUCAGAAACAACUUCCCUGCAGAAGUGUUAAUUGGUACGACACGGAUUAAUGAUGCCACACGAUACACACACACACACACACACACACACACACACACACACACACACACACACACACACACACACACACACACACACACACACACACACACACACACACACACACACACACACACACACACAGACAGAGUUAUUUAGCACAUACACGUUUAUAAAUCUGUAAAUAGGUGAUAAUUCUUACUUGUAGAUCGGAAGGAUUUUGGGAAGAAGAGAGAGAACAGAAAAGGUCUUCUCAACCCCCCAGGCAGGCUUAGACAGCAACAAGUAUGACACAGGGCCAAUAAGCACUGGGACAGUUUCAACUCCAUGCUGCAGCAUUAGACAAGUGGUAGAUAUUAGCAUCUCACAAACUUGAUCUGACUGAUAGAAAGUUACAAGCAAGUUAAGAAUAUGUUUGAUGAAAUUUCAAUGAAAAAUCUUCAGGGUCCACAACAUGUUGACUAUACCCUUUUUAAGUAAUUUAUCUUAAGACUAUUUUGCAAACAGUAUUGCUUCCCUUUACAGAUCAAAUAAAUCAUACAACAUCUGAACGCAUUUCCUGAGCCAAAUAUAAGUUCAAAGCUCUAUAAUAAAUGUCAAUGACUCUAUAGUAAAUUCCAUCACAUUCUGAGCUAUGGAUGAGCAUAUCAUAUGCCAAUUUCAAGUUGAACGUAACCCAAUUUCAACAUAUUGUAGAUUCAAGUAUCAAACGAAAAAAAAAAUAUUGUAAAUAUAGACAGAACUGAGAACAAACACUCACCCCCUUAGCCUCCUUGUACUCAGUCACAGCCUUGUGGGAAGCGUAGGAGAACUUAACAUCGGGUCCCAAUUCAGGAACAAUGAAAUGACUGCAUCAACACGAAGCCAAACACACGUCAGCAUUCAGUACAAAACCAUUACACCAUAACUAACUUGAAAUGCCGCUCUUCCAAGUAGUGAAUACUUACUAGUUGGUGUCGAACCACUUGGUCAUUUCCAUUGCGAGAACAGAGGCGUUUCCUCUGGCCAUGGAGAAGUAAACAUCGAAUCCAAUCUCGCCGCCGUUCCAGUUAAACCUCGGGGGCACGGCACCGAGCAUUGCGGUGGUGUCGAGCACUUGGUCGUAGUAGGAGAAAGUGUUGCUGGGAAUGUAUUUGAUCCCGGCCUCGGACAUCUGUUUCCAGAUGGAGGAUCUGAGAUCAGCGGACACCUUUUGCAAAUCCUCGGCGCUGCUCUUGCCAUCCCAGAAGGAUUCCAACGCGAACUUGAGCUCCCUCUUGGGGCCCAUGCGUGGGUAACCAACGAUGUGAGAUGCCAUUUUACUGUCAUAAUCACGUCAUCAAUGAAUCGAAAAUCAGUCCCUUCCAUUAAAUCAAGAAAUUAUUAAUUCAAAUGAAUGGAUCACAUUGUAUAUAUAUGGGAUAAAUAUAAUUAUGAACAAAAGCGUCUAAUCAAUCACAAAAAGCAAGCGACUGCAUCAAAUUUAGGGAUCCGACCCGACCCGACCCGAUCUGUAAAUUCCGGUUUCAAUCGGAUUAAGAUGAAACCUCUAACCCGAUAUAGUUGGAUUUUGGCCAACUCGAUCGGAUCAGAUCGGAUCGGAUUAAACUUAGUCCAAUCCGAAAAAUUCAAAAAAUCAAAACUACAAUAAGUAUAAAUCUAAAUUUUCAAUUCAAUUUGAUCUAAUCUGAAUAUAUUCGAAUCGGAUCAAAUACUAUGCUCUGCUUAAACUUGGAUUAUAUUUUUUUCAAUUUGAUUAACCUAAAAUUCGAUUGGAUAGAUCCAAAACUGAAUUUAUCUACCCCUCAGUCAUCAAUCAAUUACAAAACCUAAAAUCCGAUUGGAUAGAUCCGAAACUGAAUUUAUCCACCCUUAAGUCAUCAAUCAAUUACAAAGGCGACUGAUGUUUAUACAAUGGACAAUUAUUAAGUUACAGCUCUUGUAAUUUACAACUUAUACAAAAAUAUGUGAAAAAUUGUGAUAGGCAGUACAGUGUCAUGAUUUUAUACAAAAAUAUGUAAACAAUUGUGAUAGACGGUAGAACCUCAUGAUUUUAUAAAAAAUACGUAAAAAGUUGGGAUAAGUAAUGGAGCCCGCAUAAUUUUUUAUCAGCUGCAAGUUGCAAGUUACAGCAACUGUAACUUAGCGACCCCGACUUCAAUGUAAAAUGAGAAAGUACUCCUCCGCAUAGUACCUGAUGCUCAAAAGUCAAAUCACACGAAAUGCAAAUAGACUUAUCAGAGCAUAAAACCUUAUAUUACUUUUUGAAAAACGAUUUGAAACAAGGGCAAAAUUACAGUGUAACCGUACUUAGUCAUUGAAUUCAGCUCACAAUUAUCAUUAUAGUUAGAUCUAAUAACUAGAUCCAACUGUAUCCACAGUUAUAUUGUAGUUAGAUCUGAUAACUAAAUCCAGAUCCAGCUGUCCCCACAAUUGUCAUUAUAGUUAGAUCUAAUAAUUAGAUUCGGCUGAUUCAGCUGUGAUGUAGUACCCUGUAGUGCCAUAACUGGACAAAGAAACAAACUGAUAUAUUUUCUUUUUUGAAACAAACUGAUACUAAUCCAAGAGUUUCAGAUGAUCGGUUUUUUUUUUUUUUUCUAUAGUCACAUCAAUAAUUAAGUACUUUCAGUCAUUUUCGAAGGAUUAAAACGAAAACUCUAAAAAAAUUCUGAGAAUGAAGAAUCCGAAAAUAGAUUCAGAAAUAGUAACACAAGUAGAGGUCAGAUUGUUUUUUGGAAAAGAUUAAUUGCAGAUCUGAUGAACUCAAGUCUAGAUCUAGCAAAAUCACGGCAGCCAAACACUAGAUCUAAGACUAACAGUCACUCACCAGUCGAUCAGAAAGUGAAAUCAAGUUCAAAAUUCUUUUUUUUUAAUAGAUCCAAAAGCUAAUAUACAUAUAUAUAUGGCAAAAUAUAUAUACCGUACCCGAGAAGGACGAGCAGAGAAAUUAAGCUUUUUUCGAGAGAACGAGAAAGAAGAGAGACGAGACUGUUAGAAAUUGCUGUCAGUUUAAUUUUUAUUUAUAGCCAAAAACCUAACCUUGUUUAGUGGUUACUGGUUACCGUCUUCGGCGGUGUUGAUCUGAGAUUUAUCAUUUUAAUUUCUUUCUCUUACUUAUUUAUUUAAUUUGGGUCCAACUACGGUGAAACUGUAGUACCGUGCUACAGUUAUUUUCAACCGUUUGAUUCACUUGGAUGGUGGGAUCCAAUAAAAUCCAAUAACUGGGUGCAACCGUAGCACGGUGCCGCAGUUGCACCACAGUUUUUCCCAUUUAUUUAUUAUGCUUUCAGUGCAGUUGGCAAAAACAUGGAGCUUACGCGCGCUUUUCUGAUGUGGCGCGUGAAUUGGAAAUGUGGUAGAUCUUUGUGGAUCCGCCGGUGCAGUGAAGAGUGAAGGAAAAAAGAGAAAAGUUAUCAUGCCAGAUCAUUUGAAGAGAGCCGCAAUUAGUAAUUACACCACAAUAUAUUUCUGAUUAUUUGCUUACUUUGAUGAUGUUUUUACUGAUUAGUAAUUGGAAUAUGUUAGAAUCUAAAUAUAGUAGAAUCAUAAUAGAGUUGAAUCAAAAUAGACUAUAAUUAGAAUGGAUAAUGGGAAUUAGAAGAAUUAUUUGCUUUAGUUGUGAGAAUCCAAAUUGGAAUGAACUAUAUUGUCGUUGAUAUGUUUACUUUAUCAUAGAAUAUGAAUGAAUUAUUACAAGUUACUAAACAGACCUUAAGUUGAUUAUUGUCAUUAUUUAUUUAUUUAUUAUUAUUAUUAUUAUUAUCAUCAUCAUCAUCAUCAAAAUUAUUAAUCUUAUUAUUAAUGUUAAUUAUAAUAAUUAAUAAUUAUAAUAGUAUUAUAAUAAUAAUAAUAAUAAAAGCAAUCAUAAAAUGAGAAUUUCAAGAUUUAAGUAGAGAUAAUAUAAUUAUUUUAGAAAAUGAGAAUUUCCAUGAGAAUGUGAACUCUAUUAAUCAUUCCCAAUUUGAAGUGGGGCCUGCCAUUUUGAUUCAAUCUCUCAUUUAAGCAAGUAAAUACGACAUUUAUUCUCAUUCCCUCAUUCCCACUCUCAGGUAGCGUUUGUUUUUUAACUUAAUGACUUAAAGUGACUUAACUUAAUUAAUUAAGUUAAUUAGAGGUGUUUAUUUUUAUAACUUAAUGAGACUUUUUAGAUAAUUUUGACUUAAUAAAAUGAGCCAAUUUUUUUUGGCUUUUUACUUAAUGGAGAAAUUUGAAUUUAGUCAAUUACUUACUAAUGUCAAAAAUAUCUAUGUUUUAUAAUUUAUUUUUCAUGUCUAUCCCAAAACUCACCCAUAGACAUUUACCCCACAUAAAAAUAUCCCUAUUUUUUCUUUCUUAUAUUAUAUACGAUAAAAUUUGAAAUUUAUGGUAUUUUAUAUAUUAAAAUUCUAAAAUAAUUAUGUAUUCACUUGAAUAUAGUUUUACUUAUAACUGUUAAAAUAUUGUGGUAUUUAAUAUAUUAUUUAUUUGACAUUAAAAUUUAAUAAGGAUACAAAUGUAAAAGUACAUAUUUUCAGUUUUUUCAGUUAAAAAAAAAGCAACUUAAUACUUAUUUUUCGAGAUUCAGACGAAAAAAUAAACAUAUUAUUCAUAUUCAGACAUUUAGAUAUAUUCAGAAUUCAAACUAAUUCAGGUCUAUUCAGAUUUUAGACAAAAAAAACAAACGCCACCUCAAUCAAUAAACACACCAUAAAUGUAGAGUUGUUACUAUUAGAAUACAUUAUAAUUCAUCACAAUUAUGAUAGGUAUAUACGUGUGUAAUAAUUUAUAUAAGAUGCUAAAUUUUGAAAAUAAUAAAAAAUCAUUUAUACAUAUUUAAAAAAAUCAUUAAUACAUUAAAAUGUGCAUCACAUAUACAUUUACAUAAUAGCAAUGACCAUAGUAUAAAAAAAACUCCUAAAAGAGAACGACUUCGUUAUUUAUGUUAUUUUAUAUAUUUUUAAUUGAUUAUUAAAAGGAUCAAUUGUUAAUUAUUAUUCUCCAAACAUAAUCACCGUUAAACAUUUAUUCAAUUUAACAAUAGGUAGAUGUUAAAUAAUAUUGGAAUAUUUAAUGAACAAUAUAAUCACUAUUGCAGUUGUUUUUUUUUUUUAGUAAUGGAUUAUUCGAAACUCAAAUUCAUUUUUUAGCCCCCUUACCUCUCUUAAAAUUCAAAUUUAAGUGACUAAACAAAUAAAACUGCUUAAAAUCUAUACGACUACAUCUUUGGGGACCAAUUAAUAUGGAUGUUUAAAUCUUGAUUUAUUAUUAAAUCUUUGAGUUUCAACCACUAAUAACAUCAUCAUCGAUUAAUGACAAAUAAAAUAAUACAUCAUCAAAACCAUUAAACACGUCCAUCAAUAUCAAAAACAAGUAAAAAGUUUAGCAUGUAUUUCAAAUAUACUUUUCAUCCCAAAAGUUGUAGAGAAAGUCUCGAUAUCAAUGUCACUAUGAGACGUAAUUUUAUAUUUAAAGUCAGCGCAACUUAAAAAUUACUAUGAAUGAAUAAUACACCAUAAAAAAAUUAUUUAUAAGUAUUUUCAUCAUGUAUUUUUAUUUAACAAUGGUGACAUUUAUUUUUUAACUUAAUGACUUAAAGUGGCUUAACUUAAUUAAUUAAGUUAAUUUUAGGUGUUUGUUUUUAUAACUUAAUAGGACAUUUUAGAUAAUUUUGACUUAAUAAAAUAGGCCAAUUUUUUUUAACUUUUUACUUAAUAGAGAAAUUUGAAUUAAGUCAGUUACUUUCUAAUGUAAAAAAAUAUUCCUACUUUAUAAUUUAUUUUUCAUGCAUAUUCAAAAACUCACCCAUAGAUAUUUACCCCACAUAAUCUCAUCUUUAUUUUCUUCCAGCCGUCAUGGAAUCCCUCCUCACUUUGCUUCUCUCCUCUAGUUCUUGAAUCUCCCUUUAAUUUCUCGCUAGGCAAAGCACUUGAAUUGGGCUUUUUUUUUUUCCUUUUCAAUUACGUUUUCCAACAUUCACUUAUAUAAUAAUCAACUAGUUGCUACUCUUUUUAGUGAUAAAAUUUGAAAUAUGGUAUUUUAUAUAUUAAAUUUUCAAAAUUAUGUAUUCACUUAAAUGUAGUUUUACUUAUAAAUAUUAAAAUAUUAUGUUAUUUAAUAUAUUAUUUAUUUGACAUUCAAAUUUAAUAAGGAUAUAAAUGUAAAAGUACAUAUUUUUAAUUUUUUAAGUUGAAAAAAUAACUUAAUAUUUAUUUUCAGAUAUUCAAAUAAAAAAUAUAUUAUUUAAAUUCAAAAAUUUAAAUCUAUUCAAAAUUUAAAGUAAUUCAGGUCUAUGCAUAUUUCAAUCAUAAAAACAAAUGCCACAUGAGUCAUUCAAUUUCUAAUUAAGAGGAUAAAAAAUAGAUUUGGACUAUCCUAAGACAAAAACAAAAAAAAAAACAAAAAUAAGAUUUCCUAAUAAGUGUACUAACGUGGUCACGCGCCUUGAGAAACGCUUGGACCUAACACACUAUUUUAAUCCGAUAUGCAAAAAAAGAAAAAAAAAAAAAAGGAAAAAUUAUGAGAUGUAUAAGUUUCUAGAGACGUGUUAAAUUUUGAUGAAACAAUGAAGAAAGUCGGUGGCCGAAGUUGGUAUGGGGCAAUGCGAAUGGUGGUUGGCCCACGUUGCCCUGUAAUUGGAGUUGUUAUAAUUUUUCUUAUAAUUAAUAGGACUUGACACAGACUGCAGCAUCAGCCGUUGGAUGUGGAGGGAGAAACUAAACAAUAGAAAACCGUAUGGUGGGAUGACGGUAGAUGUUUGUUACAGAAACUGUACCAUAGACAGGUCCUAAUUAAUAAGCUCUACGUUUUGAAACAAUAAAUAAACUCCAGAUGACCAAAAUAUCAUUUCAUACUGCUACCUAGACAUCUUGGCGAGGGUGGGUAAUGUGGGGCCCGGAGCUUGUUUGAUCGUCAAUUAUUCUCUGGUUUGGUGAAACGAAUGGACGGACGAUGGUGAUGGCUUUUAGGAGAUUAGUAUUAUUAUUAUUAUUAUUAUUAUUACAUUGAGAUCGUAAAACAAAAAAUUCAAUUAAUAAUAUAAAAUAUUUAUUUAAUUUAUUAAUUAUUAUAUAUACACAAUAAAAAAAUUUAUAUACAUAUUUAUAAAUGUGUAAAUAAAUUUCAUUCAAUAUUAUAUCCAAUUAAUCAUUUAUAUUUUUCUGCUGUACCGUACAUCCGCCUUGGCCGUACAGCAGUAAAGCUGCUGAUGCUUUAUCGCGAAUUCAUGAGGAAAAUGUGAUUGAAGAACCCAAACCAACAACUCUUUGUUUGUCGUUAGACAUUUACCCCACAUAAAAAUAUCCCUAUUUUUUCUUUCUUAUAUUAUAUACGAUAAAAUUUGAAAUUUAUGGUAUUUUAUAUAUUAAAAUUCUAAAAUAAUUAUGUAUUCACUUGAAUAUAGUUUUACUUAUAACUGUUAAAAUAUUGUGGUAUUUAAUAUAUUAUUUAUUUGACAUUAAAAUUUAAUAAGGAUACAAAUGUAAAAGUACAUAUUUUCAGUUUUUUCAGUUAAAAAAAAAGCAACUUAAUACUUAUUUUUCGAGAUUCAGACGAAAAAAUAAACAUAUUAUUCAUAUUCAGACAUUUAGAUAUAUUCAGAAUUCAAACUAAUUCAGGUCUAUUCAGAUUUUAGACAAAAAAAACAAACGCCACCUCAAUCAAUAAACACACCAUAAAUGUAGAGUUGUUACUAUUAGAAUACAUUAUAAUUCAUCACAAUUAUGAUAGGUAUAUACGUGUGUAAUAAUUUAUAUAAGAUGCUAAAUUUUGAAAAUAAUAAAAAAUCAUUUAUACAUAUUUAAAAAAAUCAUUAAUACAUUAAAAUGUGCAUCACAUAUACAUUUACAUAAUAGCAAUGACCAUAGUAUAAAAAAAACUCCUAAAAGAGAACGACUUCGUUAUUUAUGUUAUUUUAUAUAUUUUUAAUUGAUUAUUAAAAGGAUCAAUUGUUAAUUAUUAUUCUCCAAACAUAAUCACCGUUAAACAUUUAUUCAAUUUAACAAUAGGUAGAUGUUAAAUAAUAUUGGAAUAUUUAAUGAACAAUAUAAUCACUAUUGCAGUUGUUUUUUUUUUUUAGUAAUGGAUUAUUCGAAACUCAAAUUCAUUUUUUAGCCCCCUUACCUCUCUUAAAAUUCAAAUUUAAGUGACUAAACAAAUAAAACUGCUUAAAAUCUAUACGACUACAUCUUUGGGGACCAAUUAAUAUGGAUGUUUAAAUCUUGAUUUAUUAUUAAAUCUUUGAGUUUCAACCACUAAUAACAUCAUCAUCGAUUAAUGACAAAUAAAAUAAUACAUCAUCAAAACCAUUAAACACGUCCAUCAAUAUCAAAAACAAGUAAAAAGUUUAGCAUGUAUUUCAAAUAUACUUUUCAUCCCAAAAGUUGUAGAGAAAGUCUCGAUAUCAAUGUCACUAUGAGACGUAAUUUUAUAUUUAAAGUCAGCGCAACUUAAAAAUUACUAUGAAUGAAUAAUACACCAUAAAAAAAUUAUUUAUAAGUAUUUUCAUCAUGUAUUUUUAUUUAACAAUGGUGACAUUUAUUUUUUAACUUAAUGACUUAAAGUGGCUUAACUUAAUUAAUUAAGUUAAUUUUAGGUGUUUGUUUUUAUAACUUAAUAGGACAUUUUAGAUAAUUUUGACUUAAUAAAAUAGGCCAAUUUUUUUUAACUUUUUACUUAAUAGAGAAAUUUGAAUUAAGUCAGUUACUUUCUAAUGUAAAAAAAUAUUCCUACUUUAUAAUUUAUUUUUCAUGCAUAUUCAAAAACUCACCCAUAGAUAUUUACCCCACAUAAUCUCAUCUUUAUUUUCUUCCAGCCGUCAUGGAAUCCCUCCUCACUUUGCUUCUCUCCUCUAGUUCUUGAAUCUCCCUUUAAUUUCUCGCUAGGCAAAGCACUUGAAUUGGGCUUUUUUUUUUUUCCUUUUCAAUUACGUUUUCCAACAUUCACUUAUAUAAUAAUCAACUAGUUGCUACUCUUUUUAGUGAUAAAAUUUGAAAUAUGGUAUUUUAUAUAUUAAAUUUUCAAAAUUAUGUAUUCACUUAAAUGUAGUUUUACUUAUAAAUAUUAAAAUAUUAUGUUAUUUAAUAUAUUAUUUAUUUGACAUUCAAAUUUAAUAAGGAUAUAAAUGUAAAAGUACAUAUUUUUAAUUUUUUAAGUUGAAAAAAUAACUUAAUAUUUAUUUUCAGAUAUUCAAAUAAAAAAUAUAUUAUUUAAAUUCAAAAAUUUAAAUCUAUUCAAAAUUUAAAGUAAUUCAGGUCUAUGCAUAUUUCAAUCAUAAAAACAAAUGCCACAUGAGUCAUUCAAUUUCUAAUUAAGAGGAUAAAAAAUAGAUUUGGACUAUCCUAAGACAAAAACAAAAAAAAAAACAAAAAUAAGAUUUCCUAAUAAGUGUACUAACGUGGUCACGCGCCUUGAGAAACGCUUGGACCUAACACACUAUUUUAAUCCGAUAUGCAAAAAAAGAAAAAAAAAAAAAAGGAAAAAUUAUGAGAUGUAUAAGUUUCUAGAGACGUGUUAAAUUUUGAUGAAACAAUGAAGAAAGUCGGUGGCCGAAGUUGGUAUGGGGCAAUGCGAAUGGUGGUUGGCCCACGUUGCCCUGUAAUUGGAGUUGUUAUAAUUUUUCUUAUAAUUAAUAGGACUUGACACAGACUGCAGCAUCAGCCGUUGGAUGUGGAGGGAGAAACUAAACAAUAGAAAACCGUAUGGUGGGAUGACGGUAGAUGUUUGUUACAGAAACUGUACCAUAGACAGGUCCUAAUUAAUAAGCUCUACGUUUUGAAACAAUAAAUAAACUCCAGAUGACCAAAAUAUCAUUUCAUACUGCUACCUAGACAUCUUGGCGAGGGUGGGUAAUGUGGGGCCCGGAGCUUGUUUGAUCGUCAAUUAUUCUCUGGUUUGGUGAAACGAAUGGACGGACGAUGGUGAUGGCUUUUAGGAGAUUAGUAUUAUUAUUAUUAUUAUUAUUAUUACAUUGAGAUCGUAAAACAAAAAAUUCAAUUAAUAAUAUAAAAUAUUUAUUUAAUUUAUUAAUUAUUAUAUAUACACAAUAAAAAAAUUUAUAUACAUAUUUAUAAAUGUGUAAAUAAAUUUCAUUCAAUAUUAUAUCCAAUUAAUCAUUUAUAUUUUUACAGCGGUUUAAUAAUAAUAUUUACUAAAUACAUAUGAUUAUUUUUAAAAUUCACAGUAUUUUUAAAAAUAAAUUUUAUAAAAUUUUUAACUAAUUUUCUUUACAACUAACUAUUGAACGGUUUAACUAAUAGUAAUUAUUUUUAAAAUUAUAGUAUUAUCAAAUUAGUCCUAUGUCAAAUUUGUUAUUGCUGUUUUUUUUUUAAUUAAAAAAUUACAUAGUGCAUACGUGCAUAAUAUGCCCAACUCAAAAAUUCACACAAAAUAUACUAUUUAACUUUAAGGCUUUAAUUGAAAAAAAAAAUUAAGAUUAAGAUGAAUAAAUACUAGAACAUAACAAAUAGAUAAACUCUCCCAUUCUUUAAAAAGAUUAAUUUUAUUUUAAACUUACACUUCGAAUUCAAAGUAGACAUUGAUUGAUAAAAUUAUACAAACGGAUCAAUAUUCCUACAUUUUCUUUUUAAUUUCAAAACCAACAGAUAUUGUUUGUUCAUUAUAUGACCUCCAAACAAAUAAUUUCAUUAAUAAAAUAAUAAUGAAAAGUGUCGUGAUGGGUAUAGAGUAAUUAGGUGGCUAAGUUUCUACUUUUCAUUCUAACUCUUGAGGUUGGUAGGCGCGUGGGUGGUCCACAAAACCCGUGGACGGUAGCAUUCAAACAAAGACUGGAGGCACCAGAAAAAUGUCCAAAAAGUGUGAAACCGUGACGUGUUCAACAUGUUAAUAAAUUUAGGCAAAUGUUAAAGUUACGGAGCUGGCUACGUUACAGAAACUGUACGUAACAGCCAUGCAUUUUUUAUUCGUUGGAUCUAGAGACUGAAAUUGGAUGGUUGGGAUUAAAGGCCAGAAUAGAAAUUAAUCACGGGCAACCGUUUUUAACAUUUAGAAGGGUUUAUUUUCAUGCACACCCAAAUAUUUUGACAAAUAUCAAUAUGCACCCAGUAACUUUUUAUGUAAAACCACAUAACCGACCCGUUAACUUUUCUACUAUUGAAUUAAAAAACUAUCAUGCCUCAAUUGAAUUAAAUUGAUCAGGUAAAAUAUCUUUUAUAACUUGUCAAUUUUUACAGUGAAAUAUACGAGUAUUUAGUAAAAUCAAAUUUAUUUUUUAUUCAGUAAUCAAAUUUUUUUAUUUAGUGAAAUCAAAAUUAUUUUUCUUUAGUUGUAAGAUUUUUUUAACAAAAAAAUUCUAAAAUCAGAUUUAACUCAUUUACUAUUUUAAAAAAUGAACUUUUUACUAACCAAACUAGAGUUUAUCUUUAGUCAACAUAUUUUUUUCUCUAAAAUAACCUUUGAUAGAAUUACUUAUAUAAACAUGUCAGUAUCAAAAUUACUUCAUAUUUUACCAUCCAUCAAUUUAAACUAGUGUGAAAUUUUUUUAGUUUGAUAUUGAAAAUAUGAUAGUUGAUGAGAGAAAUCUAAUUCAAAUUUACAGAUAGAAUAGUUUCUUAUAAUUGCGUACAUGGUAUAUCAAAAAUAUUUUUUUGUGAGUUUUUAAAAAAAUUGUGUCACAAGAUGAAAUUAUCUCUUGAUUUUUCAAUUCCUGGAAUUUAUGUAAAACAAUAAACACAAGUAAAUCUUUUGGUUUGUGACUUCUUGAAGGAAUGUUUGGGAACGCACAAGUUCCUCUCUCCUUCAAAAAGAAUGAUAAGUGCAAAUACCAACCUAGAAAAUUGAUUUAUAAUUCAAAGAAGAUUUGAUUGAAGAUGAUUAAUUGAAAUUUAUCUUUGCAUGAUGUCAAACAUUUUUCAAAAUGACUAAGUCAAGUCUCUUUGUUAAUUCAAAUCAAGAAAAAUUAGAAAAAUAUUAAUGCAUAGAAAUUCUACUAAGAGUUAUUUAUGAAAUUCUCAAACGAAUAGAAAUUAAAUUAACAUUUUUAAAUUUUAGUUAUGGGUUUAUUUUAAAAAUGGGUUUAGAAAGAAAUUUGAGGGGUUUAAAGAACCCCGCCCUUUCUUUAAUUAUUCGGUGAAUUUGAAAUAUAUUAAUAAGGUAUAAGAAUAUGUUAUUCUAAUCUUCUUAUGCAAAAUCUAUGCAAUUAAAAAAAAAUUCACCAAACGGUAUUUGUCUUUUUAUUGACAUUUAAUAAUAUUGAUGGCAAAUAUAUACAAUUAUCAAUCAAUUGUUAUCAACUAUUCAAGAUAACUGAAAAACUAAUUGCGUGAAGUUGGAGUAAUGAUUGUUUGAAUUGCCAAGAGUUUUUUUUUAAUAGAAACUAUUGCAAUUCAUAUCAUUAAAAAACUUAAAGACUACAAGUCGAAUAAAAAAUCUUUCCUUAUAAAAGAAUUUGACCAACUCAAAGUACAGUGUUAAAUCCUUGAGAUACAAUGAACCUAAAAAUCCUACUUUGACACACCACAAAUAAUGAAUCUAACUUAACAAUCAAUGGAGAUAAAUCAAUUUUACUAGCAAAAUAUAAGCCAAAACACAAGGCAACGUCUUCACCAAAAUCAAUAUCAUUCAAAUAAUUCCCCUUGUGAACGCCUGAAGCUAUCAUAAAAACAACAAAAAAUAAAAAAAUAAAAACAAGUAGACAAGCAAAAAAAUUCCCCAAUAACAAGUUACCCUACAAAACUUUUCCUUGUAGAACAUACACAGAAACCGCAGCUAUAGGGCUAUCGAAAGUAGGGAUGGCAAUGGGGAGGGGAGGGGAGGGGACCAAUCUCCCCAUACCCAUCCCCGAUAUUUUGCGUAUGUCCCCGUCCCCGUCAGAAUUGCUUGAGAGAAUCUCCAUCCCCUCCCCGAAUAAUAACAGGGGAUCCCCGAGGGUCCCCGGUCUUUGGAAAAGCUAGGAAAGAAAAGGGACGUGAAAAACAAAGGGGGUAGAUUUUUUGAAGGGGAAAGAAAAAGAAACCCUAGAUCUAAAUUUUUCUCUUCUCUCUAUGAAGAACUAAACCUAUUAUUCUGGUUGAAGAUUAAUAAAGCUUUGGUUCAUCAUUACUGUGAGAUCUUUCUUAUGCUUUAAUUGUUUUAUUGCUUUUUGGGUAUUUGUUUAUUCUCUAAAUUAUUGUCAUGAUUAUAUUUGUUAAUUAGAUAAUUGGCCACUAUUUAAUUAUCAACUUAAUCUAUUGUCAAUUAAAAGAUUCAUCGUAUGAAGAUUUUAAUAUUUGUGACAAAUAGCAUAGCAGUGCGUUGUGUUAUGAGAAUAAACAAUCUAAUUUAAAUGAACCAUCGUAUGCGUUUGUUGAUUAGGAUUUGGGUCUCUCUGAUUUUUCAGGUUGUCAAUUAAUUAAAUCCUAUGAUUGUAUCUAGGGUUAUCUAUUAAUUAGGGAAAUAACCAAUGGUCGUACCUUAGUUAUCGACUAGUUAAAGAGAGAUUGGCUAUUAAAGGGUCUCAGUAGCUAGGGAUGGCAAAAAUCCCCACGGGGACGGGCACCCUCGGGGAUUUUCCCCAUUCGGGGAGGGUACGGGGAUAAUUUUAUACCCAAUUUUUUUUUCGGGGAGGGGACGGGGAAAAUUUUUUACCCAAUUUUUUAUUCGGGGAGGGGACGGGGAUGAGGUGGAAUCCCCAUCCCCUACCCAUUUCCCCAUUUUAAUUUUUAUUUUUUAUUUUUAAAAUUACUAAUAAAUAUAUAACAAAAUUAUAAAUAUUGGCAAGAUAUGAGUGGAAUUUUGGGUGUGACAUGUAUAUUUGAUCCAAGGUAUAAAAAGAAGUUCAUUGAAUAAUACUUUUCUUUUUAUUUUUAAAAUUACUAAUAAAUAAAUAACAAAAUUAUAAAUAUUGUUAAAAAUAAUAAAUAUCAAAAUAGUUGUAUGUUGGGAAAGUGGUCACCCCUUACCAGGAAUUAGUGGAAGAGUAUCAAUUGAAGUUUUCACCAAUUGUUUAUUGCUUUGAUUAUACUGGUUGUAGUUCUUCUAUUAGAUCUACAGGGGAUUCUUAUAAGAAAGCAACCAAAUGGAUGACAUGUUUUGAUGAUUAUGUAAACAAUGGAGAUUGUGCAGUUGUUGCAGAUGAAUUAGAUUCAUAUUUGGAUGAAAAAGUUAUACCCCGGAUGGAAGAUUUUAAUAUUUUGAGUUGGUGGAAGACAAAUGCUAAUAGGUAUCCUACAUUAGCUCGAAUUGCUACAGGACGAGCAGGAGGUAAAUAGUUUUAUUAAAAAUAUUAAUUAAGUAUCUACAUUUAUUUCAUUUAUUUUAUUGCCGAUGUAAAAAAUAUUUUUUUUUUCUUUUUAUUGUAGGAUUAUGAAGAUUGAGACAUUGAUAAAGAUAAUUAUUUUAAUAAUUUAUAUUUUGAAUGUGACUUUGUAAUGGAUCAAUAUUAAUGUAAGAUAUAUUUUAAACUUUAUUUUUAUCUGAAUUUUUUAUUUUAAUAUGAUUAAUUUAAAAUCAAAAAUAAAAAAAUGUAUUAGACUAUUAAUUAUUCGGAGACCGGGGACCCUCGGGGAUCCCCUGUUAUUAUUCGGGGAGGGGAUGGGGAUUCUCUCAAGCAAUUCUAACGGGGACGGGGAGGGGACGGGGACAUACGCAAAAUAUCGGGGAUGGGUAUGGGGAGAUUAGUCCCCUCCCCUCUCCUCCCCAUUGCCAUCCCUAGAUUUUUGCCAUCCCUAUCGAAACCUCUACCCACCACUAUUAGAGUUAAAAAAAUCUCUGAUAUGAGUGUAUUCUUCUAAUUUGAACUCUAACGUGAUUUUUUGAGAGAUUCAUUGGAAAAAAACCUUAAGGAGUUAAAGAAGAAAUUUAAAAAAAAAAUCAUAAAAAGAGGAAUGAAAAGAAAAAGAUGCUUUACCAAGAGUUGAUUGACAGUAAUUGGUAAAUUUGAGCAUGCAAUAAAAUUUACCCAUAUAUUCAUAUGACAUAAAAUAUAAUUUUAUUCAUUAAUUACACUACUAAUUUGUCUAAAUUUUAGUUUUUAAAAAAAUAAAUUUCUAUAUAUUUACAUAAAUCUUAGUUUUUAUAAAAAUAAAUUGAAAAAUAAAUUUAUGUUUUUAUAAAAAUAAAUUUAUGUUUAUUUUUUUACAUUGACCUGAAGAAAAGACUAGUACUACUAAGCUGCUGUACGGCCAAGGCGGAUGUACGGUACAGCAGCAAUUUGACUGUUUGGGGGUGGGGUUGAUGGCUUACAUCAAAGUUAGUGUGUGCUAAGGAUUAACAAUAAUAAUGGGGUAAAUAUGAAAUUAAUCCUUGCCCAAGCAUUAGAAGUUCGUCGGUUUUCUUUUAACCGGAUAAUUACCGGUGAAUAUGUCACGCGUUCCUACACGUGGCAGCAUCUAAUUUAUUCGCUUGUCAUUUCAGUUUCUGUUAGUUACAGUUUCUGUAACGUAGCUAGCUCCGUCAGGUACAGGCAUGUUGUAACUUACGUUUCUCGUAAAAAUCAUAUAAGUUCUAUUUCUACCGCUAGGGUGAGCAUGGGUUGAUUUGGAUUAAAUUUUAAGUUAAUUUAAAUUAAAUUAUAAAAAUUUGGGUGUAAUCUAAAUUAAUUUAAAUAUUUUUAACAUAACUCAUGGGUUGGUUAAAUCAAACUAUAAAAAUUUGGUCCAACUCAAAUUAACUCAAAUAUUUUCAACACAACCCAAAGCAACUCAGUUGGAUUUUAUUAAAAUUAUAAUAAUUAUUAAUUGUUUUUAAACCAACCAUUUUGAGUUUGGUUUGGAUUUUAUUAUCAAAAUAUAUUUUUUAUUUUGAGAAAUUUAAUUUUAUCAAAAUUAUAAUAAUUAUUAAUUGUUAUUACUUAUUAAAUUGAUAAUAACAUAUAAAAAUUAUAAUUCAUAAAAAUUAUAAAUAACAAAUUUUACAAUAACUUAAUCCUUAAAUUAAAGAAUACUAGAAAAUUAAAAUAAAGUUUAAUCACAAAAAUCAUUAUUUAUCAAUAAAUAAGAAAAUUCUAAUAAAAAACUUCUACAAGCACGAUAUCGACAAGUAAAUUCAAAGAAAGAAAGAAAGAAAGAAAAGACUAGUACUACUAAGUAUUAACCCUAUUACAACACAAACUCUAACAAUGUCCAUACAAAUAAAAAAAAAUAAGACAUUCUAACUCAAGUGUCAAAGCAAUCCAUCAUAAUCAUUUCCAUCCGUAGUACUUUAAUCGAGAGAUUCCACGAUUAACUGACAAAAUGUAUGACAAUGAUAAUUUACAUUGAUUAUGACAUAAUAGAGAUGGAUUUGUCAAAGCCAAAUCAUUUGCUGGAAAGGAAUUUAGUUGAAGUAGGAACCAAAAUUCAACUUAGAUGGAUCUAUAAAAUUGGUCAUUCAAUACAUAAGUACUUUAUCAACAGAUUCAACACAUUAUAAAUUUAUGGAUUCAACUAAGUUACAACCAGCUGCAACUUAUUCCUCUCACAUAAACAAUAAUACAGCGGUAGGCUAUAUUAUUUACAAAAAGUACUUAUGUAUUGAAUGACCAAUUUUAUUACCUGCAAAAUUAAUUAAUCUUUCACUCUAUCAUCUAACUAAUGGAAGGCAAUCUUAUUUUAGGUUGUAAUGAUUAGAAACUAGCAGGAAGUGGGGGCGAUGCUCCAUAUUAAUUUGGAUAAAUCCCUUUCUAGUGAAGAAGUUAAAAUUAUAAAAUAGAGAUCAAGAUAGAAAUUUAAAGGCCCCGAUUGUUUUUUACAGACUUAAAAAUGAUAUUGAAAAAUUAAAAGCUAAUUUUAGUAUUUAAAAAUUACUUUAAGAAAAAUCACCCUAUCUUCCUGUAAAUUUUGAAAAGCAUGAAAAGAGCAGUUUUUCAAAAAUUGAUUUCGAAAAUUAGUUUCAUACUUAAUACAAUUCCAUAUAUCCUAACAUUUAUUAUAAAAAUUCAAAUUAUCCUUAUUAAAUUAGGAAAUAAAGUCAGUACAUUUAAAUAAGAGUGAUGAUAUAGACACAAACUCUUGUACCAACUGACGUAGCAUUAAUUUAUUAGUUGAAUGAAAAUAUAAAAUAAUAUAAAUAAAUCAUGUGGGCCAAGAAAUAUUUAAUUUAACCAAUUUUAUCAUGUCACAUUAUAAGCAACUUAUAAACUCAUUGGAUUCGACUCUUUACUAAAAUAAAAAUAAAUUAAUAUAUAUAUAUAUAUAUAUAUAUAUUUACAUACAUAAAAUGUGAUUAUAUACACAUAUUUAUAAUUGAAUAUGUACAUAAAUUCUGUAGAUUUAUGUCUAUCUAUACAUUUGCAUUCUUACCACAUUUUAAAAGUGUGAUUUACCAAAUACAUGGGACUUAUUUGAAAUUUAUAGCACUUUUAUAAAUAAAAUUUAUCAAACGUUAAACAGAUUCUCUAUUUUCGCGUAUAUAUCCUCAUGUAAAUUAUAAAAAUUCAAAAUUAUCUUUAUUCAAUUAGGAAAUUAAAUCAUUAUUUUUAAAGAGAUUCUUAUUAUUACUAAUUAGAUUCAAAUAACCAAAAAAAUACAAUCAAUAAAAUAAAAAUAUUUAUUUUAGUUAUCAUUUAUUAUAUACACAUAUUUAUAAAUGCAUGUGUAAAUAAAAUUUUAUAGAUUUAUGUCUAUUUAAGUUAUUUGCAUUCUUACAACAUUUAAAAAAUGAGAUUUACUAAACACAUGUGAUUGUUUUUAAAAAAGUUACAACACUUUUAAAAAUAAAAUUUAACAAAUGUUUAAUUGACUCUCUCCAAAGGUAAUUGUUUUUACAGUAUAGCUAAAGUAAUUUAUAAAUUUAUGAUAAGUAUUUGUGAAUAUUGGUCUAUGUAAAGAAGUAAAAACAACAUAUAUAUUAAGCAGCAUGAUAUUAAAACUCUUAGUAAAAUACAUAUACUAAUAAAAGAAAGACAACAAUGCAAUAAAUAAGCUUAUAAUAUAAAUUAUUAAAAUUGUAUAUUAAAAAAUUAUGCAUGAAAUUCUUUUUCUAUUUUGGUGAUAGAGAAUGCGAUAUAAUUGAAUUAUUUGAUUUAAUAAAAAAAAAAUAUGACUGUGAAGGAAAUUAACAAUUGAAUUGUGGAAUGUUAUUAAUUGUUAUUGUAUCAUUUUGCAACGUUCUAAUAAUAUGGACAAUGUUACAGUAUAUUGAUGGGCGGUAAUAUUUUCACCUCUUAAAUUGUGUAAAGUCAGCUCCAUUUAAAAAAAUUAUAUAUAAAAAGCCCAUUAGUUUUAAUAGUUUCAAAUUAAGAUUAAAUGCAAAUAAUUAACCAAUUAAAUCCUUAUUAAUAAGAUCAUUGAGCUUUAAUUAAACUAAUAAAAUGCAUUUGAUAAAUGAAAUUUACGAUAUUUAAUUACAUGAAAUUUAUUGACUACAUGAAUAAUAUAAUUGUUCAGCUGUUUAAACUUUUUCCCUAUUUAAAUUUUAAAAAACAAUGUGAAAUUUUGUAAAUAGUUCUUUGAAAUGGGGUGGAUUUACACCAUUUGUGCAGUGCAAAUAUCCUAAUUCUAACAUUUUUUUUAAAAAAAAAGACCAAAUCAUAACAUUUUUUGUAUACUAAGUUAAAGUAGUACUAACAUUAUAGCCCCCUAAUGAUUUCAAUUCAUUCAAUGAAUAUAUAAUUUAAGCAUGUUAUAAACUAAGUCUCUAAAUCGAAUUAAAAAAAGAAAAAAGAGCUUAAUUGCUGACAUAGUUGAAAAUAAAAUAAAAAAUUUUAUUAUUAGAUGAAAAAUUAUGAAACUUAAGGGGUAUAAGCGAGUCGGCAGCUGCUCACCAGGGCAUAUGUAAUAUUUGUUAAUACAUUUCAAAAUUUUAGGUUUUUUAAUAAUAUUUUCAAUACAUUUUCUAGAAGGUUUAGAAAAAAAAAAUGACUCAAUACUUUAAUCGAGCUAUGAAUAAACUCAUGUGUUAAAAAAUUUCAUAUUUACACCCAAUAAGAUUAAUUAAUGGGUGAUACAAAUUUAAGAUAGUUAAUAAUAAUAUAUAUCAUCUUAAGUUAACUUCAACUCAUUAACCUUGUAUAAGGUUUGAUGGGUCGUGCCGCAAAUUAUCACCUCUAAUCCUUUUUGCAACAGGCAUGAUGAAUGCUAACAAAAUGAAACUUCUAUAUAUUUAGUUGUUAUUCUUUUUAAUGAAAUAAUAAGGAGCUUUGCUGCAAAUUUCCAUCCAGCAUGGCAUGGACGCACGUGAAAUUUGCUAGUAUGGUCCUGGACAUGCGUGGCUGAGAUGCUUCUAAAGGCAAAGAAUUCCAAGUUCAUACCAAAUAUAACUUUCUGAUAUUUUUGUGGUAUCAAGUUUGUUUUUCACAAACUAAGGUGUCGGCGUAAAGUUGUUGUCCAUGCAAUGAAGUUUUAUACAUAAAUAUAUUAACCUAAAUUGUUACUAAAGUUCCAUAAUUAGCAGUUCCUGAGAGUUUUUACUAUAUAUUUUUUUGUUUUAAUUCAACAUAUGUUUAUUUAAUACGAUUUUAUUAAAUAAAUGUGCAUAUUUACCAUAUUUGUCUACGAUCAAUUAGUUGGAAAAAAAAAAGAAAAUUAAUAAAUUUAUUUAUUUGAUUGUUAAUGGUUUAGGCAUUUGAAUUCCCACAAAGUCAGGGUGUCAGCUCUGGACUUCUGGUGAUGUAUUUUUCUAAUAAAGAAAUAAAAUAUUGUUGUCAUUUUUUUAAUAUUCUAAUUUACCAAGCCUACCAACCAAUUAAUUUUUCUAAUUAGAUCAUUAAUUCAUUACACGUGCAUUCGCUGGCCCAGUGCUCCAAUCCCAUGCAUGCUGCACAACUCAAUGUGUUUUAAUAAGAAAAGGUUUGGUUAGCCUGUGCUGAUGCCAGAAGCCCCUUAAGGAGUUCAGGUAAACGUAAAUAUGUCCAGAUUUAGAUUUGAAUAUGUAAACGUAAAUAGGUCCAGAUUCAGAUUCGUUGCGCUAGAGAGGGGCACGCACGAUCGGGCUGCUGUCAGGUGGUACGUUGGCGUGGCAAUUCUCAACACGCGCUUCUCCUGGUGCAUACUUACGGCAAGUUGACACGUGACCCGUGUGGAUUGAGUGGACAGAGUCACGGGCACUGAUUUUUGUCAUCCAUAACGACUAACGUCGGAGACUUCGAGAAGAAAGAAAUUGUUGUCGUUUCUAAGGGGAAAAAAAUAUUUAAUUUGUUGAAGACAAAUUAACGUCGGAGAUUUUUUUUAUUUUUUAUUUUUAAUUUUGCAAUCUAAACCAGUCUAAUCAAAAUGUCAAUUUGACAAAAGUUGGACUGAUUUAGAUUAGUUCUAUUAGUUUGAUUGGAUUAAAUUGAAUUAGAUCUUGAACAUCCUAACACUUUUCAUGAAUGUUUUCCUUUUUUUUUGAAAAAAAUUAAUAAGGAGAAUUCCCAUGAAUGUUAAUUUUAUUGAUAAACUUGGCAAUUUUAAGAAAUGUUUUGACGCACGAAUAAUGCAAUUCAUCAACCCACAUAGAUAUGGAUAUAGGAAGCAGAGACCAGAUCGAUCUUGACAUAACGAAAACUUGUAUGUGUAUAUGUAUGUUACAGACCAGAUCGAUCUGUAGCAUAGACUUCUCCUAUAUGUAGGUUAUAUUCAAAUUACAAAAUGAACACAUGUUAAGGAUCUACAACUUCUUCUUUAAUCUAAUAAGCUCCCUCAACUUUAUUCCAAAACAAAAAAGAAUCAAAUUUUUGUUGGAAAUAUUUAUGAAUGAAGAAGCAAAAAGCGCUUGUAUCAAGGAUCUAAUUAAAGAACUGCCAGAGGCAUAGAUCUAUCAAAGCUCCCUCGCAUGACUCUUGGUCUCGGUGGCUUCUUCUUCUUCAUUCCGAAUUUUCCCUCCAUCUGAUCUCUUCCAACCUUUCCAUUUCCAAAUUGAAUUGAAACUUGCCUCAUAUUCGUUUGUUGAAUCCCAUCUUUUGUUGCACCACCAUGCAUCAAAAUCCUUGAAAUCCCAGCAUAAUGCAAGGACUCAGCUAUUUGCAAUGGGGUCACGUUCUUACUUGUCCUUGCCUCAACAUCAGCUCCCUUCUUCACAAGCAAUUCAGUCACAUCUGUGUGGCCAGAUUCCACCGCACAAUGCAAAGCUGUGUACCCAUCUUCAUCUUUAGCAUCAACAUCAAUCCCUUUAUCAAUCAGAAUCCUCACAACCUCAAUCUUUCCCUUAAACGAAGCCCUAUGCAAAGCAGUCCAUCCAUGUAGGUCUUUCCCAUUGAUCGCGGCGCCUGCUUCGAUCAACCUCUGCAUUGUCCUCACUUCCCCUUUCCUAGCGGCAAUACACAGGCUGUCACCAAGCUUCAACGCGUCAAAGAGACGGGAGUGACCGCACUCAGCAGCAACAUCAUAAGCGGUCUUUCCGCUCUUGUUUCUAAUAUAUUUAUUAGCACCCUUCUGCAAUAACAGCUUCACCAUUUGCUCAUAUCCCAAGCUUGCGGCGAUAUGCAAAGGCGUGUCACCGUCUCUAGCGUUGCGUAUAUCAGGCCUUGCUCCGUUUGCUAACAGAAGUCUCGCGCAAUCUCUUCUUCUGUCUUCAACCGCGAGAUGCAGAGCUGUGUUACCAUCUUUUGUUAAAGCAUUGACAUUAGCACCUUUGAUUAAGAGAAGCUUUAGUACUUCCAAAUGGCCGCCUCGUAAGGCCAAGUGUAUGGGCCCCCAUGUUGAUGUUCCUGAUCUUUCUGUGCUGGCUUUCCUCGCCAACAAGAGCUCAACAAUAAGUGCUUCCCCUGCAGCCGCCGCGGCUUCAAGUGGAGUACUGCAGCCACACCUGCCUUGAGACUCAACAUCCGGCCCAAACUCAAGCAAAAGUUGAACAAUAUCAGGCCUCCUUUGAGCUAUAGCAAUAUGAAGCAACGUUUGUCCCUGCGCAUCGGCAGAAUCAGCCGGGUUCCAAGCCGGGUCACUCCGCUCAAGAACCUCUCUUAAAUCAUCCAUUUCACCAUCCUUAACAAGCAGAACCAAAACAGGAGACCCAACGAACAUGAUCUUGAUUCCGCUGUCGAUGAACACUUGCUUCUUCCUCGUUGUGAACCAGUCACUGGGGACGGAAUCAAGCGUCGACGUUGCAUCUUUAAUUCCAGCUCCAGGAACAACAACGCUGUGCAAGAGGAAGGAAUCAUCACAGUGAGGGAAAGAAUCAGGAAGAACCGAUCCUGGAGGGAGAUGAUACGCAAUCUCUACGCUUAGUGUUGCGAGUGGUGAUAUGAUUCCUGAUUGCGGCUUCACAGUAUAACGAGCCUUGUUUGUAGGCUGAAUCCUGAAAGCAACAGGCAUCGUGUGCAUGACAUUGCGGAGAGUCAGCUCCCCGGAACAUUUCUGCCCUGGUUCAAUUCUGAUAGCUACAAGGUUCGACGGCUCCAAGCUUACAAGCCUAUCCAUUGAUUAAUUUUCUCUCCGUUUCCCAAGGACUGCUGAAAGGGGUUCUUUGAACUUUUUGAUUCAGGCUUAUUUUCUUCACUUUUGGUGGCAUGGGGAGGAAUUAGAGGAGUAACUGUAAGAGCUGCAAGUGUUGGUGUAAUCAACUGUAAUAUAAGGAGAAGAGAGGGCCGGCUCUAAUGGGAGACUGCCACGUGGUGGUGUUAAAAACAAUGAGACUUGUUCUGUUCGGCGUCCGGAGUGUAUAUACAGUUGUGUUAGUGGUGAAAGUUAAAGAAAUCCUGAAGUUAUUUUCGGAGUGGCUUCUGCAAAGUCACUUUCAGGAUUGUAUUGUAUCAUUAAAAAACAAAGCCAGUUUUUGUUGUUCUAGUAAAAGGCGAAUCAUUGGACAAACUCGUAAGAAUAUGUUGCCAAAUGUAUAAAAUAUGAAAUUCAAACAAUGAUUACAAUGUGAAAUUGGACAAUGGACAUGGCCUGUGUGAAUUGUUUUGUGGGCUUACUAAUUAAAUUAAUUCACUAAAAAUAAUGUCACUUUUGUGUCUGUGAAGAAGCCGAAAUGGCACAGUCAUUUACGUGGCCAACUACGGUGACUACUUCGUCAGUAGCUGCUCGAGCACUUGGUCAGCACAAGUUGCUUUCUUUCUUGGCGGGAUUAGUUUUUCUUCAUUGCUUUAAGUGGUGCAUUUCUGCAGUUUCAUUUUGCUUUGCUUAUGCCAUUGGAUUUGUGCCCCAUAAAUAAAUAUAUAAUUAAGCGGAAAAGUAUCAAAUUUUGAAAAAGCUUAGGUUUUGUGUGUGUGUGUGUGUGUGUGUGUGUGUGUGUUUUAAGCCGAAUUACUCGGCUAAAAAUUAAUCCGAUUAUUAUUGUUUUGGUGCUUAAGAUGUGACUCUAACCUAAAGCUCAUUUGAACUCUCUUGAUGCUCAUAUGGUAUUUUUUGUGUUGUGUCGUGCUGGCCCUUACACAUCUCGGCUCAUAUUUUUCAUGUUACUAAGUUCUAAUAUGUACAAAAGAAAUAGAGCAAUGUCCGGUGGUAGAUCCAAACACUCAAUUUGGGGUGCUUAUUUUUCAGUCUCAAAUUCGAUUAUUUUCUUUUAAAAUAUUAAAAUAAUAGUAAUAAAAUACUUAUUUUAAAUACUGAGCUCAUUACAACCACAUAUGUAAAAGUAUCAUUUAUAUUUUUUUUCUAAAUAAUCUUCACAAAAUAUUUUAAAAAAUAAAAUUAUGUGACUAUGGGGAUUUGAACCAAGUCUCUCAAACUACUAAAUAACACUUUUACCACUAAAUUACAAAUCUUUUAACAUAUUAAAAGUGCAUCCAAAUUAUUAUUAUUAUUUAAUUAUUUCAUAAGAGAUUUGGGGCACAUUUAAAAGAAAAAAAAUUAAUGGUGCAUAAAGGACUAAAGCCUCUCUUGAGUCCUUGACCUUAACUAGGUCCACCCAUGGUAAUGUCAGUGAUACCCAACUUGAAAAAUAUACAAGAAACUUGGAAAUUUAAAUUAAUGAAUAAAUAAAUAAAUAAAAGGAAACUUAGUGAUUGUAGCUGUUGUAUUGUAUUGUGGAUCAAAGAAUUACAAGUUCUUGGUUUCUCGGUAUUGGCUAAUUUUGAAGUUAAAUGAAGUUCGAAAAUAUUUACAAGCAAUAAAAUUAUCAACUGAAUGAGACAAGGAAAGAGUAUAAAGACCUUAGCAAAUUAGCAAUCCUUCUUUAAUUUAGUAACAGUGACGCUUAUAAAGUUAGAAGACGUAUCAAAUCUAAUUUAGAUUUUGCCCCAUAAAACUAACUUAACUUAUAGUGCGUCUUUGUUUAAUUAGUAAAUAUUCCACAAAAACUGAUCAGCACUUUAUAGGAAAUUCCAAACACGUUUAUAUUCACAAGGAAUAUGUCAAGGAGAAAUGAGAAUAAAAAAAUGUAAAAACUAAUAAAGCUUCAUUAAUUAGAAUUUAUAACCAUAUGUGCUCCUAUACUACUUUUAUUAUUAAGAAUUUGAAGUAGAAGGUAGUUGAUUAUCAUGAAAUUACAAAAUUGUAAACGGAUUUGUUCUUUUGGAAAAAGAAAAAAAAAAAAAAAGGAAGGAUAGUUGAUUACUUGAUUAGUGAGAAAUCAUACGUAUAAAGGACAAAUUGAAAAAUGGGACCUGAAUUGCAACAAAGCUUCAUUGGAAUUAACUGCCGAUAAAAUUAAAUUAGUAUCACCCUACCCUUUCAUCUUAAUAUAUUCGAAAUUUCACCGAUCAAAGUUUCUAGCUUCGAUUUUUACGAUCUCUCAUCCUAAUAACACCAAAAGCAUAUUCAUUCGUUUGUAAGAUUAUGUAACAAAAUAUAGUAAAUAGCCUAUAAUUUUUUUGUUUUACUACUAACCUGUUAUCAUUCUUUUCUAAUAAUACAUGUUAAAAUAUUCACAGAAAAAAUUUAUCCCUAUUACACCCAACCACCUUUUUUUGUGUUUUUUUUGUUCAAAUUUUAGCAUUAAAGGGACAAUAAUGUCCUAUGAAAUAUGCAGAAAGACAGUUAAUAAUAUUCAAAAAUGUAAGUGGAGGUAUCUUACGCCACACACACAAAUUACACGACUCUCAUUAAUGUGUUGUUGUUGUUAUGUGUGGCGUAAGUUACAGUUGAAUGUCAUAUUCAAAAAAGUAAGUGGAGGUAUCAAUCUCCCUAAAUAAAUAAUUUAUGGAAGGUUGUUAGCUGUUGUACUUUUAGUUAAUUUUAAAAUCACAAUAAUAUGGUUAAUGUUAAGUUACAUGCAUGUAACUUAGGAGGAUCCCAAUAAUAUACCAUAUUUUAUUAAUAUGUACAGUAUUUAUAAUAUUUAAAAAUUAAGGAAUUAAUGUACGCAUGUAAAAGCUGCAUUGGAGCCAGUUGGAAAUCUUACUGUCUUGAUAUAUGCAACGAUUGUAGCAGCUAAAAAGGCAUGAUAUUUACUUAAUAUUAUUUCAAACAAUAAUUAUUUAUUUAAAGCAAAUAAUAAUAAUGAGGGCAGAAGGACUAUUCUAGGAUCAAUAUGGUGACAGUAUAAAUAAAUAAUAUUAAUUAUUAAUGCAUUGAUGAGUAUUGUUAAAAUGACAUAAUAGGUUUGUUUCAUUGAAUUGAACCUUUUCUCUUAAAAUAGCUAUAAUUUGUUCUCUCUCUCUCUGUGUUUUUGUUUUUGUUUUUCACUUUAGUUUUACUUCUCUUAAAAAACCAAAAAAAAAAAAACAAAAUUAAUGGAAACUGAUGAUGGGAAGACGGACAAUUUUCUAUAUUGUUAAAUAGAAAUGGGCACAAAUGUGAGUUUUUUGGGGCAAAAAAAUAUAGUCAAUGUACGUAGCGUUUGUCUAUUUGAAAACCCGUCAAUAUAAAAACAGGACGUAAAGCUUUCAGACAAAGUACUCUUAUGGCCGUACUUUCCAUAAACCAAAUCAAAAGAAGGAAAAUAUUUGUGUCUGGCUUCGAUGCGACUGUUAACAUUCACAAAUAAACACCUUUGCAUGGUCAGAAAAAUUAACAAGAAAUUAGAAGGCGAUGUUGCGUUCUACUUAGUUCUCUAGGAUUUGUGUCAUUUGUUUAUGCUACGGUUCGUUCCCAUUUGCAUUGCGUGGAAUAAUUGGCCGAAUAUUAUUAAUCUCAAUCUUAAUCUCUCAACUCUUGUCCCUUUAAUUUUUGUUUGUAUCUUUUUCUUUUUUUUUUUAAAUAUCACAUACAAUGCUUUUAAUAAAUAACUUCAUAGAAAUAUUUAAUAAAAUCCAACAUAUAUAAGUUCAAGAAACUCAAAAAAUAAAAGAAAAUAAACUCACGUUGUCACUGGAGAGACUCAAACAUGCUACCUUAAAAUUAAGUAGAGGGUGCAACUACUUGCACUUUAAAAAAAGAAAAGAAAAAAAAAGGGGCUUUGAACGCUCGUGAUAAUUUGCAAGUUAUGGAGGAUAAUCAUUGUACAAUGGGGAGAACUCUUAUGGAACAAUAUUCAAACUGAUAUUGAAAGCAUAUAAGAAUUUGGCUUGGGUGUUUUGGUGCCAUGAAUGAGUGCAGAAACAAAGAGGAAGCUUUGUCCCUUUAAUUUGAUCUGCUGUAUUAUAAUUAUUGAGAUUAAUCAAAUAAAUAACCGAAACAUGGUUACAGUUUUAUAGUGUAUUGCAAGUCUUUGGAGAUACUAUGUACCUCAAAAAAAAAUAUCGUAUAAAAGAGUGUUUUGUUUCACAGGGGUUCAAUGAGAUUUGAGAUGGCUGUAAUGAAAGUGAUGUAAAUUUUUUGGACUCUAAUGAGGUGUUUUUAGAUGGAGGGGGAUUUACAAGUAUUUUAUAGGGGUGAUAAAUGACUGUAUACCCACCAAAAAGGCCCAUUGUUCGAGUCCAUGAGCAUUACAGUUUUUUUUUUUUUUUUUUUUGAAAUUCAGAACAUGCAGUUUGUUUGAUUCAACUUCCGAAUUACAAAAUUAGAAUAAGAAAAAAAAAUGUGGAUGUUUUUUCUUUAAUUUACAUAAUAAUACAUGGUGUGGACGAUGUCUAUUGAGGGAUAAAAGAGGAAUGGGGGCACUGUGAAGUUUGUGUUUUUGUUUUUUUUAAAUUAUCAUAUUCAUACUGUCUAUAAAAAUAUGCAAGUUAAAAAAUUACUCAUGAUAUUGUUGUUUUUGUUUCAUAUAAUACUACUUAUGCACAUCGCCUCAUGCAAACAUUUCUUAGUUAUGCUUAAAAAAAUGAGAUUCUCACCAUGGGUCACUGUAAAAAUCCACAGAAGCCGUGGAUCACAGUAGGAAGCCCACUUGAACAGAAGAAGCUACCGAAAGCUUCGACAUUGUAUUUAUGAAAUGCUUAGUAAAUUUUGUUUUAUUUUGAAUUUAUAUUAUAAAUGGUGUGUUGCUAAAUUAAAAAAUAAAAAAGAAAUGCAAUGUGUCAAAAUACAAGAAUCUUACGGACAUUUUUGUCACAAUAUAUGUAAAUAAUUCAUAUCUUAUUCAUAUCCUAUGUAAGCUUCACUUGUUUAACACAAUGGUGGUUGAAUCUUCAAAAAUUCAUAAUCUUAAACAACCAAAUUUGGAAUUAAUUAAGCAAAUUGCCUCUAUAAAUUGAUUACAACAACCAACGACGUGUGAAGCCACAUGUCAAUUUCCCUAGACAGCCCAAAUAUUGAGGCGCUGUGAGGGAGCAAGGUGCAAUCGGAUGGGGGAAAGAGAGAGAGCCAAUGGUGAGAAUGGAUCGUGGUGAGGGAGAACCAACUGGUGGUGAGAUUUGUGGCUUCAAUGAGGUGAGUUUCGUGGCGCUGUGAGUGAAGUGAGAUUUGGCAUGAGUGUGAGGGAGAAUGCGUGUGUUGUGUGAGUGAGGUAAGCUGUGUCUGUUGUGUGCAUGGAGACUCUCACCACAAUUAGAAUUUAUAGUUAGCACAGAACGAAACACAAUAUUCUACGCUAACUGUGGAGUUAACCAUGGUGAGAAUAUCAUUAUUGUUUAUUAUAACACUUUUUUUUUUAAUUUGUUUUGACAAUAAAAUAAAGAACCUUGUAAGAAAACCUCAAUAACUCAAUUAAAAAACCAACUCAACCGAUGAUAGGUAAAUUGAGAAAUUUUCAACUAAAAAUUAUUAAGAUUGGUUUUAACUUCAAAUCAUAGUCACAUAGUUUUGUCCUUAUAAAGAUCAAAAUAAUGAAUUCUAACUCCGAAGUUUUUAGAUUUAUGUGACGAACUGACGAUAGUAUAUUGAAAUCGAUUGAAAUGAAAAAUUUAAUUAAAUGCAAUUCAAGAUGUAGUAUCAAAUUCAAACGAUUCGGAUUGUUUUAAAAAUUUCAAUGCUUUAAUCUAAAUCGAUUAAUCAAUUACACUCUUGCAAUUAUAUACCGUUAAAACUAAAAUAUGUAAAAUUUAGGGUGCAUUUAUUACCAUUUUCAAUUUGUUGUUUUUCGUUUUAUGAAAAGGAAAAUACAGAAAACUUGUUUGGUGAGCUCAUAUUGGUGGAAAACUGUACAGUGAUUAAAAACAAAAAAAAAUUCAUUUUUCAAUGUUUACAAAGGAAACAAGAAAACGCUAUUACACUGGGUUCUCUAUUUUAUUUCACUUUUACUCUCUGCCAAGGCCCUACCAUCUUAACUUUUAUAACAUGGUGUAAUAAAUUACGUGGGCCCAUUUAAUAAAGAAAUAAUCUAAUAAAUAAAUUAUUAUAACAAAUAUUUAAAAAUAAUAGCAUUCCAUACCUUACAGCUUAAUUACUUAAUAUAUUACCCAAAUUAUUUUAAAUAAAAAGUGAUAUCAUAUAAUUAUUAUACUAAAUUAUUACAUUGUUCGACCAAUAUGCAGUUAUUUAAAAAUUACUACAAACUUUCUUACAUAUAUUAAUGAAAAUAUAUCAAUAAUAAAGUUACAUCUUGACAGUUAAUAUAAAUAAAUAUAUGAUAAUUAUGAAAUAAUUAAAGAUUUUCUCAAUUAAUAUUAUCUUAUAACUACAAUUUAUUUACAUAAUUAAAAGUUUUUAAGAAAUUAUUAAAAUAUCUUCAAACCUAUAUGCAUUUAUAAUAAUAUAUAAUACAUCAUAAUAUAAUAACUAAAUAGAUAAAUUAUUUAUUAAUAUAAAAUAUAUGUUUAUAUUCAUUAUAUAAUAUUAUUCUUUCAUAGUAGUUUCAUUAAAUAAUUCUCUACUCUCUCUCUUUUUAUCUUUAUUUUUUCGGACAGACAAGUAACCAAACACCGCUUCACCUUUUUUUUAUUUUCAAAUACUAUUCUUAAAAUAAACUACCAAACAUAUUUUUAUUUUUAACAAAAACUAAUCAUUUUUAUUUUAUAAAACAAAUUGAAAAGUACUAUUUAAAAUAUAAUACCAAACUUACCCUUAAUAAUUUUAUAUUUGUCAAAAAGAUGAGAAGCUAAGUGGCACUAUCGUUUACCUAUUCAAACUAAACGUGGAGUCACAAUAUUGAAGACACUUUGGUGGCCACAACACUCUUUUCUUUAGUACGGAACAAUCUGGCUUACAUGACACUACAUAAAAAUAAAUAAUAAAAAAUCACCGAUUCCAACUGCCCCGGACAAAAAACAGGCCACACGUAAAAAGGCUUCUAUUUUUAUUUUUAUUUCUCCCCAUUUUAAAGAUGACGUCAUGGUGAUUAUGAAACCAGAAAAUAACAAAUUUUAGUUGUCUGAUUUUGUAGUUAUCCAGCGAAAACUAAAAAAACAGUGAACGCAGCAGCAGAUCUCCGUGUUUGUCGUCGUUCGAUGAGAGAUUCCGAUUCGUGAGCAUCGCAAGUGUUGAAAUGGAAUCAGACGAAAUGAGGAGUUAGCCUCUUAUUAUAUAAUAAUAAUAAUGAUAAUAAUAAUAAUAACUAAUCUCUUUUAUCAUAUAAUUGAUAAUGGAAAUUCACAUUGACAAAAGGCAAAUUACACACUGACUGGGCAGAAUAAAAAACAGUCUCUCUCAAAAGCAAUAAUUUAAACACUAACACCACCUUAAGGAGACACCCCAAAAAUAAAGCAGCAAGCUCUUACUGUGACCACACACACACACACACACCAAACUUUUAUUAUAGAAUAAAUCUAAGAUGAUGGAUGAUGGAUGCGUCACAUAAAAGUUAAUUAAUUUAAUCGCUGUCACUGCUGCUGCUGCUCUCGUGUCCGUCCUCGUGCUUCUUCUUCUUCUCCUUCUUUUUCUUCUUCUCUUCACCGUGGGCGGCGCCCUCGCCGCCGCCGACACCGGGGAUCUUCUGCUUGAUCUUGUCCACCAAGCCCUCCUUGUGUUCGCCCUCCUUGUGUUCCCCGCCGUGAUGCUGCUGCUGAUGGUGAACAUCAGUAGUGCCGACACCGGGGAUCUGCUGCUUGAUCUUGUCCACCAAGCCCUCCUUGUGUUCGCCGCCGUGAUACUGCUGCUGAUGGUGGACAUCAGUAGUGUGGUGGUCCCCACUAUGGUGCUCUCCCUUGUGCUUGUCCUCCUCCUUUUGCCCUCCUCCCAUGUGAAGGGCUUCUCCGAUCUUGUGAAUAACUCCUGACAUUUUCCCUUAAAAUGACUCUGUUCCUCUUCUUUUCUUUUCAAUGAAAAAUAGUUGUUUGCGAUCUUCUUCUGGUUGUUGUUGUUCUUGUUGGGUGAUCUUGGCUUGGUAUUUAUAGGCUCCAAAAGGAGGGACUAGAAUUAGGAUUAGAUUAUAGAUUAUUUUAAUACAUUUUAUGGCAAAUUCUGAUUUGGAAAGAUAAGAUUAUCCUUUUGGUUUUCCUUAUUUACCCUUUUGCACCCAUUACGUGUACGCGUCUUCGUGGGCUUUUUGGGUAUUUCAAUUAUAUCGCCAAUGCUAAAUCGACACGUUGCAUAUCAGCCGCGGUACUGCCGUAUGUAGUUGUCCAGAAAUCGAGUCGAUUCUCGAUCGUACAAUAAUUAAAUAAUAUUUCAUACGAAAUGAGUUUAGAUAUAUUUUGAAAAUUUAUUUUUAAUUUAAUUAUACGUGUUAUAUAUUUGUUAAUCGAAUAGAGGUCCCACGUAACAGAGUGUUUCUCUAAUCUUUCAUUGCUUUUAAUUAAUUUUACCCAAAUAAAAAAAAAAAGGAAAAUUUAGAGAGAGAGAGAGAGAUAGCGAAUUAGAAGUUGAUUGUAAUAUCGACACCUGUCAGACAAUCAAAUAUCGUUAGUUAAAAAUCAGUUGUCCAUAGUCAUGGUCAUAGAUGGCGAAAUUGAUACUUAUUUUAAAAAACAAAACAAAACAAAACGAAACGAAACUAAACUAACAGAUGUUGAAAUGCAGUUCCGUGUUAACAGUCUGUGAUGAAUCUUUAUCUUUGAGUAUACCAUUCAAGAAAUUAUCAUUCAAAAAUUUAUUUAAAGCAGCAGCAAAUCACCUUCUAAUUCCUGAAUCAAAUUAAUUCGAUUUUUUUCGAGUCGAUCAAUUCAUUAGAGAAUUAACGGGCUAAGUUAAAGUUUUGUUAGUUAUUUUUUUUUAUAUUCCUUUAGAUGAUAUGAUUGUCAUUGUCUUUCUUUCUCUGGGCAACAAUAAAUACAAGAUGUGCAAAAGCGUAGUGGAACAUAAUUCGAUUAUGGGUAAAGGGAUCAGUCCGCAUAAUGAGGAUAAAGUUUUUCUCUUUAAAAAAAUUUAACCCAAAGAAAAGGUCGUAGUUUGUAAUAGCCGACACGCAGAUAGAUCACAAAGCAUGGCGGUCCUGAUGGCAAUAACUAACUGAUAUCUUCUGCGAUGAGAGGAGAUCACGUGGUUCUGACACGUAUCGCCCCAUCAACUGAUGUUGUGGCUGCAAUCGCGGCCCAGUCUUUAGAGAGAAGAAAGAUCUGUUAUAACGGGACCUACUUUAGCAUCUAUUUACGACAAAGCCCCUAUUUACUCUACUUAGUAGUAAUAAUAGCAAGUGUCGGGCUUGGAUUCCGUGUUGCUUUAAAUAAAUAUCCGCGUAAAAAGAAAAUGCUUCUUUAAUCCCUUCCUUGUAAUUUUUCGACACGUGGAUGGUUGAAAUUAGCGUGCCGACAUCUUAGGAAUUUUAUCUUGGAGACGGGAACACUGCAGUAGGCAAUGCCAUUUUCUUCGGAUGGUGUGUGGUGACAACGCCUUGGAUUUUGACGUGCAAAGAAUUUAAAUUGAAAAAGAAAAAAAGAAAUUACCAGAAUAAGCAUAGAAGAGAUAUUUUUCUUUUUGUCCUUUUUGGAAUGGAAAAAGAGAUCAAGAGAUUGUUCCAGUAAGUAUUACACAUGUCACAGGCUUAUUCAUGCCCCAUUAUGGCAACUUUUAUGCCUCGCGGUGCCCUCGGUUCCAGCAUAAUAGCUAAGACUUCAAUUUUUCUAACAUAUUUUUGUUACAAAUAUGAACGGAGUAAAUGUAUAACUUUAAUCCUUUGAAUAAAGAAAUGGCGGUUCUCCUGCUCGUUAAUCUCACUUGAAUCCCACCCAGGCAAAAUUUCUUUAUUUUAUUUAACAACAAUUUAAAGAAAGAAACUUUUGCCAGGUUGAAUUUCAAGUGAGAUUCAUUCGUGGGAGAAGUGCCAUUUCUUUAUUCAAAAGAUUAUGGUAAUUACAACUUUCAAUUUCGACAUAAAUUAAAAUUAUAGGCUAUACAAUAAAAUUGCCCUAAAUUAGUCCUAAUCAAUUCAGAUUAUAAAUUUAGGUAUAUUUAUUAUUUUAAUAUAUUAAUGUUCUAUAUAUAUAUAUAUAUAUAUAUAUAUAUGUGUGUGUGUGUGUGUAUNNNNNNNNNNNNNNNNNNNNNNNNNNNNNNNNNNNNNNNNNNNNNNNNNNNNNNNNNNNNNNNNNNNNNNNNNNNNNNNNNNNNNNNNNNNNNNNNNNNNNNNNNNNNACAGCAGAAAAUAUUUGCUAUGGAUAAGGAGACAUGGUCCCACGUCCCACCGUCCCAAUGCAUAUUUUGUAUGUUUCCAUCUUUUCUGAAAUUUUAAUAAAUAAAGUUUUUUGACCACUUGGCCAAAGAACCUUACCCUUACACAACUUUGUGGUUGGAGUCCUGUGAUACAUGUAAGAACUUAUUUUUUUUCUUAAUUAUAAUAUUUUAGAAUAUAAUUAAGUGAAGUAGGUUUUUUUUUUAAAUAUGAGUAAAAUAGAUAUUUUUUAAAUAUUAAAGAGAGUAAAAUUUGAAUAAUAAUAUAUUAAAAUUAAUACAAACUAAUUUUAAUAAUUAUUUAAUUAUAAAUAUCAAUUAUAACAUCAUAUAAUAUCAAUUAUAAUAUCGUACAUCUCAAUUAAUUCAAUAAUAAUAAUAAUAAAUGUUUUUUGGGAUAAGUAAACAGUCGCAUGGCGACAAUAGUGGAUCUGGAUUAGAGUGAAGUGGUCCCAAGAGGCUGAGGCUGUGGCUGUGGAGUUCUAAAAGUCAAAAGCUCCACGCACUUUGUUUCAGUACCAUACACACUGAAAAAAUUUGCAUUUGCAAUGACGAAAACUUUUCACGAAAUCAAAACACCUCUAAACUAUUUUGUUAUCGAUAUUUAAUGGAGGGGUUUCCUACCUUUUUAACACUCGAUUCACGCCUUGACGCAUCUCACAGAAAACCUCAUGAUCCCAUUAAUCUUGCGUAACAUAUCUCAAAGCCAAUGCAAGUGAUCUUGUUGCCUACUUCCCUUUGACGAUUCAAAAUUGUUGAAAAUAAUUCUUUUUUUUUUUAACCUCAAGGAAGUGACAAAAUAUAAAAGAAUAUUUUCUACACAUUAAACAUCUAGAUUUUUUUUUCUUUUCUUUUUAGAGUACUUGCACAAACCGUUUCCAAGAGAGACCUUUUUUUUUUUUUUUUUUUUCCGGGCUUGGUUACUAAUUUGGUGUGAAUACUCUAUGGUGAAAAAGGAAUCACAAAGCUGUAAUCAAUUUUUUUGCAUCAUUUAGUUGUAACUUGAACAUUGGGAGGUUUAUAAAGAAUUAAAUUAAUUAUAAUGCCUCUACUAGGAAAAGUUCAGAGUAGCCCUUCACAACUUUUUAAAGGCUUAAUAAUUUUCGCUUUCUUCCUCUCAUAACAUAACAAAAAAUUAAGAGCUUUACUCGUACACGUCCUAUGGCUAUAUAGUAUUGGGUUCUCUACUUCAAUCGGCUAUCUCAAACCGAAGGUUAUUUGGACACACCAGCAGUCACGUUUGGAAACUCUCAAAUGCUUGGAUUGUAAUUCUUGUGGAUGAGAUCAUCUAAAUCUUGGGCCCAAGCCGGACAAUGGGUGGACAAAGAACCCUAAAAUACAGUAAAGCUUCUAACACCCCACUAAAACUCUUAAGAAAUCCUACCUUUUAUUUUUAUAUCUCUUUCUUUUAGAAAUUAUAGAGAAGACAUAGCAUUUUAAUUAUUUUCCCUGCCAUUGAAAAUAAAUUCUGUAAACAUAUUUUUUCAUAAUAAAAUUAUUGUUAUUAGAUAAUUUAUUUCUUCAUUGUUUCAAAAUUAUUAUAAUUUUAUCAACAAAAUUAGUUAUGUCAUAUAUUAGGAUUAAAAUUAAUUAGGAUCCAUAACUUGUAAAGACAUUUUAGUUUAAUUGAAUUCAUAUUUGUCAUUUUAUGUAAUUUUCAAUAAAAAUACGACUAUGAGUGCAAAAGUGGGAUGACAUAAUAUUAAAAGAGUGUGAAAUAAUCGGUAAUUGAAAUGGAUUGAAAUCAUAAUAGAGUAUGAAAAUCAGAAUAAAUUGUUUACUUUAGUUGUAGAAAUCAAAAUUAAAAUAAACCAUAUUAUCAUUGAUGUAUAUAUGUUUUCUUGUAAUCGAAAUGAAUUCUUAUAAGUUACUAUAAGACCCUUAUGGUGUGUUUACUAAUCAGAAAUCAGAAUGGAGUGGAAUUUGAAUAUAGAAUGGUAGGGGUAUUCGCGGAUCGGAUUUUACGGAUUGGACAUUAAUUCAUAUCCGAUCCAUAAUUUUACGGAUUAUAAAUUCUCAACACAAUCCAAAUCCAAUCUAUAUGUUUGCAGAUCGGAUGCGGAUUUGACUCAAUUCAUAUCCAAUCCACUAUUUGACGGAUUGAUUUUGGAAUUAAAAAUUUUUAAUUUUGUCCAAUCUAUGAGGUAAUUAAAUUUAAAAAUCUAAUAUAAAAAUAAUUUAUUAAAUAAAAAAUUAACGUAAAAAUAAUUUUACUACCAAUUAAAUUCAAAAUUGAACAAGAUUUAAAUAAAUUAAUUAUUUAAAUAAAACUAGAAUAAUUUAUUUAAAAUUUUUAAAUAUAACAUAUCGAAAAAAAAUUCAUUUGUUUAGAUUAAUAUAUGAAAAUUAACUAAAAUUAUGAAUUUAAAUGUUGAAAUUUGAGAGCUUGGAUGUAACAGGAAGAAAUUAAGAAACUUGAAGAACUUGAAAAGAAAGUAACAAAUUAAGCUUAACUACCUCUAAUGGUGAAGUGAAACAGUGAUGGUUUGUGCGUGCAAUGGGGUACAAAUUUGGCAUUAUAUGCCAAAAUAUUUUGUUUGGCUUUAGAAUUUUUAAUGUUUAGGAAGCUAUAUUUGUUUAUUUAAUUACUCAAAUAUUUAAUUAUUUUUUAUUUUAUGUUAUUAUUGAAUAAGAUAUAAUAUUGUGUUAAUUUAGCUAUACUUUAAUUAAUUAAUUAAUUUAUUAGUAAGUAGCAUUGCUACAUUUAUAAGUUUUAUUUUUUAUUAAAUAAAUACUUUUUUUUUUCAGAUUCACGAAUUUUUACGGAUUUACAGAAAUAAAUCCAUAUCUAAUCCAUCGACUGUGGUUUUUUAAAUUUUCAUUCCAAUCCGAUCUACCAAUCCACAAAUUAUAUUUUUACGGAUCGGACGAAUUGAGCGGAUCAAAUUGGGUUCUGAACACCCCUAGAGAAUGAGAAUCAAAAUAAAUUAUUUACUUUAGUUGUGUGAAUCGGAAUUGGAAUAAAUUGUACUGUCAUUGAUGUGUUUACUUUAUCUUGGAAUCAGAAUGAAUAAUUUCAAAUUACUAAACUGACCUUAAUUUUUUAUUGUAAUAAUAAUAGUAGUAGUAGUAGUAAUAGUAGUAAUUUUCUAUUAUUAUUAUUAUUUUCUCUCUCUUUUGUUUUUAUUUUUUUAUUUUUCUCUUCUUCUUCUCUUCCUCUUUUUUUAUUUUUCUCUAAUUCAUCGAUACUUCUUCUUCUUCUUUUUUCUUUCGUUUUUAUUUUUAAUUUUUCCCUUCUUUAUCGUUCCUUCUUCUCCGUCCAUUCUCUAUCUUCAAACUCUUUUUACUUUUUCUCUUAUUCUUCAUUACUUCUUCUCCCUUUUUUUUUUUUUUCUCUUCUUUAUUAAUUCUUCUUCUUCUGCGUCUAUUCUUCAUCUUCAAAUUAUCAAGUGAAAAAUACCCACGGUGCCUUACAAGAAGAAUUGGUUUUGUUUGCUUCAAUUAUUUUUUGUAUUUUGUACUUUUGAUUGUUUCAAAAGAGGAUAAACUUGUAAUAAUGCAAUUUAAGUAGGGAUGUUUUAGACAAUUUUGGGUAUGAGAGUCUAAUUCCCAACCCCCCACUCCCUCGUAGCAGACUCCCAUUCUUCAUUCCUAACUUGGUGUUGGACCUACUAAAAUAAAUCCCAUUCCCCUUCUUAUUUCAAGAAGCAAACACGAUUUUGAUUUCAAUUCCCCAAUCCGAAAGUAAACGCACAAAAAUUGUACCCAUAUGAGAUUGCUUAUCCUCGAGUUUUUAGAUUGAAAAAAAAAAAGGAAAAAAGAAUGGCCCCAUUAGGAAGGGAUUUUAAGUGUUAGAUAAAGCCGGUGUUAACCAUUAGAAGGUCUCCGACCUUCAACUGUAAUAUAUUAAACCCAGAUAAAUUUACAUAUAAAUCACACAAACCAACAUGCCAAUCAAAUAAAUUACAUCAACUAACAACAAUUGACACAUUAAUUUUCAUAAUACAGAGGAUGCAGAAAAUUAAAAUGUUUUAUCUUUUCUCCUUAUUUGUGAAUUGGAAAAUGAAAAUGUUAAACAUACAGAAGAGUGAAACAGGAUGGAUAUAUAUACACACACACACACACACAGCUUUGGAGUUCAAUGUCAUCGUAUUGCUCCAAGAAGAUUGGCGCCAUCAAGCUUUGCACCUUCCAGAUGCUGUUUAAUCAUCACCAUAACACCUUCAGUAGACAUUAAUACAUAAUAGAAACACAAAAUUCACAUGAUCUGAAUGUCUGGUCUAUUUUACUUACCGUAUCUCGAAGAUUUACGUGCCGUAAAUAAGCUCUUUGAAGGUUGGCACCCUUUAAAUUGGCAUUACGUAGCUUUGCACCCUGCCGCAUAAAUGUUCGAAGUUUCAACAAAUUAAAGUCUCCUGAGAAAUACAUGUCACGAAAAAGUAGGGCUGAAACUUGCAUCUAAUGUACAAGAUUCAAUCAGGGGUGCUUGUCCCACAGUGAAAGUGUAUGGGGGAAAGUGCACUUUCACAAACCAAAGGGGCAAGAUGUGAUUAUCACACGAUUACAAAAGGACUGUAGUCAAGAGAGAGAACUGAACAUGCAGCUUGUAUUGAGGCCAUGAAAAUUGAUGAAAAGCAGUAACAAGCAACCAUUUUGAAAACACUUCAUAUGGUCGAAUCAAUAAAUCAAAGCUAAAAUGAUGUUGACGAUCGAUAGCUUUUAGGUGAUAAGAGUCUUGGCACUACAGUUAAAAUUAUUAUCUAGGAGUGCACACAUUAAUAAAAAAAAACACAACCAAUAAGCAUGCACUCUUAAUCAGCAUAUAAAUUAACAAGUUAGUUGCACCUUAUGUUGUUCCACAAACAGAUUGCUCGAACAAUUCACAAUCUUACCUUCAAAUUAGCUCCUUCCAAAUUAGCUCCCUCUAGGUUGGCAUUAGUAAGAUCAGCAGUCUGAAAAGUCAAGAGGACAAACAGAUUGCAAUUUGAUUAAAAUCUCAAAGUAGCAACAUUCUGCAUGAAAGAAGAGCAGCACAAUUGGCAACAUACAUUUUAGAUUAAGAGGAUGGGAUAAAAGCAAAAUUACAAGGACAUGAAGCAAAUGAGCCAUGUUUAGUAUGGCAAUUUUGACCCAAUAAUUGUGGCAGGUCUUGGAGAUAACAUAGGCAUACACAUAAGGCAGAAGCAAAUACUGUCGCAAACUCCUAGCUAACUACAAAUGUUCCAUAUAGAAAAAAACACCUGCAAAAGUAAGGGAAAAAGCAACAGAUAAAGAACUCAAGAUGCUAGACCUGUAAGUGUGCAGAUCGCAGGUCUGCUCCACAGAAGCUGCAGUCUAUCAAGCAAGCAUCUGCAAUGAUUUAAGAUAAAUUUGAAUCCAAAUGACAUUUUACCGCAAGUAGUUCCAGCCAUUUUGGGAACAAACAAGAAAUGCUAUUUUGUAUUCAUUGUAAUUCCUUAAGCUAAAUAACAAUCAUGUGCUAUCUUAACCAAGGUACAGUUGCAAAUUCUGAAAUUGUGAUGCCAUAGGUUGUUCUUAAUCUUUUUGAACUGAAUAUUGAAAAAAUAUUCCUUCAAUCAUAAAUGUUAAAUAAUUAAAAGAACUGUGAGGGGGGNNNNNNNNNNNNNNNNNNNNNNNNNNNNNNNNNNNNNNNNNNNNNNNNNNNNNNNNNNNNNNNNNNNNNNNNNNNNNNNNNNNNNNNNNNNNNNNNNNNNNNNNNNNNNNNNNNGGGGGGGGGGGGGGGGGAAUGAAUAAGCGGAUGCAUACAGAAAAUUAUGGAAAAUCUGUUAUGGAAAUAAUAUGAAAAUGGGUAUGCAUAACUACAUACUGAAUCUUGACUAAUUUCAAUUUAAUUCAGAUAAGAAAUUCCAGUAUGGGAAUUGCCUUGUAAAUUUGCACUCUGAAGAUUUGCACCAGCUAGUAAAGCUCCACGAAGGUUUGCCCCAGCAAAUUCACAUCUUCCCUAGGCAAGAUAAAACCCUUAAAAGGCAAUUUUGAAAAAUACAUAUAAUUGGGAGAAUAUCCAGUAUUGCUUUGACUCUCUUACUCACGCAAAGUUGCAUUGUGAAAAAUGGAACCCUCAGCAUCCACAUCCUGUAUCAAGAACAGACAGAUUCAGUAUGAUUAAUAUAACUGGUUGCUGGAAGACAGGACAAAAUCGCAUCUUGUCACUGUCAACUUGCAUGUUAAGAAUUAAACACGAAAACUGCAUGCUGUCCAAUUAUAAGAAACCUAUAAAAUUCAAAUCAACAUCAAUACUGGCUUAAGGAAGAUAUAAAAAUAAAAAUUAUACCAACCCGAAAUUUCGCAGAUUGAAGAUUUGCACGUGAGAAGAAAACAUUUCUAAGACACGCAUAGCUGAAGUCCACAAGUGAAAGAUCCUGGCCAUUUUAAUAAGAUAGCAUCAGAGGAAACAAUAUCUAAUGAAUAUAUAAUGUUCUUUCUUGCUUAUCUGAGAAUACUAAUGAGAUUAUCAAAAAAACUCUAAGCUACUGCUAAGAAGUCUUGUGUUACAUGAGUAUGAAUUGAGGAGGUAAAGAAGACCCUUCUCCAAUAAGUUACCAUAGAAGCCACAUAAAACCCUAAAGCAGUUACAAACUUACAAUGACCAGAAUAAACCACCCCAACUAUCUAUUGGCAAGUAAAAUCACUUCUCUGGAUUUCUGAAAACUAGCAAAACAAAUGCAUAAAUUGGCAAAUUCGAUGAUUUCCUCUGAAAACCAAAUUAUAGCAGACAUAAAACUUGGAAGUAUUCAUAGAAUAAAAAUCUUUCAAGCACCUCAAUUCAGUAAUUAUUACCAGCUUAGAAAGAUCAAGGCCAGAAAGAUUAAGUCCUCGAAAUCUGACUUUUUCAGACUGUAUACACUUGAUGAUAUCAAUGCGUGUUAGCUCAGUAUCUAACUCAUUAUCUUCCUUUCUCUUAUUUAUGACAGCAUGGAUUCUCUCAAUUAGUCCCUGAAAUGAAACACAUUAGAUGCAAACUAUUAUUUGAAAAAAGAAAUACAUUUUAUCCACUAACACACAUGGAUUUCAACAGCAAUCAUACAAUAAUUGAGGAAGGACGGUCAUAUCAGACUCAUCUGCCAAGAUUCAAUAAGCACAUCAAACUUGUUUACAUGUAAUUUCCACAUUCCACGUGAAUUUAUAAGGUCUGCCUAAGCAAACCAAAGAAGGCUACACUCAGUACUGUGUGUAUACUGCCUUACCUUUGCUGUUCCCCAGAUACCGUCCUGCAAUCCAGAUACUUAGCUGUGAAGUUUCAAGCCAGCGAAACCAUUUUAAAAGUACACAUGGACACAGAUACCAUUAUCUGAAUCAUCUUCGAUAACAAAUUAAAAUGCCCUAGCGUUCAAAAAACUUAGGAUCUCUUUAAGUGAAGUUCCUUUAAAAAAGUAGAAAAAAACUGAACAACAAUGUCAUGCUAAUAAAAGGUAAAAAAAAUAAAAUAAAAUAAAGCAUAAGGACAGAAGUUCACCAGGAGCAUGCCAGUAUAAACCAAAACGACCACAAAUCUCAACCAUAAAAUUUAAAGUAGUAAAGUAAAUAAUCAAGGGCAUGCAGUUGGCACAGGUGCUUCCAAAUAAAAUGAUGAUUCUUUUCAAACAGAAAAAAGAAAUGGAUGUUAAUAAACUAGAAGAAACCAUGUCUUACAAGUAAUUGAUAAUAUUCUGCUUCCCGUAGAAGCUCUAAAAACUCUGACUCUGUUAAUGUGGGGACAGCCCCAUCCCUUAACCAAUUCAGAAUAUGCCGAAAAUGUUUUCCGUCCCUAUCAACAAAGAUAUAGCCCUGCAAUAAUUCAAUAUGCUCAAAGAUAAGAAUCUGAAUAAUAUACCCAAGAGAAGUGCUUUUCCCUGGAAUAAUAAAAAGAAAAUAAGUCAAAACGUUUUUCUUAAUGGAAGAACACAAAGGAACAGCUCUAUGACUAACAUGAAAACCAUAAAUCAGAAUAAGAACCCAAAACUGGUCAUUUGGAGUUUCACCAGAUCAAAAAGAUCACAUGGAAAUAAAAUUGUGAAAAUGGGAUUAUUUAUGCCGAGGUCAUGGCUAAACUGCAAUCAUUACUCCAUUUUUGGUAGAAGGAGAAGAAGAAAGAAGAGUAGGUGAGUCAUCAUUCUUUCAGGUGAGUCAUCAUUCUUUCUCUGUGAUUAAUUGAUAUGAUGGAAGUGUUGUAGAUAUUAAUUUGAUAGUGAUUCCUCCCUUCAAAAGAAUUCAUUCCUUUUUUUAUUAUUUCACAAAGUUUAACUAAGACUGAGUUUUCUCAAUUUGAAGGCAUCGUGCACUCUACCCCUUUCUUUUCCUCACAUUGCUUCUUCCCAAUCCCAAAGGGAAGAAAUCAAGAAACAAUUACAAUUUUUAACUAUUCACCAGCAAAAACAAGGCAAAGAAAGAUGCUGAGUGUAAGCAAAAAUAAGAGAGUUAUACACCUCAGAGUCUUGGCACACAGUAUGGCGACCGCUGAACAUAGCUGCAAGCAUAGAUUCAGGCUCACGACGAGUCAGAGUAUCAAUUGUUGUAUAAAAUUUCUUUCCCCCUGGAUAUUAAUACAUAAAAUAUAAAUUUGUUCACUUAAAAGCAUGAAUUGUGCAAAUUUGUCAAUAAUGUCAUUCUUUCACAAACGUUCACCGAAAUGUAUAACAAUAAGUGCAUCAUAACAUAACUAAACGGCUUAAGAACUGCGCAGAUAUUACAUACAGUAGAGAAACAAGAAAUAGAAAAUGAGAUUUGCCCUUUUUAAACAGAAAGCAAUCAAAGAGUAAACUAAAGAGCUAAUAAUUCACAAAAUUCAGUUGAUUAAACUCAUUUACAAGUAAUUAGCAACAAAAUCCAAGCUAAAUAAAAAUAAUGAAAAUUAGGUUCUUAUAACAUCCGUCAAUUCUAUGAAAGUUUACCACGAUCAGCAACAAAUAGAUAAAUCGCAAUAAAGAAAAACCGACGACAUGUCGGUUGUGUAGUGCAUAAGUAAAGGAAUUUGCAGAUGAUGUAAAGAGAAUGAGGGAUAGUAACUGACCGAUGUUGAGACGAACCAUUGAAGACGAAUCGGAGUCCUUCGCCAUUGUCGAGUGUAAUGACUUGUCGUCUUACUUGCGCUCAUAGGUAUUUAUAUCAUAGCUGACACUGUUCGAAGGACAGCAAGGAUUUGGUGGGCACAAAUGCAUUUUGGAAAUUGGGCUUCGGCCCAAGAAAUCGAAAAUCAGAGGCUUUUUUUUAAAAAAAAUUUAAAAGGAUUAGAAUGUCUAUAAAUUAAUAGGGCUGAGACCAUCUUAAAUCUAUUAAGUAAAAGAGAUAUUAAAUAUUUUAUUAAUUAAUAAUUUAUUAAUUUACAGAAUUAUUUAUAAUUCAAUUAACAUACAUUUAAUAACUAAACAUUCAAUGUACAUAAUUUCUGAUUACAAUUCAAAGCACUAACAAUACUUCAUAAUUUCUUAUUACAAUUCAAGAAUUCAACCUCAUAGCUUUUAGAUGCAAUAAGAAAAAUAAGAAAUAAGAUUCAGUUAUAUUUAAAUUUUAAGAAAAAAACAAUAAAAUCAUAUUUUAUGUAAUUAAAAUAUCAUAGUCAACUACAUUUGUAAUUUCAACAAAUUAUUACUCUAUGAUUUAAAUGAGACCACAAAGUUAUAUAAGAUUUUAUCGAAAUUAUUAAUUUAAUCCAUUAGUCCAUGUCAAGACCUUGAAAAUUUAAUAAUUAUAUAAUAGAGAUUAUUAAUUUAUCGAGUAUUAAUUUAUAGAAGUUCUGAUUGUAUAUUAUUUUAUAUUAAUAAAGAAUAAAGUAGCAUUCUUUUUUAAUUCCGAAGUAAUAAAAUUAUGGCUAAAUUAAGAGAGUAGAUAUAUUUUAUAACUUGGUUUAAUAACAUCACGCGCCUCCCUUGUAGUUUUGCAGCUUUGAAGCUUUAUAAUGAAUCCUAUUAGCUUUGGCUGGAAAGUUAUAUUGUUAAAGAGAGUUUAUAUAUUAAACAAGGUGAUCUAAUAUUUCCAAAACUAAAUUUGGGAUCAAAAAUAGAAAACAUUUGCAUGUUUUUACCUUUUGGAAGAAUUACUUGAUAAGUGCUUCACAGAAAAAUGCUUGCUAUUAUAGAGCACCCUAAAAAAAAUCCUUAAUAAUUGAGGGAUCAUAAUAAAGUUCAAUUCUAAAUCUGUCAGAUAGAUCGAAAGUAACAAACCAUAUAUAUUUAAAUCUAUUUAGUAAUCCAGGGUUACAAGCCAAGCGUGCAAUAGCCAAUUCUGAAAAUCAAAGCUCAGCCUAUGCUCUCUGAGCACAAAUAAGAUCUGAUAUAUACAUAUCGAAUCCUCCAUUAUGUGGAGUGAAAUUUCCAUCGUGUACGGUGUACCUAACAAUGAGAAAGCAUGGCAGCAUAAAUUCAUCUUCCAUGUUAUUCUACUUAUUAGUACUGGUUCCCUCAUAACUUCUCCAAAUCGGGGAGGUCUGCAAUGUGUAAAGCACGUAAUCAGAUAAAAGAAAGAGAGCCAAAAAAAAAAAAAAAGGUAACAGCCAAAAGAUUAAAUUUCUUUGAGAAAUAGAAAAUGGGAGCUUUUGGCAUAGGCACAGAAUAGAAAGUAACAGAGUCAUUUACAGUUGUUCAGAAUAUGCAAGCUGAAAACAACUUUGAAUGCAAUGGACAAUUCCUCCAACAAACAAUCGAAUUGGAUUGUGGAAGAGACAAAAGCUUAAUGAGGUUAUGGUUUUGGCUAGGUGAACUCAAAAUUCUUUUAUAGACCAAGUAGGUAAAAACAAAUCCCAUAUAGAUGGAUGAACCUCAUACCAUGAACAGUUAAUCGCGAACACUUGCAGGCUUAUGCACACGACUAUGAAGAUACUAAGGGUUUCACCGAUGGUAAGUGAAAAAUAUAUGAUGUAUAAUUUAAAUGGAAGCACAUAGUUUCGGAUUGAAUUCAAGGUUAAAGUUCCACAGACAGACAGAAGAGAUGAAGCUUAAAAACUUACAGAGCAUUCCUUCAUCAUCACUGCUUUCAUCAUUUUGGCCAACAUGCUGAAAAAAGAAUAUGAUUCAAGUUAAAUGAUUGAGCAACAAUAAAAAACGUGCAAAAUUAAUGCUCUCUCCACAAAAAUUUCAGUCUAUAUUGGUAAGAAGAAACAGGAAGAAAAAAUUACCUCAGCAUCAUCGUCAUUGGAAGCCAAAUCAGCUGUAAAGACCACAAAAUGUUUGGUUAGAACCAGUGGAAGUCUUACUCUAAAAUUUUUAAUUUUUGAAUUUCGAAAGAUCUCGUAAUGACAAAGAUUUUCAUAUCCAGUGACCAAGUUUUGAAAAUUAGAAUACGGAAUGACAUCAACUAAAUUCACUAAUAUAAGCUAGAGGAAUCCCUAGUAGAUAUAGCGCACAUGCACACAUGAUAUGCAUCCGAAUACACAAUAAUAAAUUAUCUCAAAGUCAAUAAGAAGCCAAAAUUAGAGAUAAACUUUUAGCCACUAUAAGGAAGACUGAUAUUUGCAGUGUGAUUACAAUAAACAAACAGAAACUUCACUACCCAUAAGUAAAACAAAAUAAAUAAAGGAUAAUAACUAACCAAGAAAUGGAAAAGCUCACAUUCUCUGAACACGCACCCCAAAAAGAAAGAAAGAAAUAAAUGUUCUCAUUGGAUCUGAAGCACAAGCAAUCCACUGACAUCCUUCUAUAAUUAGGUAAUUUAAAGGGGUUAAGCUCACAUCUUUUACGGAAGUAAGAAGAGAAUUAACAACCUUCCAGAGGAUUUAGGGAAAUACCACGAGGCAAGAAAAAAGAAAUAUCCUUCUUCAAUCUAGAUAUCCUGAUACUGCUCACCAUCUACAACAGUCUGUGGCUUAAAAAGCAGGUCACUGAUCUCUCCCUCCCUCUGGCACCAUUUUCUCUCAUGUCUCAUUUUUCCCUUCCUGCCAACUCCCACUACAGUAUUGAAACCUAUUCUAUCAACUCUUCCCCCUCCAAUAACAAGACCAAAACCAAUUUUACUCGCCGGUUAGCUAGGUAGUAAAUGGAAAUUUGUGAAUCUGUCAUUCAUCCGUAGAAACAAACCAGAACUGCAUAAAUUCUCUUCUCUCCCAACAGCUUCUUUUCUCCAGAAAUAGGCACAAGUAUUUGACAUGGAAACAGUUUAUCUAACAUGGCCACCUUUAAAGACAAAGACAUACUAAGGACGUGGUUUUAGAUACGGAUACAAGAAACAAUCACAAAAUGUAAAAUCUAUACAUAUGAUAUUAAUUUCCAAUGGAUACAGCAAUUCAUUCUUUGACAUAACUUCAUCAGAUUACUAGGUUUGAUUAGGUUAUACACACAUUUAUUCAUUUAUUGAAUCUACAUGCACUUAGAAUGAGAGGUACCUAUAAAAACAAGUUACCAGAAAACAAUACAGCUAGAAAACAUUAAUCUAAGUAGUUCUAUAGGUUUAACUAACUGCAGGAAAAAACCAUUGAUUUUGUCCGCCAGAUUAUCGAGAUCCUAAUUCUGGUAAAAAGAAAAUGAGAUAAUAGAAAAUCAAAAAUUAAAUAGACACAAAAUGAGAAAUCAAGAUCAUAUGGCAACUAAUAUAUAGCAUGGGCUGCAGCUAACAAGCAAUAUAAGCCAUGAUAUUAUGCCAGAUACAAAUUUUGAGAUCCAAGAGAGAUCAAGAAGCAUGAAUACCACUAAAAUAUCGAAAGAAGUGAGUGCAGAAGGAUAAGAAAUCAGGUUGAUAUUCUUCAUACUUUGGAUCAACACGUAGUGAUGCAAUAAACUUGUAAUUAGCUUCAAAUGUAUAGGCUACCAUGUCAACAUUUCCGAAAACACACAAGAUUGUGCUGGAUUCAUACAUAGUACAUAUAUAAAAAAACAAUCUGCUUCUAAACUUCAUGAGAACAUCGAAUAAUGAACUUACAAUUUGAUCCCUCAUCAUCUUCAUCGCACCAUUUGUUCCAAUCAACCUUAAUGUAAGGUGCUGGUUUCUCUUCUGACUUGAGUAGCCUUUUCCACCAACCUUUCUCUUCUUUUUGGACCGAGCAUAUUAUGUUCCUUAAGCCAACUUUAGUCUUACAUUUCUGCACCACCAGCAACAAAACUCAAAGCAUUACAAAAGAGGUAUAUUUAGCCGCUCUUGACUCGAGUGAGAGAACAGGAUAAAUAGCCUAGGUAUAUCCACAUCCAUGUUAUGAGAUUGAUUAUGCAACAGCUAACUUUAAUAUAAAGCUUUUGCUUCAACAAAGACUAAAAUGUUUGUAAUUGUUAUGCUUUUGGAGCUAAAAUGUUUGGCAAACACCCACUUUUACUCUGCACCUAAUAUCUACCACCCACCCACACACUAAGUCUCUCGUUUGGUACAGCUAUUUAUCAGUAGUGGCUUUAAGCCACAACAUUUAAAGCGAAUUUACCCUAAAAUUUUACAAUGAAAAACCUAUACUACCUUUAACAUUGUUGUCAAAAUUAUUAUUAUAAGUAAUAUUUACCAAACACUAUCAACUUCCAAUUCAUAUCAAAGAGCUUUCACUCCACAAUAGCCGUGUCUUCUUAAGCCAGAACAACACAAUACCAAAGGCCUUAAGCUAGUGAUUUGAUUUCACAACAACUGCAGAUCAAGCCUCAAUCCCAAACAUACAUAAAUCAAAUGCAGAAAGCAAAAAUUUAACAAUAUGUUUGGUAUACUAAAUGUCUUUCAUAGUUUCAUUUCACAGGGUAUUUAGACAUGCAAUGAUAAAUUGGAGCAAUUUCAAGAACCGAAUUGACCUCAGGUAAAAUUUUGCCAAAAAGUUCCAAGCUGAAGUCGUAAAGCUCGCCUUGGACUCCGACGGCCGAGAAGCCAAAAAUCCCCUGAGGCUCGCAUUUCACAGAAAUGUCUUUCGCAUCGGGUAAUGAAAUGGUAAGGUAUACUUUAUCGGAGCGCUGAGCCCAAAGAACCUCCGGAUGGCGACUGAACAUAAAAGAAAUAAUAAUAAUAAUAAUAUUAUUAUUUUUUAUUGUGACAAUUUUGAACUAAUAAUUAGAGACAUUUAACAACAAUAUUGAUUAAUAUUGGAGAAGAAAAAUAAGGUUACAAGAGAGAAUCAGAAAGAUUACCUCAUUCUGGUGGAUGAUUGAAAACGGUGGGUCGAUUGAUGAACAGAAGUGUAACUGUCUGGGAGUGAGAGUGACUCUGCUGUUUACUGGGUAGAGUGUGCUUACUCGAAGAAAUUGAAAGUGAUAAUCUCGGGCAAGCCAACACGUCGAUUUGGUCAACAGUGGUCCAACAAACCAGGAACUAGGUUUUUUUUUUUAAAUGAUUUUUUUUUUCAGUAUUAUAUUGCCCCGCCCGUGGGCUAUUACAUUUUGGCCCUUUUGGGGACCCCUCGUUCUCUUACAAGAAGGGAAUAUUCUUUUCCAUCCACCGGUUUGUAGGCAGAGUACAUAUACUCUUCGAAAUUAAGGACAAAUUUCUGAAUCGUGCCGCAUUAGAAUUAAAUUGAGUCUCAAAAGAAUUUUGGUUAUAAGUAUAUCGUUCAAACGGUAAUAUAUUAAAAAAAAUAAUAUUUACUACAAUGUAGACCUAUCGGGACUUUGAAGCCCAGACCAAUUCUUGAGUCUAGCCUAAUAACACCUCAACAGAUCAAAAUUGAAAUCCAACUUAAAUUUCAAUAUUGUGUAGGGAUCUGCCUUAAUUUAGAUAUGUCAAGACCUGCCUUAGGCAUCAAAGUGAUCUAUCUUAACAUAACUAAGACUUUCUUUAAACAUCACAAUGAUUUAUCUUAACGUAGUCAAAUCUAGCCUAAAAAAAUCUAAAGAAGGAAAAAAGAAAUUAUUUUCACGUAUUGAGAGACUUAAAUUCUUAACCUUAUUCAUAAGAAAAAAAAGUGUAUUACUUAACUAAAUCGUGACUAAAAAUUAUAAUUAUUAUUUUUUGUACAUUUAGCUUUAAAAAAUCAUUAUAUAUAUAUAUUCAUAUAAGUUUUGACAUAAUAUACAUACCACUUAUUUGUUUUUUAAAUUAUACGAGAAUGAAAAAACUCAAGCAUUAAACACCAACUUUUGUUUCAUGCUAUCAAUCAACUUGAGAAAUUUUAUAAUAUAUCGGAAGUUCUACGUCACAAUUUAAUACGAAGCCUUCGAUUAAUAAUAAUUAGACACAUGACAAUAGAUGCUAGAGAAAUUUUAAAUUCCCUCUUUUCAUUAUCCCUCCAAAUUUAGAAUUUCAAAAAAUUAGAGAAUAAAUGUUGCUUGCUCUCUUUGUUAUCUAAUUCUAAUUAUUAUUUUUUUCUCUCUCUCUCCAAUCAAGUUGCUAGCAUUUUUUAAAUCUAUUGAAGAAUAAGAAGAAGGUUUUUGUCGAUGAAAUGAUUUUGGCAGCCUUUUUUACCCAAAGCUAACAUGAUUGCUGCGACUACCAAUGAAGAAAAAGAUGUGUUUUGCUGGCGAAGAAGAUGAUUUUUGAAGCAUGAGUGGCUGCCGUUUAUUUUUUUCCUUCAUAUUUUUCGAUGUAGUGGCUGUCCUCAAGUUUUAUUCAUUUACUUUUCAGUUGGCCUACUAUUUAUUGGCAUAAUGAAAAAUUUUAUUUUAAUAAGCAUUUAUAGAUUAAUUUGAGGAGGUUUCUUUUGCAAUAUUAGUGUGGUUUCUGCAUUGGUAUGAUUUAAAUUACGAACUUGCUACAAUCUUUAAUUAAACUGUCAAAAGUAAUUUAAAAAAUCUUUAAUUAAACCGUCAAAAGUAAUUUAAAAACUGACAGUAGAUAGAUUAGAGAUAGGCUUGACAAUUUAGCCCGACUCUAUUUUUAGUCUGAUUGAUCCGAUCCUAAUUUUUAAGACUUUGGCCUGAAUUUUUUGAUUUCGGGUCGGGUUCGGGUCAAAAUUUUAAGGCCCGAACAAAUUUAGGGUCAGGGUCGGACUUAAAACCAACCCGACCCGACCCUAUUUAAAAAAAAAAAAACUAACACACGCACACAACACAUGACAGUUCACUCUCUCUAAAUCGUAAAUCACACACACAAAAUACACUUACACAAAUUCACAAAAACCCUAAGCCAGCCACCCAGCCUGCUGCCGUCCUAUCAGCCAACAUCGUGACCGUCCGCCGCACGCCAGCCAAUCAGCCGUCGUCUCGUCGUCGCAUGUCUCACCAAUCAGCCAUCGUGACCGUCUGCGACGCUGCGACAUGAACUUGAACCAGCCGCCCUUUGUCGCCGUCCUGCCGCAUCCGCCUGCCAGCCAACGAUCAAUGCACACAGUUGAAUUGUGGGGUGGGAAAUGGUUUCGAUAGGGUCGGGCUCGACCCGACCCUAACUAUAAAGAGGUAGGGCUUUUUUAGGGUCGGGUUUUAAUUUUUUGUUGAUCGGGUCGGGUCGGGUUUGGCCAAACCCGAGCCCGACCCGACGUUUUGCCAUCCCUAAUUAGAGAUGAAGAUUGGAGAGAGAGAAAAAUAUAAUUUGAAUGAGAUAAUAAAGAGAGAAGAAAUUCUAUAAUACAUCAUAAGUAAUAUAACUCAUUGAUGUAUGCAUGAUAUAUGUAAUUAACCUUAAUAUAACUAACACUUGUAUGGUGAUAUUUCAAAAUAAAUAUACAUAUGUUAUAAAAUCAUUUACUUAUUGUAUGACUGACAUUUUAUUUUUGAUGUAUUGUACAAUUUCUCAGAAGAGAGUAGUAUUUAUUAUCUCUAAUUUUUUGAAAUUCUAAAUUUUGGAAGGAUAAUAGAAAGAGAAAUUUUAAAAAUUUUUCAACGUAUAAUGCCAUGUAUCUAAUUAUUAUUAGUCGGUGUUCCACGUUAAAACGUAAUAUAGAACCUCUGGACCUUACUGUAUAAUGUACUGUAGAAUUUCCUGAUCACACACUUUCUCAGUUGCAAAAGAGGUGGGCAUAUGAGUUCCUUACGGGGAUUUAGUGUGAAUCCACGCAAAGCCCAUAUAGAUUUUUCCGGUUAACCGCUAUGGCAUCCUAGUUUUAAACUCAGUACUAAAUUUACAGAUCCAUUUAAACCCCCCAAAUCAGUCUCUCACCGUCUCAAGUCUCAAACAAAAAACCUGACCGGAACCCAAACCGCCAAAUCCGAUUCGAUGGUGGACUGUGCUAAAACCCCUAAAAUUCCAAGACUGACAUGCGGUAAAGGAGAUGGUGAUAGACUUAGCAAUCUUCCGGAGCACAUCAUUUAUCACAUAUUCUCGUUCAUGGAAACAGUUGAUGUUGUUAGAGCAAGCACUGUUUCGCGAAGAUGGAGGUACUUGUGGCUUUCCGUUCCUUAUUUGAACUUCGACUAUCACACAAUUUGGUCAGACCCGGAAAGUAGAUGGUCUCGUAGGAAAAUCAAUGAUAAGUUCAAAGAUUUUGUCAACUGGGUAAUAUUUUCUCAAAAUGGGUCUGUUAAUAUUCAAAGAUUUCGUCUUUGCUGCUGGGAUUAUUUAGCAAGUUACGAUAACGAUAGAACGAUUUACAGAUGGGUUUCUGCUAUGGCACGUCGAAACGUGCAAGUGCUUGAUCUGGCUAUAGCUUCACUAUACCCAUUUGAGUUUGACUUGCCACAUAGUCUUGUAACUUGUGAUUCAUUGGUGGAACUGAAGUUGAGUUUGAGCUUUCAUGUUCACCGAUGUUUUUUAAAGCUGCCUACUGCUGCUGGUUUUAUUGGGCUCAAGUCUCUUGAUUUACAAAGUGUUGCGUUGGAUGAUAAUUUGUUUCCUGAAUUUAUUUCAAAUCUUCCCCUGCUUGAGAAUUUGUGUAUGUUGUCAUGUGUUUUUCCUGAAUUGAAGGUUCUUGACAUUUCUUCCACUAAUUUGAAGAAUUUGGCUCUGGAAUCCAUUGUUGGCAAUGAUAAUGCUGGCAAUGAUGAUGCUGGCAAUGAUGAUGCUGGCAACUACAAGCUUAAGAUUGCUUGUCCAAAUCUUGUGUCUUUUAAUUAUAUAGCUUUAGCUCCAUGGUUACCUCACUUUGCUUUUGAGAGCUUAAACUCCUUGCAAAAUGCAUUCAUUGACCUGGAUGAUUAUAACGAGGAUGACAUGGAGAACGAAAGAUGUCAUGUUUUAUCUACAAUCUUCAAUGACUUUCGUGAAGUUAAAGUUUUGAAAUUAUCAGAAGCCAUUCUUCUCGAGGUAUGAUUUCAAAUACAUUCAUUGCACCAAAUCAUGAUUCUGCCAGAACUUGUCUACACUUUUUUAUUUUGACAUUAGAAAUGAAGCUUAAGUAAACUGAAUCUACUUUCUUUGUUUGGUAAAAUAAGAAUUCUAUUGAUUAUGGAACCUUCCUAAAUGCUAAUUUGUUCUUUAGACUGUGUAUAAGUCAUUGUGACAUUGUAUGAAGUCUCAUUUAUCUGAGUAAUCAAUUGUUAUUGAUGUCAAAGACUAGAACUCAUUGGUGACUUGAGUUUAUGUAUAUUAUCGUUUGUUAGAUUUUUUGUGUGAUUAUUGCACUUAACUUGACUAAUGUAUUCUCUUUCUUUUUGCCAUUGUUCCUCCAGGUUCUUGAUCCUGAUCCUGCUCACGAAGAACCAGCAUUUUUUUCCACUUCAUUCAAUAAUUUGAAGUCCUUAAUACUUUCUGCAGGUCCGGGUGUAUGUCUCAUGCCAUCAAUGCUUAGGUUGCUCAACUGCUCUCCAAAUCUAGAAGCUCUUGCAAUAUAUUCUCCUAAGGUAAUCUUAACACCAAAAACUAUUCCAUUUGUUAGAUACCGUCGCUUCUAUCCAUUUUUUUUAAAAAUCAUAUCUCCCAUUUAUGUGCUAAAAUUUUAAUUUUGUUAAAGUGCAACUGGGCUUUGCUUAAAUUAUCGCAAUAGAGUUGAAACCUGAAAGUAUUUGUGAUAUAUUAUGUUUACCGCUUAGAGCUUAAAGUAAAUGUUAAUCUUGUGGCCUCUUGGUUGUUCCCAUGCUAUUGCUUGUUGAGCAGAUGGUUGAAUUUAGAGUCAAUCAAUCGGUUGUGUUCUUCUGAGGUUUGUGCAAGUUUUGUAAAAGAGCAAAGUUUAGUAUUUGUUUAGUUUGUGAAAAUGAUAUAGCUUUUUCUAAUUCAUCUUACUCUAUUCUUUGCUUAAAAAUGAAUUCUCCUUUUGAUUUGAUUCCUUGACUGCAUUUCGGUCUGUUUUCUCUUGGCAGCAUCGGCGUGGAUAUAAUGCUUAUAGGAAAACACCGAACAAGGCUGCUAUUUCAUGUUUGACAAAUCAUCUCAAGACAGUUGAAAUAAAACAUUUUAGCGGUGAUAUGAAUCAACUUGAAAUUGUGAGGUUUCUUCUAAGGAAUGGACAUGUAUUGCAGAGAAUGAGUAUUAGAUGGGUGGCAGAUGUUAAGAAUCAAGGGAAGAUUAUCUCAAGGAUAAUGAAGUUUCGGAGAUCAUCUUCAAGUGUUGUGCUGAAAUUCCUAGAUCCUAAGCCAGCUGAUGAUUUUUCAGAUUAUUUAUUUGAUGAUGAGCAAAAGAACUAAAAUUAUGUUUAAAUUAAAAAAAAAAAAAGUGGUUUAAGUGUAUGUUCGAAUUAAAUAGUCUUUUGGAUUUGUAGAAACUGAAAGGAGUACAGUGCCAGUCACUGUGGCAGCCUUAUGUUUUGUUUGAAAAAAUUCGGAAGCUUCUAAAUUGUUAUAUACCUCAAUUCUGAAGUCGUUAGUAUGUAUAUUAUAAGCAAUACAUAUGUUCCAUUUGUCAUAUUUUAUUUUGGCAUUACGAUUGUUUUGUCUUGAUUAAUAUUGAUUAUAAUUUGUUUAACAUUUAUCUGGCAUAUGUAGAAUUAUACUUUAUCUGAGUAGAUGACGCUGCUGCGUACAUCUUCAGGACUCGGUCAUAAACUGUUUAUCUCUGCGUCUGUCUAGCAUCCAUCCACGUAUGACCUGUCGGCUUUUUGCCCGCAAGCAUACAGUUAGGGGUGGUAAAAAUAUCUGUCCGGUCUGGAUUCGGUUCGCACCCGGAUGUUUUAUCCGGCCCGGUCUUGGGCAUCAUUUGAUAAAUUCGGAACCCGAGUUUUAUUAAGCGCCUUGGCCGUACAGCAGUAUAUUAUUUUAAAUAUUUAUAUUUAUUUGACUCAUUUAUUACAUAUAUAUAAAGUUUUAGACACUUAAAGUUUAUAUUUUCAUGUCAAAUUUCAUUAAAAUAAAUUUAAAACUUAUAAAAUUACCAAAAAAUAAAAAAUAUAUACAUAUAUAAUAUUAAAAAAUAUAAAAUCUGGGUACCCAAAUUAAAACCCGGCACAAUCCGACCCAGGCAUCUAUGCAUCCGGGUCGGGUCCGGUCAUUACGAUACCCCGACCCAGCCCAGGGUUUUGCCAUCCCUACAUGCAGUGUAUAUGAAUUGCAGUUCUUGUACGGACAACAUGUCAUCCAUAAAACUCGAGUUAUGUUCUUUUUAAUCUUUAGUUUAGAUUACAUUUUGCAAAACUAAUAAACGAUAGAGCUCCUAGCAAGGUCAAUAGUUAACUGCGAAUCCAGAAGAUCGGAAUGCUAUACCUUUCAAACAUGCAUUUCAAAGCCAUCUGCGGAAAUGGAAAACAAGCAUUUCAAACUCGUUGUUAAAACAAUGAUAAAAGUAAUUUUAAUCCUAAUUUUUAAUUCCAGGCAUGAAGCUAACUCAUAUACAAAGAGAUAUCAAGUAAGCAGAGGCGAAAGCUAAAAGCUUUGGUUACAGGGGUCGGUGUGAAUAAUGUAUAUAUCGUUUAGACAUAUUUUUGAAUAUCUAUUUUAAUUUAGGGGAUAUUAUAUAUAUUUAAAAAAAAUUAAAAUUUUUACGGGAGCCAUGGCUUACUAUAGUCUCCAUUAAGAUUCACCCUCCCUACUUUUCGUACUUCAUUAAAGUAUAGGAUAAAUAUUUACAAUAUUAUAAAUAGAUUUUAUAAAAGCAGUCCAUAUAUGAAAGUCCUUCUGCACUCUGAAUUAAAUAAAAAUAACGUGAGACUAACAAUUUAAGAGUCUUUUUUGCAACGUAUAUCGUGCAGUGAUGUACUCUAUCGACGGAGGACUCUCUUCAUAUGCUUUUUAUUUUUCCAUGCCUGAUUAUAAAUAGGAUCACUCUAUGUUACAUUAAACGUAACGUACACACACUCACAACAACAGUAACAAGUCCCAUCAUUAGAACUGUUGCUGUGAGUGCGUGUAUGUUACGUUUAACGUAACAUAUCACUAGCCUUAUAAAUAACAUCACUUUUAAGGAUUUUUACAAAUUUUUAUUACAACCGUAACUUUUGUCCUCAUACAAUAACGGUGUCCAUUGUCCACAUAUAAAAAGUUCAUCAAUAAACAUAUAACCUAAUUAAAAUUCGUGACAAAAUCCAAAGGAAAGAAAGCGUGGAGUAAUAUAUAUAACAAAGGCAUUGAGCAUACACCAGGUGUAAUUUGCAUUGCAUGGCCACCCUUACGUGGCAGUUCCGCCGAUUAACACAUCUUUAAAAGUUAAAGCCCCCCUCUCUCCUUGUUAAGGGCGUUUCAACACAACACUCAUCAAUGCAAGCAAAGAGACAGUGAAGGAAAAAUUAAGAAACCAAUAUUGUCACUUGGAAGAAAGAAACAAUCAUUACAUAUAUAAUACGAUGGAUACUAAGAACAACAGGAAGCAUUUGUCCUGCAUUGCCAACGACGUCGUUCACAGAUGUGCACUGUACGUAUCUCUCUCUCUCUCUCUCUCUCCUUUUCUUUUUCUCCCCGAUCACUUUGUUUUCUUUAUAUAUACGAAUGUAUGUAGAACGUAGUAGGUUUUGUAUAAAUAUCUGUUGCACACAUUAUUUGAUGUGCAUUUAAAUAUAAUUAAUGGUAAUUGAGAUGACACACAAAGACAAUGCAAAAAAAGAAAAAAAAAGAGAGAGUAAAUUAAUGAAUUUGCCUUGAUCCAGUUAAUUUGUGUGCAUUUAGCUGACUGUAAGGUGGUUUCGAGUGUGUUUUUGUUUGGCAACUUUUCACACAAAAGCACUUUUGGGAAGCACUUUAUGUAAUGUAAGUGCCUCUAAAAACUGUUUUAUGUAUUACUGCCAAAUGCAGUGCAGAGGUUACAAUGGGAGGGUCGGUUUUAUACCUGUUCUUCGAGACUUAAUUUCAAUAGGAGAUUGAAAUAUUUAUGAGAAUUAUGUUGUUAGCAGACUUAAUUCUUUUGGAGGAAUUCAUUCCAUCGUAGACCACUCAAUGAAUUUGGUCGAUUGAGAUUAUUUGAGUGCAUGCUUCAAAACUGGAGCAUUAAUUCUUUGACAUAAAUGGGCUUUAACAUAAGGCGCGUUCGCUUAUUCCAUUUAUUCAAGAAGUUGGCACUCAAUUUUUUAUUACUAGCCUUUAGAUGGCCAGCAGCCUUUUGUAGCCCUUUCUAGUUUCUACUAAAGUGGUUAUGUGCAAUAGUUCUAUUCUGGGUUGCAAAAUUAUUGUGUCAGUAGAAUCCACAUACAUUAUGUACUUUUCUGUAUUUAAUUUCAAGAGGCUUAGUUAUAUCAUAGUUUUAGGAUUAUAAUAAGUCUGUCCGUUACCAUGUUAUUGGAAUUUUUUUUUUUUUCUAAAUUAGUUGGACACAUUAUUGGAUUGGUCAAUAAAGGAAAGCAUUUGGCAAGUACUUGGUUUGAUAUUAACAUAUAGUUGCAGUAAAGCACAUUAACUUGUGCAUCCUGAAAUUCUUGCAGGCAAGUAAAGGCUUCUGAGGAUUCAUUGGUGGAGGGGUUUGAAGCUGAAUGGAAGCCUGAAAUCGGACAGUAUUCGAAGAAAUUUGUGGAAUAUUGCAGCAUAAAGGCUCUUACUAACAUGUGCCAGAGCAUAGAAGAAAAGAUUAGUGAUGGAUCAUUUAGUCGACUCACAUUUGAUAUGAUGCUUGCCUGGGAAAUGCCUAGUGCCGCCGAUGAGGAGUCUCAUACUGUAAGCAAUCAUCAUAAUACUCAUAUCCUAUAUUUAUUUCAUGGUCCACCAAAUCAUUAUGAUAUUAUCCCAAUUUUGGUGUGCCUAUCUUCUCUUCAAGUUGCUUCUUCUAUUUCUUUUUCAUUAUACAUUCUCUGGUUCUCAUCAGUUUUCGCUCCAAUUAAAAGAAGCAUGAAUUCUUUCACUUAUCUGCUGAAUCUGUUCUAAUGAUUGGGCAAUAGAUUUUUAUUCCUCUCUGUGGUUACUACUAUUUUGAUCUUGUGCAGGAGUGCAUGGGAAAGGAGAAUGAGGAUAGAAAGGCUGUAAAAGUCACUUCAGAUCAUGAUGAAAUUCCUCUCUUCUAUACAGACAUCAUGCCUCUUCUAGUAAGAGCGUCUCUUUCUGAUCAUUUGAGUGCUAAUGUACCGACCAAGCAUUAGCCUUCACUGAAACUCGUAUAUGAUUUCAUGAACAUUGAUUAAUUGUUAUUUUUGCUAACUACUCUAUGAGAUCUGAUCAAAUUAGAUAUAUAAAUGUUGCGAUUGAUCUUGGAUUUGCUUUAUAUUUGGCCAUCAAUUAUAUUUUACUCUUCAUUUUUAUAUUUGUUUGGUUUGAUAAUUUACCCUCUGGCCCAUAUAUAUGAUGGUAGGUUAAUAAUGAACCGAGUGUUGGAGAAGAUGCAUUUGUAUGGAUGGGAUCCUUAGUUCCUCUAGUUUCAGAUGUUAUUAAUGGGAGAUUUACAUAUGAAAUUCUGACAGCGCCAACAGGAAACCGGCUCCAUUCUCCAGCAUAUGAUAUAUUUCUAAAGGAGAUGGACAAGUAAUUCUUCCAAUUCUUCCAUGCAGCAAUUUUACCACUCAGAAACUUUAAGUGCCGUUUGGUUUUGUGACAUGCAAAUUAUCAUGGAACACUCAAAAUGAGUUGUUCUUAACAAUUUCUAGAAUUUGCAAACUCACUAACCAUAUCUGAAAAUGCAGAAGCAUUAUUACCACUUAUUGAUAACAAUAUCUCUGCUCGACUUGUUUGGGUGCUUUCAGCCGUUUUUCAUUUUCUUUUGGAAAUCUUGAUUUCAUAGAUGCAUAAAACAUUUGCAAAAACAAGCAACUCCAAAGGGUGUUGAGCUGGCUGACGAUGAAUUUAUACUGCAUGUGGAGGGAACUGCAAGCACACAGAGAGUAGUGCGCCAUAUUGGGAAAACAAGUUGGCCUGGUAUGUCUUUAGUUUGAUGUCUUACAUCUUUUUAACUGCUGUAGAAAUUGUUACUUGGAUUUUACUAAUCAUAAUUGUUGUCUCUAGGUAGGCUCACACUGACAAAUUAUGCGCUCUACUUCGAGGCUUCGGGAGUAAUAACAUAUGAAGAUGCUCUAAAGAUUGACCUCUCAAAAGAUGCUGAACUAUCUGUUAAACCAACUGCCACAGGUCCAUGGGGUGCUCCGCUUUUUGACAAGGCAAUUGUAGUCGAGUCCCCUGAACAGUAAGCAUAGUUGCACUUAUAUGAAAUUACUGGAGCUAUUAGCAUCGUUAUUCUUAUUUUAAAAAUUGUUAAAUGCUUGGUAGUUAUCCCAUAAGCUAGAUUUUAAAUGCAUAACAUACAAGGCAGACAUCAGAAAGCAUUCUGAUUCGUUUAUUAAAGUUUGUCUUUUAUUAAGCUAAAGAUAUUAAUGCUGCUAGAUUUUUCUAAUUUGGUUGUAGAUAUUGGUUAGUUACACUGUCAAAUGAGCAAAUCUCGUGGAUAUUUCAUAGUGUGGUUAUGCAAUUGUUUUUUGCCCUUCACUUUUCUAGAUCUGAGGGAAUUGUCCUGGAGUUUCCAGAGAUAACUAGCUCGACAAGGCGUGAUCAUUGGCUGGCCCUCACAAAGGAGAUAAUGUUAAUGCACAAAUUCCUGUCAAAAUUCAAGGUGGAAUGUCCAAUACAAGCAUGGGAGAUGAAUGCAAGGACAAUACUUUGCAUCAUAAGACUCCAUGCAGCAAGAGAAAUGCUGAGGAUAUUGCCUCCAGAUCCCACAAAAUUCUUGAUUUUUGCUUUGUAUGAUGAGUUGCCAAAGGGAGACUACGUGCUAGAAGAGCUUGCUGAGAGUCUGAAGAAAGUUAAUUGUGGACAUCCUUCCAGUGCUAGCUCAAUUCUGAGAUGUAUGAACCUGUCAAUUGCCGCAAGUGGAGAAGUAAAAGAAGGAAAAGAACUGGAGGAACAUAAACAUAUAAGUGAUGAAAGCUGUUCAUCACUGGAAACUGCCAUCAAUCAAUCUAAAGAGCAAGCAAAGGCAAUUGAAAUUGCUAAGUCUACCACUGAGGGCCUGAAAGAUGAAGGGAUCAGUGAUAGUAUCCUUGUUCUCUUGGUAUGUUUUUACUUCCAAAUUGUUGUUUAUGCUGCUGAUUUUAUAUUGACAGAAUAAGUAAUGACAUCUCAACAAAUCAUGGUAUUGAGAGCUUGUUUGACAUUUAUCAAACACAGCAAAGAAAUUGAAUUUUAUGAAAUUCCUAUAGCACCCUAUAAUUUGUACCAAAAAAUCUCUGCACCUUUGGCAUGCUGUAUGGUAUGGAAGUAUAGCUGUCUCAGAGAGGUUACUGUUAUUUACUUUAUUUGGUUUUGUAGUAUUGAUGUUAAGUUUGAUUUAAUAAUGUAGGAGCUACUAAAGCCACUUAAAAGUGUUUUACCCUGGAUUCGAGAAGUUGUUUCAUGGGAAAAACCAGCAACCACCCUCACUGUGAUUGCAACAACUCUACUAAUAGUGUACAAGUAAGUCAGUGCUCCCUCGUAAUUUUCUUAUAUACGGAAAUUUUUUUGAAAGUGCAUGUUGAUCAAGAACCACUUCAUUACUUGGCCUAUUAAUGUGUAAACUUUGCAAAUGACUAGUAAACUAUAUAAUGGCAAUGUAGGGAGUGGGUAGGCCAGGCUAUAGCUGCUUGUUUGCUCACCAUCGUGGUGAAGAUGCUUCAGGCAAGAAAAAAAAGGUUGACAGACAAAUGCAAUGAGAUAGUAGUAUGCACUGCUUCAGAUCAGAGCACCGUGGAGAGCAUUGUGUCGGCUCAAUACAGUUUGAUAACUAUUCAUGAGAUGUUGCAGGCAGCAAACAUUAUGAUUUUGAAGAUAUGGUCGAUAUUAAUUUCAAAGGCCCGCAAGGUACUCAUUUUGAUAACCUAUGCUUUCAGCUUAGCAAUUAAAUAUCGUUUUCAAUCAAUAUUGCUUAUUCGUCGUUAGCUGAAGUUCGUUUACCUACUACAUUUGUUGGAUGUCUUCAAUUAUUGAGGAGUCUUAGUUGCAUUUCCAAAUUGUUCUAAAUCCUCGUUUCAUUUAAUGGGUUGCAGCAUGCGGACACGGUUAUGGUGGCAUUGACUGGGUUAGCAAUAGUAUUAGCAGUUGUUCCAUUCAAGUAUAUUGUCAUGGGAGGUGUGCUGUACGGCUUCAUUAUGAACUCGAAGCCAAUGAAGUACCUGGGAAACAACUCAAACGACCAAAGCGGCAACAGACGUCUAAAAGAAUGGUGGGAGUCAAUCCCUAUUAUUCCUGUUCGCGUCGUGGACAAGCUUCCUGAGUGCCCAAAAUAAUGUGUCGGCUCCUGCACAAUCACAGUUGCCUAAAUCCUCUGUUUCUGAACUUUUGUUAUCAACUUACUGCACGAUAUACACUUCUGAGUUUGCUUUUGCCAUCAGAGUAGAACUGUAUCUGAAACACAGCAUACACUUAAAUGCUCAUUACAAAUUUGGAGAAAAGCACAAGUAGAAAAGGAUUGAAGACAUUCAGUAACGUUGAAAUUCUGCAUUUUCUUUAAUUUUUGUUAUGAACAAGUUUCUUAAUUAUUUGUUCUCUUGAUGUAAAAUAGCAUAUUGCUGGGAGUAAUGAAGAUGUGACUGUGCUUUUCCUAUUAGCAUGUUAAUAAAAGCAAAAUGGAAAAUUAUUAGUUACGUCCUCUCGUUUUGCGGCUUAUUGAGCUAACAAGUAACUUCUUCAUUACUAGCGUGCAAGUUUGCAACUAGUGAAUCUCAAAUAUAACUCUACCCAAUGGAUGGAUGUACGAUGGAUGUACCUACCCAAUCAUUUAUUUCUCAUUAAAUCUGUUAAAACAGAAAAAGUCCCGACGUCAUAUUCUUCGCGCCUUUUAAAAAACGACACGUGUCGUAUCCCACUACUCGCGUGCUGGAAACUUUAACCCACUCUGACUGCGUGACAGCAGAUCAUUCCCAAUUCAUUUCAGUUUCACUGUCACUUUCACUCCUCCUCAGGCGCCUUCCGACAAACAGGAAGAAUGCAAACUUGAAAACCCCCAAAAACCCUAACGUUCCCCCGGAGACCCUAACCCACCAUAAACCCUGGCUCUUAAUCCUAGCCACUAUGAGCGACCAAGACGAGCAAUCGCGAGCUCAGAAAGCCGCCCAGUUAACAAGUCCGCUCUCAUCCUCUCUCUCGAACCUUUCUUCUUCUUCAAGAAGCAUCCCCUCUAAUCAAGAUUUCCAUUUCUUCUACAAUUUCCCUGAAUUCAAUCAACCCGUCCAAGAAAUCGCGAACCAAUCGCAGCUCCUCCUACAAUCCAUCGGCUCAUCGGAGAUUUUUAACCAACCGAUCAAUUUUCCUGAUGAGGUUGACAUCUCGGACGCCUACGACUGGCUUGUCGACGUAAACGACAACGUUUUCGAGCGUAUGGAUGUUUCUUUCGACGAAUUUAGUAAAGUAAGAGGGGAAAAUGGGGAAGGAGAUGGAAAUGAAGGUGGCUUUCAGUUGGUUUAUGGGAAGAACAAGAAGAAGGGCGACAUUGUGGGUGGCUCUGCCCCGGCCAGUGUGAAAGUGAAGGACAGGAAAGAGAAAAGCAAGGUGCCGUUUCAUAUAUCGACUAUAACAAAACCGCAAGAGGAGUACAAGAUAGUUGUGAACAAUGCGAACCAGCCGUUUCAGCAUGUUUGGUUGCAGAAGAUUGAGGACAGUGGACGGUUUAUCCAUCCUCUUGUAAGUUUGUUAUUUUUUGAAUAUUUUGAUAUUGGAUUUGACUUACUGGGUUUGUUAAAUUUGUAAUCUGAAAAUAGUACCUUUCUUAGGGACUUUUUAGUGAUCAAUUAUUUCUUUCAUUUUCUUUUUGGGUGGUUUGUGGUAUAUGUUUACGCUUAUCUUGUUUGGAAUUUGUGUGCAAUUCUUAUUAUUCAUGCGAGAAUUUUAACACUAUCAUGUGGUUCAUGCUUGCCAAAAAUAUACCAAAACACUUUUGCUUAUUGCUAUUGCUUUAUUUGUACAGGACAAUCUUUCUGUUUUGGAUUUUGUUGAUAAAGAUAUAGGGGAUGUGGAACCUGUAAAACCUCCCUCGUUGGAGCAGACACCAUUCAAGCUUGUGGAAGAAGUUAAAGAUUUAAAGGAGCUAGCUGCUAAAUUGAAGAGCGUAGAUGAGUUUGCGGUAAAGUCUGACUUCUGUGAUUAUGUUUUAUUGAUAAAUAAUGCCGUGGUUCAGCCUUACUGCAGUAGUUUCUUUUUUUCAGCCUUUUGAUUUCUCUUUUCUGAUGGGGCAUUUCAUAUACAGAACUGAACACUGUCCUAUGUAGAGGAUAUAGUGUAGUUAAGGCACAUGUCACCGAUGUCAGCUACUUCAAAAUUAUAUAGUGCUGGAUGUGGUUUAAGCCAAUAAGACAAGAAAGGGGUGUGGCCGCCUAUGAAGAUACAUACAAAUAUGUUAAUAUUCGAAACAUAUACAAAGAAAUGUGCCUGUAAUAGUUUUCCUGUCUACGUAAAGUAGUAAACCAGCUGUCUAUUUAAUCUUGAUACAAGUUUUGCAUGUUUAAAAAAUUAUCUUUCAUCUUUAACAGUGAGUCCAUUUUUAGCUGUAAUCCUUUUCUCAAGCAUGACUUGGUUUUGCUUUCGUUUUCAUCUCAACAGUAAACCUGUUUGCAACUAGAAAACAUUGUAAUUUUUUUGUAACUUUUCUCUAGGUCGACUUGGAACAUAAUCAAUAUCGAUCUUUCCUAGGAUUGACUUGCCUGAUGCAAAUUUCCACCAGAACCGAAGAUUUUGUGGUAGAUACGUUAAAGCUUCGCGUUCAAGUUGGGCCAUAUCUUAGGGAAGUUUUUAAAGAUCCUACCAAGAAAAAGGUUGGUCCCUUCAACAUGCUCUCGCGUAGCUUUGUGAUAAAUCUUAUUUUUUCCCCCCCAAAUUAUGUUAACUUUUACUUUACUAGGUGAUGCAUGGAGCAGAUCGAGAUAUUGUGUGGCUUCAACGGGACUUUGGCAUAUAUUUGUGCAAUAUGUUUGACACAGGACAGGUUUUAUCCCUUGAAACUCUCUUUGAAAUUUGAGACUUUAUUGAUGAUCUUGUCUGGUUUUUUGUACAAUGGUUAAAUUUAUCUUAUCUUAUCUGCUUUUUUGUGGUCUAAUUUAUGAGUGUUGAUGCAAGCCUUUAUUCUACUAAAUUAGUUAAAUUGAGUUAUCUUUUGAUACUGUAUUUUCAAUUUUGUAAUUCAUCUUAUGUGUUUGAGUCAAGGUUUGGCUUCAAAAAGCCUUGUCAGUUACAUGUCAUCUCUCCCUUAAUUUUUUCAAAGUAGCUUCGCUUGUCAUUUGAACUAUUUGUAUCAUUAUUUUCAAUUUUGAUGUGGAACUUCCCCCAUUUAUUAAUGUUCUUUUGGUUGUUUUUGUGUAAUGCUCUUUUGUAAAUUUUACCGUGGCAUUUAUUUUGUUUUGCAUUUCAAAUAAUAGUGAGAAUUGCUUUUUUCAGUCCUAAGUUUAUUGGUUUAUUGUAAAUAUACUGUAUAUUUAUUUUGGUUUGCAUUGGGAGAUGAUCGUGGGAAUUUGUUUCUGUCUUUUCAUAAGGCCUCAAGAGUCUUGAAAUUGGAGAGAAAUAGUUUGGAGUAUCUUCUACAUCACUUUUGUGGAGUUAAUGCCAACAAAGAGUGAGUCCUUUUGUAAAGUACCUGAUCUGUUUCUCCUUAUAGUUUCCGCCCUUCAUCAUCCUAAGUCAACUCAUUGCAGAUACCAGAACGCAGAUUGGAGAGUACGUCCUCUUCCCGACGAGAUGCUGAGGUACCUUUGGUUCUCUUUUUAUCUUCUUUGUAACCUACUUUUCUAAUGAGUUCUCCAAAAAAAAAAAAAUUAUGAUCUGUUUGGCAUGAAAAUAAUUACUACUAUUUUAAAGUUCUUGUAUUCUUUGGAAAAGCAGAAAUCAUAUAUCAUCAUUUAAGUGUUUGGGGUUUCAUCUUUGCCUGUAUUUUUGUAGAAACUAAUAAUAUUUUUUUUUCUGUGGCUUAGGAUUUGAAUUGUGGGAAUAUCUAUGUUGGAAAUUAAUAAUGAGUGCACAUUGACUCUUGAUAGUGGACAAAUAUUUGGACAGCCAGGAAGGGGAAGGCCAACAAAAGUUUUGGGUUUUUAUAAGUUGAAGUUAUGAAUGGUUUUAUAAUUAAUUAGGUAUAGGUUUCCUCAUUUGGGUAUUUCUGGGAGAUCUGGGUUAUAAGAUUGAGAUAUUCCAGCCUGUAUAGAUAAUUGUAGGGUUGCCUGUGUUUGUGAUAUUCCAGCGCGUUUAUUAUUACUACUUCUUAUAUAUAUAAAAUUUUAGACUCUUUCCAUGUCUAACAAGAAGUUUUCAUGAUAUCACUUGGAUCCUACUCAUGCAGACUUGUAAGGCAUCCUUAGGUGCGGUUAUGUGAUCUGGUUUUUAUAAAUAUUUUUAAAUUUUUUGUCAGAGACAAUGCCUGUAGUGACAAUGUACUGACUUAUCUUUUGGUUAUUACCAAGCUGAAUCAGGUUGCCUGUGGUUUAUGACCAUACCAUUUGGUCUUAUAAAAUGUUCUUCCCUUCACCUCAUGUUCUCAUACUUUAAAGCAUGAAUAAUAUCUAAGGGCCUGAGAUUAUUUCAUUAAUUUUUCCCAAGUCUAGAUCCUUCCCAGAGAAAUGGAUGGAUUACCCACACACUCACCAGUAACAUGUCGUACUUUAUGACGGUUUUGCAUUACUGCUGUAUGUCAUUUAAUUUGCCCUUUUGAGGAUUCUUUAUUUUCUCUGGGCUGAUGUUACUUUGUGGUGCUUUUUUUUCCUAUUUAGUCAAAAUAUAUAUUCAUCAUAGAGUUUCUCUGUUAGAAUUUUCUUAGCUUUGAGGAUUCGUUAGUGGCAUAUCAUCCAAUUGAUUAUACUUGUGAUGACAGAUACGCUAGAGAAGAUACACACUAUCUGUUGUAUAUAUAUGAUAUAAUGAAAAUCAAGUUGUCCUCAAUGCCCAAGGAGUCUGAGAAUUCUGAUACUCCCCUGACAGAGGUAUGAUUUUUGCUUAACUGUUGGUGUUGUUUUGUAAAACUGUUGGGCAUCUCUAUGAUUAUAGAGAAUCCAUUUUUAAAUGCUUUUUUCAGAUCUUGUUGUGCCAUGUAUGACAGACCAUUGCGUCUGGAGAUUGGCAUGGAGCUUAAUAAUUACAAUGUUAAAAAUAGAACAUAAAAUAUUGGGAAGUAUCUAUCAUGACUAAUUCUUCAACUGUUUAAGGAAGAUAGUUUAAAUCCGAAUAUCCUUUUUUGGAUUGUGGACUAAAGAAAAUUGUCAACUCUUGAUUUCUCUUCCCAAGGAUGAAGACGUAUCAGUCUGUUGGCAAACACAUUUUUUGAAUUUUACUUUAGUUAUCUAUAAUUUUACCAUAUUGAGCAAACAUUUUGUUGCAAACAGGUCUACAAGCGCAGUUAUGACGUAUGCAGGCAGCUGUAUGAGAAGGAGCUUCUGUCAGAAAAUUCUUAUCUCCACAUUUAUGGGUUUGUCUUUGUCCCUAUUCAUCUCAGUUUAAGUUUUCAUUUAGUGGCCUCGCCUGUUUAAAAUCUUCUCUCAUACAGUUUUUGUUUGUUUCAUUCUUUACUUAGCAUUACUUCUCUUGUUUAAUUUUAGUUCUAUUUUGGACUUCGUAUUUAUGUGAUUUGACAGAACUUAAUCAGUGGAGCUUAUUUCUCUAUGUUGAAAUAGGUUGCAGGGGGCUGGUCUCAAUGCUCAGCAGCUUGCUGUUGUUGCGGUAUGUCAGUUCUUCAUGUGUUUUUCAAACUUUGCCACUUUUCUAUCUGGAUAUUAUAUGCAUGAGGAUGCUACUGAAAAUGUAUUAUCCGCAUGUUUUGUUUACUAGUUGCAUCUUCAAAUGAAACAAAGUCUUGACCCAGAAGAAUCCGUAACGCACCAAUAGUCACUAAUAGGAUUGUCUUGAGAAAUUUACUUCUAAAUUUUUGAGUGGAUGAUAGAAGGGUGGAUUUUAAGUAGCUGACACAUCAUUGCCAACUGCUGAUAGAGUCUGUUGCAUACUUGAGUAUUCUUGCUAGUUCUGGCCCCAUUGAUCCCACUUCAAUGAUUUGCAGGGUCUUUGUGAAUGGCGAGAUGUUAUUGCUCGUGCAGAUGAUGAAAGUACUGGCUAUGUAUUGCCAAACAGAACUCUGAUUGAAAUUGGUAGAAACCUGUCUGAAUUUCCUCCAACUCUCUCUUCUAUAUGUAUAUAAUCCAUUUGGUGAGUUAUGAGUUAAUCAUAUUUUCCUUUUGUGGUAAAAGCCAAACAGUUGCCUACUACUGCUGCCAAGUUACGUCGAUUGUUGAAAUCAAAGCACUCAUAUAUUGAACGCUAUAUGGGUCCGGUACUUAGCAUCAUAAAAAAUUCUAUGCAAAAUGCUGCUAAUUUUGAAGUCAUUGCUCAAAAAUUGAAAGAGGAACGUAUGGAAGUGGUAAGACCUGCAUGCUCAUGUUUGAUUGUUUUGUUAUAUCAGUGAUCCAAAUUGAUUAUUUUUCUUUGAGAAUUUGAUGUUAAUGCCUUCAAUGGAUUGCCAACAUACAUUGAUUUUCUUUUUCUUUUCCUUGGAUUUCGUUAGAAUCAGACCAACCAUCUUUUAAACGAGGAUGAUGGUCCAAAACCUUAAGGUCUACUACGAUGAAUUGCUACUUUUUGUGCAAGUUCUUGUAAUUCACUCAGCUGGUUGUCUUCGGCAAAUGAAAGGAAAAAGGAAAUUCAUCCAAUCCAGUUCUAUUGAAGAAAAAGAAUCCUAGUUGAUCUUACAAAAUUAAGCUUUCAUAAUUUGUUAACCCAUGGAAUGUGAUUAAAACUCAUGGACAAAGGAUGUUCCAGUUGAGAAAGGGAUUUGAGUGAUUUUUAGCAAUUAUCAGUGAUGUCUUCAUUAGAAGUAAGUUUAUGGUUUAUAGCAGUAAAUGCUCAAUAAUUAGGUACUCCUUGUAUAUUGGCUGACCGGGUCCCAUGUUUGUAGUAGGUUUUGUGAGCUACAGAGGAUUAACUUCAGUCAGUUUUCCAUGUUAUGGCUGUUAAGAGCUAUGUCACCAUUUUUCUUUGUUUACAUCAAACUAAUCUUUUUUUUUCCCCCCAUUUUUCCUUAUUUGUGUAGGCAUCAGAAGAAACUGAAGUUUUAGUUCUUGAUACUUCCUCAAACUUGAAAAUUCCGAAUGUUGGAAGGGAGAGUGUUGAUGGUGUUGAUGCAUUAGUUGGUACCACGAUGCCUCACCCACCAGCUUACACCCAGCUGAAACAAGAGCCUCCAAAGGUUGGAAGCAGUGUCGCAGAACUUGACAGAAAUGGACUAGGGUCUUUUGCGCAUCCUGGAGAAGCAAUUGCUUCAGAAAAUAAAGAAGCUACUCAUAUUUCAACACUUUCCAGCUCUGGUCAAAGUAGAGACUUGAAUGCUUGCAAGUCACCUUCACCAAGGGUUGUGAAUUUGAUGCCUUAAUGUGGAUUUUUUUUUUUUUUGGUUAAGAGGUUUAGCAUUCAAUUUCUUUUUCUUUGGUUGUGAAUUUGAUGCCUUAAUGUGGAUUGGAUUUUUUUUUUUUUUGGUUAAGAGGUUUAGCAUUCAAUUUCUUUUUCUUUAUAGGUUACUGAAGCUGCUGUUCAGGCUCUAAAGAAGCCGAACCGUGGUUUUGGAGCACUGCUGGGUAACCCAAAGAGAAAGUUUGAUGGCGAGAAAAAGGUGAGUUAAUCAUUUGCUAGUAAUGGUUGUUAAACAUCUGCUAUGUCAUUGUCACAUAGCAAAAUAACUAUUUCUGAGGCCUGCCAGUCACCCAGUUUGUGCAUGUGUGGUUGGGAAGAAGGCAACAAAGGAAGAAUAUAGUUAAACAUUUGCUAUGUUAUUCUUACAUAGCAAAAUAACUACUACUGAGGCCUGCCAGUCAGCCAGUCUCUGCAUGUUGGUUGCAAAGAAGGCAACAAAAGAAGAAUGUUUUUUUUUUUUGAAUCUUCAUUCCAUGAUUCACUUUCUUUUCAAUUUUUCUUGUCAACUAGCAUGUACAUUUGCCUUCUUGUUGCCUUUUUCGUUGCGUGAGUCAUUAUGAAUUAUGAUUUAUAUUAUACGGAAAUUGUGAGUGGGCAACUGUUGGGCUAUAAUCAAACAUGCAAAAUUUCGGGUCCCAUGACUAAGCGCUGCUAUCAUCUGGAUUUGUGUGUUGUUGCAUUUUAUAUUUGGUUAACACCCUUCUUAUUAUCCUCCUUUUGAUUGUUUGUUUGUCUUAAUUAGGACAAGGAAGCUAUGAAACUAGAGCAGAUUAAAUCCUCAGUCAAUCUUCCAUUCCACUCAAUUUUUGCAAGAGAUGAACAGUUAAAACCAGUUGAUGUGAUGAAGUCUGAACCAAAUAAGCCUGACAUUCCAUUUCCUUCAUCUUUUGGUAGUGGGCAACAAACGAAACCAAUCAUAGAGGAAUCCAAUAGAGUUACAGUAGUUUCCCAAUCAGAAGAACCCGCUCCGGCUGCUAGGUCUGAUACAGAAGAUAUUAUUACGUUGGAAGAUGAUAUAGAUGAAGAGGAACAAAACCUUGGUAAUUUGGAAACUGCAAGUGCGCCCGGAGAGGACGGUUCUGCAGGGUCUGCUUUGGAAAUGGGUAAACAAGAUGAGACCAUGUCUCUCUCUGAUUUAUCAACUAGUUUCCAGGAGUGCUUCCACUCUGCUAACAACAAUAGAAAACCUGGAAAGCCUGAGAGAUCUGAAGAACCUAGUGGUUUUUUGCAGCUUAAGCCGUUUGACUUCGAAGCAGCUAGGAAACAGAUCGAGUUUGGAGAAGAUGCCAAAGAAAAAUCAGCUGGGGUUGAUGGAAACAAAAGAAAACCAGUGAACUCUGGAGAUAAGAAAAAAGUUUCAGCUGUAGAUCAAGCUCAAAAAGAUGAUGGAACAAAAGAACUGUCACAAGGUAGACGACGUUCUGCUUUUCCUGCAACUGGAAAUCGAAGUGCAACAUUUCGCUGAGUCUCUGGUAUCAAUCAUGCUGCUCUGUGUAGCAGAAAUUAGUUGAAUUUUGGAUUUUCACAAUCAUGUUCUUGAUUUAAAUGGAAAUUAAUGCUGGUGGACAAAUUCGCAAUGGUUGUACGUAUAUUUCCAUUGCUUGAGGUCUUGUCUGAUACAGCAUGAGCUAACCUGAUCAUCUUUUGAUAUUCAGUAACAGGAGAGAUGUAUGGUCUGCAGGAGCCAAUGAUGGGCAAGUGAUACCUGAGGCCGGUGUCUAUUUGAAGGUAAAAUGGGCGAUGGUUCUAGGUUUCAUAUUAGGUUUUUGAUAGUCUUGAGUAAUUGCCCUACUAUCUUCAUAUUUAAAAAACAGGAUGGUUUCAAACCAAAGUGCGGUUUGUAAUCAAAAGCAUUUGAUCUUUUUGUUUUUGUAACUUUACGGGUUUUAUUUUUAGAAAAAUGGUUCUGUACUAUGGUUUAUUUCUGCCUUAUUUGAUAUUGUGGUCAUCUUAGGCUUUAUUUAGUGUAAUUUUUCAGUUAUAUGUUCGUUUGGGAAGAGGAAAUGAAGUUAAUUUUAUUUCACACUUGCAUAAGAAAAAAUUGUAAUGUUUAUAUUAUUUUUGUUAAAAUUAUUAUUUAAAAAUUAUAUUUGAUAUCUAUUAAUAAUUUUUAUUAUAAUUAUAAUUUUCUUUUUCCUCCAUCAUCUCAAUUGCUUAUAACUGCUGUUGAGGAUGGUUGGUGCGAUGUUAAUAAUUUGUAAAGGGCUUAGUAACAUCUGGUUCCGUGAUGUCGGCCAAACCAUAUCGAAGGGCUUAAUUUGACGGUCAUCGGGGCCUCCUGCCCAGCUGCCCUCCUUUACGGAUUCCGCUUCCGCAAAUUAUUUUAUAUAAACUGUUGUUACAUGAUAGUGGUGGCCGGAUGAAAAUACUACAUGACCAUAUAAUGCUUUCGGUGCAAUGAGUGAAAAAGAGAAAUUUUUAUGUAUUCUCGGAUUGAAGGAGAAAUUUUAAGAUUAAGAUUGUGGAGUGGUAGCAGGAGUAAAUUAUUUACUUACAUCACUAUGAGAGUGUGGAACG